Molecule: long non-coding RNA, 99546 nt
Filed under: Durio zibethinus
Lineage: Eukaryota; Viridiplantae; Streptophyta; Magnoliopsida; Malvales; Malvaceae
Description: long non-coding RNA (DZIB_LNC000041)
Source: RNAcentral
CGGAUAGUAGGUGGGUUCAAGCACAUCUUCAUAUUUCUGCCAUGCCAAUGCCCUUUUUAUGGCUUGUAAAUUCAUACAAUGGUCCCCUAAGCCUUCAUGUGAAGUUUCGUGGCAAGACGACCCGUUUUCAAUUUUUCACGAUUUUUGAAACUUUUUACGGUUCGAGAUUUUUUAAAAUUUUUUCAGAAAAAGUUUUUUCCCCAAACUUUGUAUAGGUGAUCCUUGUAUUUUUUUUGGCAUCCACAAAAAAAUUCAGCUAAAAAUUUGAAGUGGAGAAGAUUUUGUGAUCAUUUGAAAAAAGUGUCCCCAUUUCAGACACGUUAAUGGCUACUUGUAGCAAACCUAUAAAAUCUCAAAUGCUCUUUAAGGGGGUGUGAGUUCUCGAGGUUUGAUGAGGGAUAGGGGGCCAAUAUAAGGGCCAAGUGUCAUGCCCUGGGCGAGCACACCAGGCACAUCAGGCAGACCAGCAGGCGAGCCAGUGGUUGAGGCCCGUAGACCAGGCGUGCUGGAGGGGAUCUACGCGCAAAGCCUAGCGUGCUGCCGUUCCUACUGUUGCAACCCUCGAUCCGUUCCAAUCUUAGACUAGGAAUGAACUUCAUAUGCUUAGAUUGGGGAUGAACUUCGUAUGCCUAAGUCAACCCACGAAACGAGCAUACGGGCGCUCAGCCGGUCGGAAAGGCCGACUAGAGAGGCAUAAUGCACAAUUCGGGGAUCAACCCGGUCCCCCUCUGCGCACUGUCGAUCCUGUUACCGGUCCUGCUGCCAUGACCCUCGGUCCGGCUGGGGCUUAGACAUGGAAUGAACUCCGUAUGCCUAAGCCAACCCACGAAACGAGCAUACGGGUGCUCAGCUGAUCGAAGAGGCAGAAUGCGCAAGCCGAGGAUCGGCUCGGUCCCCCCCUGUGCGCUGUUGAUCCUGCUACUGGUCCUGCUACCGCAACCCUCGGUCUGGUCCGAUCUUAGACUGGGAAUGAACUCUGUAUGCUUAGACAUGGAAUGAACUCCGUAUGCCUAAGCCAACCCAUGAAAUGAGCGUAUAGGCGCUCAGUCGGUCAGAGAGGCAGAAUGCAUAAGCCGGGGAUCGGCCCGAUCCCCCCUGCGUGCUAUCGAUCCUACUACUGUAACCCUCGGUCCGGUCUGAUAUUAGACUAGGAAUGAACUCCGUAUACGUAAGUCAACCCAUGAAACGAGCUUACGGGCACUGAGUCGACCGGAGAGGCAUAAUGCGCAAGUCGGGGAUCGGCCCGGUCUCUCUCUGCGUGCUGUUGGUCUCGCUGCCACAACCCUCGAUCUGGCUGGGGCUUAGACAUGGAAUGAACUCCCUAUACCUAAGCCAAGCCACGAAAUGGGUGUGCGGGCGUUCAUNNNNNNNNNNNNNNNNNNNNNNNNNNNNNNNNNNNNNNNNNNNNNNNNNNNNNNNNNNNNNNNNNNNNNNNNNNNNNNNNNNNNNNNNNNNNNNNNNNNNNNNNNNNNNNNNNNNNNNNNNNNNNNNNNNNNNNNNNNNNNNNNNNNNNNNNNNNNNNNNNNNNNNNNNNNNNNNNNNNNNNNNNNNNNNNNNNNNNNNNNNNNNNNNNNNNNNNNNNNNNNNNNNNNNNNNNNNNNNNNNNNNNNNNNNNNNNNNNNNNNNNNNNNNNNNNNNNNNNNNNNNNNNNNNNNNNNNNNNNNNNNNNNNNNNNNNNNNNNNNNNNNNNNNNNNNNNNNNNNNNNNNNNNNNNNNNNNNNNNNNNNNNNNNNNNNNNNNNNNNNNNNNNNNNNNNNNNNNNNNNNNNNNNNNNNNNNNNNNNNNNNNNNNNNNNNNNNNNNNNNNNNNNNNNNNNNNNNNNNNNNNNNNNNNNNNNNNNNNNNNNNNNNNNNNNNNNNNNNNNNNNNNNNNNNNNNNNNNNNNNNNNNNNNNNNNNNNNNNNNNNNNNNNNNNNNNNNNNNNNNNNNNNNNNNNNNNNNNNNNNNNNNNNNNNNNNNNNNNNNNNNNNNNNNNNNNNNNNNNNNNNNNNNNNNNNNNNNNNNNNNNNNNNNNNNNNNNNNNNNNNNNNNNNNNNNNNNNNNNNNNNNNNNNNNNNNNNNNNNNNNNNNNNNNNNNNNNNNNNNNNNNNNNNNNNNNNNNNNNNNNNNNNNNNNNNNNNNNNNNNNNNNNNNNNNNNNNNNNNNNNNNNNNNNNNNNNNNNNNNNNNNNNNNNNNNNNNNNNNNNNNNNNNNNNNNNNNNNNNNNNNNNNNNNNNNNNNNNNNNNNNNNNNNNNNNNNNNNNNNNNNNNNNNNNNNNNNNNNNNNNNNNNNNNNNNNNNNNNNNNNNNNNNNNNNNNNNNNNNNNNNNNNNNNNNNNNNNNNNNNNNNNNNNNNNNNNNNNNNNNNNNNNNNNNNNNNNNNNNNUAUAAAAUCUCAAAUACUCUUUAAGGGGGUGUGAGUUCUCGAGGUUUGGUGAGGGAUAGAGGGCCAAUAUAAGGGCCAAGUACCAGCACCCAUCGCACAUCUUGUGCACACACCCCCCGGCCCCCCCAAUCGCCGGAACCUCUAAUGUCGUCGGUUAGGCUCUCCGACGAUGCUCCGACGAUGGUGCCCCAGGCGAAAAAAAGGUGGAACCAGAACAUGUCUGACCCUAGCAUGUGCACCGUGGCUCAAACUCUUAGACUGGGAAAGAAUUUCGUAUGCUUAGACAUGGAAUGAAUUCCGCAUGCCUAAGCCAACCCACGAAACGAGCGUGCGGGCGUUCAGUCGGACAAAGAGGCAGAAUGCACAAGCCAAGGAUCUAUCCGGUCCCCCUCCGCAUGUUGCCAAUCCCGCUGCCACAACCCUCGAUUCGGCUGGGGCUUAGACAUGGAAUCAACUCCCUAUGCCUAAGCCAACACACGAAACGGGCGUGCGGGCGCUCAAUCGACCAAAGAGGCAGAAUGCGCAAGCCGAGGAUCGGCCCGAUCCCCCCUGCGUGCUGUUGAUCCUGCUGCCGCAACCCUCAAUCCAAUCUAAUCUUAGACUGGGAAUGAACUCCGUAUGCUUAGACUGGGGAUGAACUCCGUAUGCCUAACUCAACCCAUGAAACGAGCGUAGGGGCGCGCAACCGACCGGAGAGGUCGAUCGGAGAGGCAUAAUGCGUAAGCCGGGGAUUGGCCCGAUCCCCCACAACAUGCUGUCGAUCCUGCUGCUGGUCCUGCUAUCACAACCCUCGGUCCGGUCCGAUCUUAGACUAGGAAUGAACUCCGUAUGCUUAGACAUCAAAUGAACUUCGUAUGCCUAAGCCAACCCACGAAAUGAGCGUGCGGGAGCUCAACCGGCCAAAGAGACAAAAUGUGCAAGCCAGCGAUCGGCCCGAUCCCCCCUUUGUACUGUUGAUCUUGCUACCGCAACCCUCGGUCCGGUCCGAUCUUAGACUGGGAAUAAACUCCGUAUGACUAAGUCAACCCACGAAAUGAGCGUGCGGGUGCUGAGCCGGCUAGAGACGCAUAAUGCGCAAGCCGGGGAUCGACCCGAUCCUUCUCUGCAUGCUGCCGGUCCCACUGCCACAACCCUCGGUUCAGUUAGGACUUAGACAUGGAAUGAACUCCCUACGCCUAAGCCAACCCACGAAACGGGCGUGCGGGCACUUAGCCGGUCGAAAAGGCAGAAUGCGCAAGCCGGGGAUCGGCUCAGUCCCCCCUGCGUGCUGCCGAUCCUACUGUCGCAACCCUUGGUCUGGUCUGAUCUUAGAUUGGGAAUGAACUCUGUAUGCUUAGACUAGGGAUGAACUCUGUAUGCCUAAGUCAACCCAUGAAACGAGUGUGCGAACGCUCAGCCGACUAGAGAGGCAGGAUGCGUAAGCCAAGGAUCGAACGGGUGGUAGGUGGGUUCAAGCACAUCUUCAUAUUUCUGCUGUGCCAAUGCCAUUUUUAUGGCUUGUAAAUUCAUACAAUGGUCCCCUAAGCCUUCAUGUGUAGUUUCGUGUCAAGAUAACCCGUUUUCUAUUUUUUACGAUUUUUGAAACUUUUUACGGUUCGAGAUUUUUUAAAAUUUUUUUACAAAGACUUUUGUCCCCAAAUUUGGUAAGGUGAUCCUUGUAUUUUUGGUGGCAUGCACAAAAAAAUUCAGCAAAAAACUCGAAAUGGAGAAGAUUUUGUGACCGUUUUACAAAAGUGUACCAAUUUCAGACACUUUAAUGGCUACUGGCAGCAAACCUAUAAAAUCUCAAAUGCUCUUUAAGGGGGUGUGAGUUCUUGAGGUUUGAUGAGGGAUAGGGGGCCAAUAUAAGGGCCAAGUACCAGCACCCAUCGCACAUCAUGUGCACACACCCCCCGGCCCCCCCAAUCGCCGGAACCCCCAAUGUCGUCGGUUAGGCUCUUCGACGAUGCUCCAACGAUGCUCUGGCGAUGGUGCCCCGGGCGAAAAAAAUGUGGCACCAGCACAUGCUCAAGCCCAGCAUGUGCACCGUGGCUCAAACUCUUAGACUGGGAAUGAACUUCGUAUGCUUAGACAUGGAAUGAACUCCGUAUACCUAAGCCAACACACGAAAUGAAUGUGCGAACGCUCAGCCGGUCAGAGAGGCAGAAUGCAUAAGUCAAGGAUUAGCCCGAUCCCCCUUUAUGUGCUACCGAUCCCGCUGCCAUAUCCCUCGGUCUGACUGGGGCUUAGACAUGGAAUGAACUCACUAUGCCUAAGCCAACCCACGAAACGGGCAAGCGGGCGCUCAGCCGACCAGAGAGGCAGAAUGAGCAAGCCAAGGAUCGGCCCGGUCCCCCCUGCGUGCUGCCAAUCCUACUGCCACAACCCUCGAUCUGGUUCGAUCUUAGACUGGGAAUGAACUCCGUAUGCUUAGACUAGGGAUGAACUCCGUAUGCCUAAGCCAACCCUCGAAAUGAGCGUGCGGGCGCUCAGCCGAUCAGAGAGGCAGAAUGCGCGAGCUAGCGAUCGCCUGGUCCCCCCCUGCGUGCUGUCGAUCCUGCUGCUAGUCCUACUACCGUAAUCCUCGGUUACGCUUAGACAUGGAAUGAACUCCUUAUGCCUAAGCCAACCCACGAAACGAGCAUGCGGGCGUUCAGUCGGUCGAAGAGGCAGAAUACGCAAGCCGGGGACCGACCCGCUCCCCUCCUACGUGCUGUAGAUCCUGCUACCGUAACCCUUAAUCCAGUCUGAUCUUAGACUGGAAAUGAACUCCGUAUGCCUAAGUCAACCCACGAAAUGAGCGUGCGGGCACUGAGCCGAUCGGAGAGGCAUAAUGCACAGGUCGAGGAUCGGCCCGAUCCCCCUCUGCAUGCUACCGGGCCUACUACCACAACCCUAAGUUCGGCUGGGCCUUAGAAAUGGAAUGAACUCUCUACGCCAAAGCCAACCCAUGAAACGGGCGUGCGGGCGCUCAAACGGCCAAAGAGGCAGAAUGCGCAAGUCGAGGAUCGGCCCGGUCCCCCCUGCGUGCUGUCGCAACCCUUCGUCCGGUCCAAUCUUAGACUGCGAAUGAACUCCGUAUGCUUAGACUGAGGAUAAACUCCGUAUGCCUAAGUCAACAUACGAAAUGAGCAUGCGGACGCUUAGCCAACUAGAGAGGCAGGAUGCGUAAGCCAGAGAUCAAAUGGGUGGUAAGUGGGUUCAAGUACAUCUUCAUAUUUCUACCAUGGCAAUGCCAUUUUUAUGGCUUGUAAAUUCAUACAAUGGUCCCCUAAGCCUUCAUGUGAAGUUUUGUGGCAAGACGACCCGUUUUCUAUUUUUCACAAUUUUUAAAACUUUUUACGGUUUGGGAUUUUUUAAAAUUUUUUUAAAAAGAAUUUUAUCUCCAAAUUUGGUAGAGGAGAUCCUUGUAUUUUUGUUGGCAUGCACAAAAAAAUUUAGCUAAAAACUCGAAGUGGAGAAGAUUUUGUGAUCAUUUGAAAAAAGUGUCCCCAUUUUAGACACUUUAAUGGCUACUGGCAGCAAAGCUAUAAAAUCUCAAAUACUCUUUAAUAGGGUGUGAGUUCUCAAGGUUUGAUGAGGGAUAGGGGGCCAAUAUAACGGCCAAGUACCAGCACCCAUCACACAUCAUGUGCGCACACCCCCCGGCCCCCCAAAUCGUCGGAACCCUCAAUGCCGCCGGUUAGGCUCUCCGGUGAUUCUCUAGCGAUGGUGCCCCAGGCGAAAAAAAUGCGGCACCAGCACAUGCUCGAGCCCAGCGUGUGCACUAUGGCUCAAACUCUUAGACUGGGAAUGAACUCCGUAUGCUUAGACAUGGAAUGAACUCUGUAUGCCUAAGCCAACCCACGAAACGAGCGUACGGGCGCUCAGCCGACCGGAGAGGCAGAAUGCGCAAGCCGAGGAUCGGCUCGAUCCCCCUCUGUGUGCUGUCAGUCCCGUUGCCACAACCCUCAGUCCGGUUGGUGCUUAGACAUGGAAUGAACUCCCUAUGCCUAAGCCAACCCACGAAACGGGCGUGGGGGCGCUCAGUCGGUCAGAGAGACAGAAUGCGUAAGCCGGGGAUCGCCCUGAUCCCCCAUGCGUGCUGUCGAUCCUACUGCCGUAACCCUCGGUCUGGUCUGAUCUUAGACUGGGAAUGAACUCCGUAUGCUUAGACUGGAGAUGAACUCUGUAUGCCUAGGCCAACCCACGAAAUGAACGUGCGGGCGCUCAUCCGAUCGGAGAGGCAGAAUGCGCAAGCCGGGGAUCGGCCCGACCCCCCUGCGUGCUGUCGAUCUUGCUGCUGGUCCUGCUAUCGUAACCCUCGGUCUGGUCCAAUCUUAGACUAGGAAUGAACUCCGUAUGCUUAGAUAUGGAAUGAACUCCUUAUGGCUAAGCCAACCCAUGAAACGAGCGUGCGGGCAUUCAGCCGGCCGGAGAGGUAGAAUGCGCAAGCUGGGGACCGACUUGCUCCCCCCUACGUGUUAUCGAUCCUGCUACCGCAACCCUUGAUCCGAUCCGAUCUUAGACUGGGAAUGAACUUGGUAUGCCUAAGUCAACCCACGAAACGAGCGUGCGGGCACUGAGCCGGUCGGAGAGGCAUAAUGCGUAAGUCGGGGAUCGACCCGAUCCCCUUCUGCAUGUUAUCAGGCCCGCUGCCACAACCCUCGGUCUGGCUGGGGCUUAGACAUGCAGUGAACUCCCUAUGCCAAAGCCAACCCACAAAACGGACGUGCGGGCGUUCAGCCAGCCGGAGAGGUAGAAUGCGCAAGUCGGGGAUCGGCCUGGUCCCCCAUGUGUGCUACCGAUCUUACUGCUGUAACCCUCGGUCUGGUCCAAUCUUAGACUGGGAAUGAACUUCGUAUGCUUAGACUGGGGAUAAACUUCCUAUGCCUAAGUCAACCUACGAAAUGAGCAUGCAGACGCUCAGCCGAUGAGAGAGGCAGGAUGCAUAAGCCGGGGAUCGAACGGGUGGUAGGUGGGUUCAAGCACAUCUUCAUAUUUUUGCCAUGCCAAUGCCAUUUUUAUGGCUUGUAAAUUCAUACAAUGGUCCCCUAAGCCUUCAUGUGAAGUUUCGUGGCAAGACGACCCGUUUUCUAUUUUUCAAGAUUUUUGAAACUUUUUACGUUUCGGGAUUUUUUAAAAUUUUUUUUAGAAAGACUUGUGUCCCCAAAUUUGGUAGAGGUGAUCCUUCUAUUUUUGUUGGCAUGCACAAAAAAAGUCAGCUAAAAACUCUAAGUGGCGAAGAUUUUGUGACCGUUUGAAAAAAGUGUCCCUAUUUUAGACACUUUAAUAGCUACUGGCAGCAAACCUAUAAAAUGUCAAAUGCUCUUUAAGGGGGUGUGAGUUCUCGAGGUUUGAUGAGGGAUAGGGGACCAAUAUAAGGGCCAAGUACUAGCACCCAUCCCACAUCAUGUGUGCACACCCUUUCGGCCCCCCCAAUCGUCGGAACCCCCAAUGCCGCCAGUUAGGCUCUCCGGCGAUGCUCCGGUGAUGGUGCCCCGGGCGAAAAAAAUGCGGCACCAGCACAUGCCCAACCCAACAUGGGCAUCUUGGCUCAAACUCUUAGACUAGAAAUGAACUUCAUAUGCUUAGACAUGGAAUGAACUCCGUAUGCUUAAGCUAACCCAUAAAACGAGCGUGCGAGCGUUCAGUCGGCCGGAGAGGCAGACUGCGCAAGCCAGGGAUCAGCUCGGUCCCCCUCUGCAUGCUGUCGGUCCCAUUGCCAUAACCCUCGAUGUAGCUGGGGCUUAGACAUGGAAUGAACUCCCUAUGCCUAAGCCAACCCAUGAAACGGGCGUGCGGGCGCUCAGCCGACCGGAGAGACAGAAUGCGUAAGCUGGGGAUCAGCCCGGUCCCCCCUGCGUGCUAUCGAUCCUAUUGCCACAACCCUCUGUCUGGUCUAAUUUUAGACUGGGAUGAACUCCGUAUGCCUAAGUCAACCCAUUAAACGAGUGUGCGGGCGCUGAGCCAGCCGAAGAAGCAUAAUGCACAAGUCGAGGAUCGGCCCGGUCCCCCUCUGCGUGCUAUCGGUCCCCCUCUACGUGCUACUGGUCCCCCUCUACGUGCUACCGGUCUCGCUGCCAUAACCCUCGGUCUGACUGGGGCUCAGACAUGGAAUGAACUCCCUAUGCCUAAGCCAACCCACGAAACGGGCGUCUGGGGCUCAACCGAUCGGAGAGGCAGAAUGCACAAGCCAAGGAUCGACCUGGUCCCCCCUGCAUGCUACCGAUCCUGUUGUCACAACCUUCGGUCCGGUCUGAUCUUAGACUGGGAAUAAACUCCGUAUGCCUAAGUCAACCCAUGAAACGAGCAUGCAGGUACUGAGCCGGCCGAAGAGGAUAAUGCGCAAGCCGAGGAUCGACCUGGUCCCCCUCUGCGUGCUGCCGGUCUCGCUGCCACAACCCUCGAUUCGACUGGGGCUUAGACAUGGAAUGAACUCCCUAUGCCUAAGCCAACCCACGGAACGGGCGUGCGGGCGCUCAGCUGGCCGAAGAGGCAGAAUGCGCAAGUCGGGGAUCGACUCGGUCCCCCCUGCGUGCUACCAAUCCUGCUGUCGCAACCCUCGAUCCGAUCCGAUCUUCGAUUGGGAAUGAACUCUAUAUGCUUAGACUGGGGAUAAAUCCCGUAUGCCAAAGUCAACCCACGAAACGAGCGUGCGGGUGCUUAACCGGCCGGAAAGGUCGACCAGAGAGAUGAAUGUGCAAACUAGGGAUUGACCCAGUCCCUCUUGCGUGCUGCCGAUCCUACUGCUGUCCUGCUACUGCAACCUUCGAUCCGAUCUGAUCUUAGACUGAUAAUGAAGUCCGUAUGUUUAGACAUGGAAUGAACUCCGUAUGGCUAAGCCAACCCACGAAAUGAACGUGCGGGCACUCCACCGAUCGAAGAGGUAGAAUGCGAAAGUCGAGGAUUGGCCCGGUCCCCCCUGUGUGCUAUCGAUCCUACUAUCGCAACCCUCGAUCCGAUCCGAUCUUAGAUUGGGAAUAAACUCCGUAUGCCUAAGUCAACCUACGGAAUGAGCGUUCAGGCACUGAGUCAGUUGGAGAGGCAUAAUGCGUAAGUCAGGGAUCAGCCCGGUCCCCCUCUGUGUUCUAUCGAUCCCACUACCACAACCCUCGAUCUGGCUGGGGCUUAGACAUGGAAUGAACUACCUAUGCCUAAGCCAACCCAUGAAACGGGCGUGCGGACGCUCAGUCGACUGGAGAGGCAGGAUGCACAAGCUGAAGAUCGACCCAAUCCCCCUCCGUGCUAUCGAUCCUGCUGUCCCAACUCUCGGUCGGAUCUGAUCUUAGACUGGGAAUGAACUCCGUAUGCUUAGACUGGGGAUGAACUCUGUAUGCCUAAGUCAACCUACGAAAUAAGCGUGCGGGCGCUCAGCCGACUGGAGAGGCCGGCCGGAGAGGCAUAAUGCGCAAGCUGAGGAUCAGCUCGAUCCCCCUCUGCGUGCUGUCGAUCCCGUUACCGGUCCUGUCGCCACAACCUCGGUCCGGCUGGGGCUUAGACAUGGAAUGAAUUCCAUAUGCCUAAGCCAACCCACGAAAUGAGCGUCCGAGCUCUCAGUCAAUCGGAGAGGCAGAAUGUGCAUGCCAGGGAUCAGCCCGAUCCACCCUGCAUGCUGUCGAUCCUGCUGCUGGUCCUGCUAUCGUAACCCUCAGUCCGGUCCGAUCUUAGACUGGGAAUGAACUCUGUAUGCUUAGACAUGGAAUGAACUCUGUAUGCCUAAGCCAACCCAUGAAACGAGCGUGCGGGCACUCAGCCGAUCGGAAAGGUAGAAUGCGCAAGCUGGGAACUGACCCGAGGCCUCCCUGCGUGCUGUUGAUCCUGCUGCCGCAACCUUCGGUCUGGUUUGAUUUUAGACUGGGAAUGAACUCCGUAUGCCUAAGUCAACCCAUGAAACGAACGUUGAGCCGAUCGGAGAGGCAUAAUGCGCAAACCAGGAAUUGACUUGAUCCCAUCUGCGUGCUACCAGUCCCGCUACCACAACCCUUGGUCCGACUGGGGCUUAGACAUGGAAUGAGCUCCCUAUGCCUAAGCCAACCCACAAAACGGGCGUGCGAGCGCUCGACCGGCUGGAAAGGCAGAAUGUGCAAGCCGGGGAUCGAUCCAGUCCCCCUUGCGUGCUGUCGAUCCUGCUGCCGUAACCUUCUGUUCGGUCUGAUCUUAGACUAGGAAUGUACUCUGUAUGCUUAGACUGGGGAUGAACUCCGUAUGCCUAAGUCAACCCACGAAACGAGCGUGCGGAUUUUUGGCAGACCAGAGAGGCAGGAUGCGUAAGUCGGAGAACGAACUGAUGGUAGGUGGGUUCAAGUACAUCUUCAUAUUUCUACCGUGCCAAUGCCAUUUUUAUGGCUUGUAAAUUCAUACAAUGGUCCCCUAAGCCUUCAUGUGAAGUUUCGUGGCAAGACGACCCGUUUUCUAUUUUUCACGAUUUUUAAACUUUUUACAGUUCGAUAUUUUUUAAAAUUUUUUUAGAAAGAGUUUUGUCCCUCGGUCUGGUUCGAUCUUAGACUGGGAAUGAACUCCGUUUGCUUGGACUGGGGAUGAACUCCAUAUGCCUAAGUCAACCCACAAAAUGAGCGUGCGAGUGCUCAAUCGAUCAGAGAAGCAGAAUGUGCUAGCUGGGGAUCGACCUGGUCCCCCUCUACGUGUUAUCGGUCCCGCUACCACAACCCUCAAUCCAGCUGGGGCUUAGACAUGGAAUGAACUCACUAUGCCUAAGCCAACCCAUGAAACGGGCAUACGGGCGCUCAGCUGGCUGGAGAGGCAGAAUCCGCAAGCCAGGGAUCGGUUCGGUCCCCCUUGCGUGCCGUCGAUCCUACGUCGUAACCCUCAGUCCGAUCCGAUCUUAGACUGGGAAUGAACUUCGUAUGCUUAGACUACAGAUGAACUCCGUAUCCCUAAGUUAACUCAUGAAACGAGCGUACGGGGGCACAGCCAGUCGAAGGGGUCGGUCAGAGAGGCAUAAUGCGCAAGUCAGGGAUUAGCCUAGCCCUUUCUACGUGCUGCCGAUCCCGCUGCUGGUCUUGCUACCACAACCCUCGGUCUGGCUGGGGCUUAGACAUGGAAUGAACUCUGUAUGCUUAAGCCAACCCACGAAACGAGCGUGCGGGUGCUCAGCCGACCGAAAAGGCAGAAUGCGCAAGCCUGGGAUCAGUCCGGUCCCCCCUUCGUGUUGUCGAUCCUGUUGCUGGUCCUGCUAUCGCAACCCUCGAUCCGGUCUGAUCUUAGACUAGGAAUGAACUCCGUUUGCUUAGACUUGGAAUGAACUCUGUAUGCGUAAAACAACCCACGAAACGAGCGUGCGGGCGCUUAGCCGGUCGGAGAGGCAGAAUACGCAAGCUGGGGACCAGCCCAGUCCCCCCUGUGUGCUGUCGAUCUUGCUGUCGUAACCCUCGAUCCGGUCUUAUCUUAGACUGGGAAUGAACUCCGUAUGCCUAAGUCAACCUACAAAAUGAGAGUUUGAAAAAACUCAUAUGCCUAAGUCAUCUAAAAACUCAAAGUGGAGAAGAUUUUGUGACCAUUUGAAAAAAGUGUCCCCAUUUCAGACACUUUAAUGGCUACUGGCAGCAAACCUAUAAAAUCUCAAAUGCUCUUUAAGGGGGUGUGAGUUCUCAAGGUUUGAUGAGGGAUAGAGGGCCAAUAUAAGGGCCAAGUACCAGUAUCCAUUGCACAUCAUGUGUGCACACCCCCCUCCCGGCCCCCCAAUCGUCGGAACUACAAAACCGUCGAUUAGGCUCUCCGAUGAUGCUCCGACGAUGCUUCAACGAUUGUGCCCCGAGCAAGAAAAAUACGGUACCAGCCUAUGCCCGAGCCCAGCAUGUGCACCAUGGCUCAAAAUCUUAGACUGGGAAUGAACUCUGUAUGCUUAGACAUGGAAUGAACUCCGUAUGCCUAAACCAACCCACGAAACGAGCGUGCGGCCGCUCAGCCGGUCGGAGAGGCAGAAUGCACAAGUCGGGGAUCAACCCGAUCCCCCCUGCAUGCUGUCGAUCCUGCUGCCACAACCCUCGGUCCGGUCCGAUCUUAGACUGGGAAUGAACUUCGUAUGCAUAAGUCAACCGACGAAACGAGCGUGCGGGCGCUGAGCCAGCCGAAGAAGCAUAAUGCGCCAGUCGAGGAUUGGCUUGGUCCCCCUCUGCGUGCUACCGGGUCCCCCUCUACGUGCUAUCGAUCCCGCUGCCAUAACCCUCGGUCCGACUGGGGCUUAGACAUGGAAUGAACUCCCUAUGCUUAAGCCAACCCACGAACCGGACGUGGGGGCGCUCAGCCGAUUGGGGAGGCUGAAUGCGCAAGCCAGGAUCGACCUGGUCCCCCCUGCAUGCUGCUGAUCCUGCUGUCGCAACCCUCGGUCUGGUCUGAUCUUGGACUGGGAAUGAACUUCGUAUGCUUAGACUGGGGAUGAACUCCGUAUGCCUAAGUCAACCCAUGAAACGAGCGUACGGGUGCUCAGUCGGUCAGAGAGGCCGGUCGAAAAGGCAUAAUGCGCAAGCCAGGGAUCAACCCGGUCCUCCUCUGUGUGCUAAUGAUCCCACAAAAUGGGUGUACGACCGCUCAGUCAGCUAGAGAGGUAGAAUGUACAAGCCGAGGAUUGGCCUGAUCCCCCCUACGUGCUGUCGAUCCUGCUACCGUAACCCUCGGUCCGGUCUGAUCUUACAGAUGAACUCCAUAUGCUUUAGACAUGAAUGAACUCCCAUAUGCCUAAAAGUCAACGCCACCAUACGAAACGAGGUGUGGUUGCUUCAGCUGGCUGGAGAGUAGAAUGCGUAAGCCGGGGAUCGGCCCGCUCUCCCUCUACGUACUGCGGUCUCGCUGCCACAACCUUCGUUCAGCGGCUUAGACUGAAUGAACUCCCUAUGCUAAUCCCAACCACGAACGGUGUGCGGGCGCUCAGCGACCGAGAGCCAGAAUGCGGCAAGCUGGGGAUCAGCCCUCGGUCCCCCUGCGUGCUGUCGCAAACCCUCGUUGCUAGUUCGAUUCUUAGACUGGGAAUGAACUUCCAAAUGCUUAGACUAGAGAUGAACUCCACUAUGCCUAAGUCAACCCACGAACGAACGUGCCGUGCGCCAGUGACCAAGAGGUAGGAUGCGCAGCCGGGGAAUCGGAACAGUGGUAGGUGGGUUCAAGCACAUCUUCAUAUUUCUACCAUACCAAUGCCAUUUUUAUGGCUUGUAAAUUCAUACAAUGGUCCCCUAAGCCUUCAUGUGAAGUUUCAUGGCAAGACGACCCGUUUUCUAUUUUUCACAAUUUUCAAAACUUUUUACGGUUUGAGAUUUUUUAAAAUUUUUUUAGAAAGAUUUUUGUCCCCAAAUUUGGUAGAGGUGAUCCUUGUAUUUUUGUUGGCAUGCACAAAAAAAUUCAGAUAAAAACUCGAAGGGGAGAAGAUUUUGUGACCGUUUGAAAAAAGUGUCCCCAUUUCAAACACUUUAAUGGCUACUGGUGGUAAACCUAUGAAACGAGCGUACGGGGGCACAGCCAGCCGGAGGGGUUGGCCAGAGAGGCAUAAUGUGCAAGUCGAGGAUUAGCCUGGCCCUCUCUGCGUGUUGCCGAUCCCGCUGUCGGUCUUGCUACCACAACCCUCGGUCUGGCUGGGGCUUAGACAUGGAAUGAACUCUGUAUGCCUAAGCCAACCCACGAAACGAGCAUGCAGGCUCUCAGCCGAUCGGAGAGGCAGAAUGCGCAAGCUGGGGAUCAGUCUGGUCCCCCCCUCGUGUUAUCGAUCCUGCUGCUGGUCCUGCUAUCGCAACCCUUGGUCCGGUCCGAUCUUAGACUGGAAAUGAACUCCGUUUGCUUAGACUUGGAAUGAACUCUGUAUCCGUAAAACAACCCACGAAACGAGCGUACGGGUGCUUAGCCGGUCGGAGAGGCAGAAUGCACAAGCUGGGGAGCAGCCCAGUCCCCCCCUAUGUGCUGUCGAUCCUGCUACCAUAACUCUCGAUCCGAUCUUAUCUUAGACUGGGAAUGAACUCCGUAUGCCUAAGUCAACCUACGAAACGAGCGUUUGAAAAACUCAUAUGCCUAAGUCAUCUAAAAACUCAAAGUGGAGAAGAUUUUGUGACCAUUUGAAAAAAGUGUCCCCAUUUCAGACACUUUAAUGGCUACUGGCAGCAAACCUAUAAAAUCUCAAAUGCUCUUUAAGGGGGUGUGAGUUCUCGAGGUUUGAAGAAGGAUAGAGGGCCAAUGUAAGGGCCAAGUACCAGCACGCAUUGCACAUCAUGUGCGCACACCCCCCGGCCCUCCAAUCGUCGUAACCCCUAAUAUCGCCUGUUAGGCUCUCUGGCGAUGCUCCGACGAUAGUGCCCCGAGCGAAAAAAAUGUGGUACCAGCACAUGCCCGAGCCCAGCAUGUGCACCAUGGCCCAAAAUCUUAGACGGGGAAUGAACUCCGUAUGCUUAGACAUGGAAUGAACUCCGUAUGCCUAAGCCAACCCACAGAAUGAGCGUGCGGGCGCUCAGUCAGUCGAAGGGGCAGAAUGCGCAAGCCGGGGAUCGACCCAGUCCCCCCCUGCGUGCUGUCAAUCCUGCUAUCGUAACCCUCGGUUCGGUCCGAUCUUAGACUGCUAAUGAACUUCGUAUGCAUAAGUCAACCCAUGAAACAAGUGUGCGAGCGCUAAGCCGAUCGAAGAGGCAUAAUGCACAAGCCAAGGAUCGGUCGAUCCCCCUCUGCGUGCUGCCGGUCCCACCGCCAUAGCCUUCGGUCUGGCUGGGGUCAGACAUGGAAUGAACUCCCUAUGGCUAAGCCAACCCACGAAACGGGUGUGCGGGUGCUCAACUGGUCGGAAAGGCAGAAUGCGUAAGCCUGGGAUCGACCCGAUCCCCCCUGCGUGCUGUCGAUCCUACUGCCGCAACCCUCGAUCCGAUCCAAUCUUAGACUGGGAAUGAACUUCGUAUGCUUAGAUUGGGGAUGAACUCCGUAUGCCUAAGUCAACCCAUGAAACGAGCGUGCGGGCACUCAACCUGUCGGAGAGGCAUAAUGCACAAGCAGGGAUCAGCUCGGUCCCCCUCUGCGCGCUGUCGAUCCCGCUGUUGGUCCUACUACCACAACCCCCAGUCUGACUGUGGCUUAGACAUGGAAUGAACUCCGUAUGCCUAAGCCAACCCACGAAACAAGCGUGUGGGCACUCAACCAGUCGGAGAGGCAAAAUGCACAUGCCAGGGAUCGGCUCGAUCCCCCGCUACGUGCUGCAGAUCCUGCUGCUGGUCCUGCUACCGUAAACCUCAGUCCAGUCUGAUCUUAGACUGGGAAUGAACUCAGUAUGCUUAGACAUGGAAUAAACUCCGUAUGCCUAAGCCAACCCAUGAAAUGAGCGUGCGGGUGCCCAGUCAGCCAGAGAGGUAGAAUGCGCAAGCCAGGGAUCGACCCGGCCCCCCAUGUGUGCUGUCGAUCCUGCUACCGCAACCCGUGAUCCGAUCCGAUCUUAGACUGGGAAUGAACUCUGUAUGCCUAAGUCAUUCCAUGAAACGAGUGUGCGAGCGCUAAGCCGACCGGAGAGGCGUAAUGCGCAAGCCGAGGAUCGGCCCAGUCCCCUUCUGUGAGCUGUCAGUCCCGCUGCCACAACCCUCGGUCCGGCUGGGGCUUAGACAUGGAAUGAACUCCCUAUGCCUAAGCCAACCCACAAAAUGGGCGUGCGGGCACUCCGCUGGCCGAAGAGGCAGAAUGCGUAAGUCGGGGAUCGACCUGGUCCCCCCUGCAUGCUGCCAAUCCUGCUACCGCAACCCUCGUUCCGAUUCGAUCUUAGACUGGAAAUGAACUCCGUAUGCUUAGACUGGGGAUGAACUCUGUAUGCCUAAGUCAACCCAUAAAAUGAGCAUGCAGGUGCUCAGUCGGUCGGAGAGGUCGACCAAAGAUGCACAAUGCGUAAGUCGAGGAUCAGCCCGAUCCCCCUCUGCGUGCUGUCAAUGCUGUUGCCGGUCCUGCUGCCACAACCCUAGAUCCGGCUAGGGCUUAGACAUGGAAUGAACUCCGUAUGCCUAAGGCAACCUACAAAACGAGCGUGCAGACGCUCAGUCGACCGAAGAGCCAGAAUGCGUAAGUCAAGGAUCAGCUCGGUCCCCCCUUGUGCUACCGAUCCUACUGCUGGUCCUACUGUCGUAACCCUCGGUCCGGUCCGAUCUUAGACUAGGAAUGAACUCCAUAUGCUUAGACAUGGAAUUAACUCCGUAUGCCCAAGCCAACCCAUGAAACGAGCGUACGAGCGCUCAGCCGAUCGGAGAGGCAGAAUAAGUAAGUCGGGGACCGACUCGGUCCCUCCUGCGUGCUAUUGAUCCUGCUGCCACAACCCUCGGUCCGGUCCAAUCCUAGACUUGGGAAUGAACUCCGUAUGCCUAAGUCAACCCACAAAAUGAGUGUGCGGGCACUGAGCCGAUCGGAGAGGCAUAAUGCACAAGCCGGGGAUCGACCCGAUCCCCCUCUGCAUGCUGCCGAUCCCCCGACCACAGCCUUCAGUCCGGCUAGGGCUUAGACAUGGAAUGAACUCCCUAUACCUAAGCCAACCCACGAAACGGGCGUGCGGGCACUCAGCUGGCCAGAGAGGAAGAAUGUGCAAGUCGAAGAUCGGCUCGAUUCCCCCUACGUACUAUCGAUCCUGCUACUGCAACCCUCGAUUCGGUCUGAUCUUAGAUGGGGAAUGAACUCCGUAUGCUUAGACUGGGGAUGAACUCUGUAUGCCUAAGUCAACCCAUGAAACGAGCGUGCGGGCGCUCAAUCGAACAGAGAGGCAGGAUGCGCAAGCCGGGGAUCGAACGGGUGGUAGGUGGGUUCAAGCACAUCUUCAUAUUUUUGUCAUGCCAAUGGCAUUUUUAUGGCUUGUAAAUUCAUACAAUGGUCUCCUAAGCCUUCAUGUGAAGUUUCGUGGCAAGACGACCCGUUUUCUAUUUUUCAUGAUUUUAAAAACUUUUUGCUGUUUGAGAUUUUUUAAAUUUUUUUUAGAAAGAGUUUUGUCCCCAAAUUUUUGUAGAGGUGAUCCCUGUAUUUUUGUUGGCAUGCAUAAAAAAAUUCAGCUAAAAACUCGAAGUGGAGAAGAUUUUGUGACCGUUUGAGAAAAGUGUCCCCAUUUCAGACACUUUAAUGGCUACUGACAGCAAAGCUAUAAAAUCUCAAAUGCUCUUUAAGGGGGUGUGAGUUCUCGAGGUUUGAAGAGGGAUAGGGGGCCAAUAUAAGGGCCAAGUACCAGUACCCAUUGCACAUCAUGUGUGCACACCCCCUGGCCCCCCCCAAUCGUCAGAACCCCUAAUGUCGCCAGUUAGGCUCUCCGACGAUGCUCCGAUGAUGCUUCGACGAUGGUGCCCCAGGUAAAAAAAAAGCGGCACCAGCACAUGCUCGAGCCCAGCAUGUGCACCAUGGCACAAAAUCUUAGACUGGGAAUGAACUCCAUAUGCUUAGACAUGGAAUGAACUCCGUAUACCUAAGCCAACCCACAAAACGAGCGUGAGGGUGCUCAACCGGUCGGAGAGGCAGAAUGCGCAAGCUGGGGAUCGACUCGGUCCCUCCCUGCGUGCUGUCAAUCCUAAUGCUGCAACCCUCGGUUCGAUCCAAUGUUAGACUGGGAAUGAACUCCGUAUGGAUAAGUCAACCCACGAAACAAGGGUACGAGCGCUGAGCCGACUGAAGAGGCAUAAUGCGCAAGUCGAGGAUCAGCUCGAUCCCCCUCUGUGUGCUGUCGGUCCCGCUGCCACAACCCUCGGUCCGACUGGGGCUUAGACAUGGAAUGAACUCCCUAUGCCUAAGCCAACCCAUAAAACGGGCGUACGGGUGCUCAGUCAGUCGGAAAGGCAGAAUGCGCAAUCCGGGGAUCGACUCGAUCCCCCCUCCAUGCUAUCGAUCCUACUGUUGGUCCUAUUACCAUAACCCUCGGUCUGAUCCGAUCUUAGACUGGGGAUGAACUCUGUAUGUUAGGCAUGGAAUGAACUCCAUAUGCCUAAGCCAACCCACAUAACGAGCGUGUGGGCACUCAACCGGCCGAAGAGGCAGAAUGCACAAACAUGGGAUCGGUCCGGUCCCUCCCUGCGUGUUGUCGAUCUUGCUACCGUAACCCUUGGUCUGAUGUGAUCUUAGAUUGGUAAUGAACUCCGUAUACCUAAGUCAACCCCCAAAAUGAGCGUGCAAGUGCUGAGCCGGCAGGAGAGGCAUAAUGCGUAAGUCGGGGAUCGACCCGAUCCCCCUCUACGUGCUGCCGGUCCCAUUGCCACAACCCUCAGUCUGGCUGGGGCUUAGACAUGGAAUGAACUCCCUAUGCCUAAGCCAACCCAUGAAACUGGCGUGCGGGUGCUCAGCCGACCGGAGAGGCAGAAGGGGCAAGUCGGGGAUCGACCUGGUCCCCCUACGUGUUGUCGAUCCUGUUGCUGUAACCCUCGGUCCGGUCCAAUCUUAGACUGGGAAUGAACUUCGUAUGCUUAGGCUAGAGAUGAACUCUGUAUGCCUAAGUCAACCCACAAAACGAGCAUGCAAACGCUCAGCCAACCAGAGAGGCAGGAUGCGCAAGUCGGGGAUCGAACGGGUGGUAGGUGGGUUCAAGCACAUCUUCAUAUUUCUGCCAUGCCAAUGCCAUUUUUAUGGCUUGUAAAUUCAUACAAUGGUCCCCUACGCCUUCAUGUGAAGUUUCGUGGCAAGACGACCCGUUUUCUAUUUUUCAUGAUUUUUGAAACUUUUUACGGUUCGGGAUUUUUUAAAAUUUUUUUAGAAAGACUUUUGUUCCCAAAUUUGCUAGAGAUGAUCCUUGUAUUUUUUUUGUCAUGCACAAAAAUAUUAAGCUAAAAACUCGAAGUGGAGAAGACUUUUUGACCGUUUGAAAAAAGUGUCUCCAUUUCAGACACUUUAAUGGCUACUGGCAGCAAACCUAUAAAAUCUCAAAUGCUCCUUAAGGGGGUUUGAGUUCUCAAGGUUUGAUGAGGGAUAGGGGGCCAAUAUAAGGGCCAAGUACCAGCACCCAUCACACAUCGUGUGCGCACACCCCCCGGCCCCACCAAUCGUCGGAACCUCUAAUACCGCCGGUUAGGCUCUCCGGCAAUGCUCUGACGAUGGUGCCUCGGGUGAAAAAAUGCGGCACCAGCACAUGCCCGAGCCCAGUAUGUGCACUGUGGCUCAAAUUCUUAGACUGGGAAUGAACUCCGUACGCUUAGACAUGAAAUGAACUCCGUAAGCCUAAGUCAACCCACGAAACGAGCGUGCAGGCGCUCAACCGGUCGGAGAGGCAGAAUGCGUAAGCCGAGGAUCAACCCAACCCCCCUUUGCGUGCUGUCGGUCCCGUUACCACAACCCUUGAUCCGGCUGGGGCUUAGGCAUGGAAUGAACUCCCUAUGCCUAAGCCAACCCACGAAACGGGCGUGCGGGCACUCAGCCGGUCGGAGAUGCAGAAUGCUCAACCGGGGAUCAGCCUGGUCCCCCCUGCCUGCUACUGAUCCUGCUACCGCAACCCUCGGCCCAGUUUGAUCGUAGACUGGAAAUGAACUCCAUAUGCUUAGACUGGAGAUGAACUCCGAAUGCCUAAGUCAACCCAUGAAAUGAGCGUGCAGGCGCUCAGCCGAUGGGAGAGGCAAAAUGUGCAAGCCGGGGAUCGACGCGGUCCCCCCUGCGUGCUGUCGAUCCUGUUCCUAGUCCUAUUGUCGUAACCCUCGGUCCGAUCUAAUCUUAGACUGAGAAUGAACUCCGUAUGCUUAGACAUGGAAUGAACUCCGUAUGCCUAAGCCAACCCACGAAACGAGCGUGCGGGCGCUCAGCCGGUCGAAGAAGCAGAAUGCACAAAUCGGGGACCGGUCUGGUCCUCGCCUACGUGCUGUCGAUCCUACUACUGCAACCCUCAGUCCGAUUCGAUCUUAAACUGGAAAUGAACUCCGUAUGCCUAAGUCAACCCAUGAAACGAGCGUUCGGGUGCUGAGCCGGUCGGAGAGGCAUAAUGCGCAAGUCGAGGUUCGAUCCAAUCCCCCUCUGAGUGCUACCGAUCCCGCUGCCACAACCCUCGGUCUGACUAAGGCUUCGACAUGGAAUGAACUCCCUAUGCCUAAGCCAACCCUUGAAACGGGCGUGCGGGCGCUCAGCCGGUCGGAGAGGCAGAAUUUGCAAGCUGGGGAUCGGCUUAGUCCCCCCUGCGUGCUGCUGAUCCUGCUGCCACAAACCUUGGUCCAAUUCGAUCUUAGACUGGAAAUGAACUCCAUAUGCUUAGACUGGGGAUAACUCUGUAUGCCUAAGCCAACCCACGAAAUGAGAGUGCGGGCACUCAACCGAUCGGAGAAGGCCGGCCAGAAAGGUAGAAUUUGCAAGCCGGAGAUCAGCCCGGUCCCCCAUGCGUGCUGUCGAUCCUGCUCUUGGUCCUGCUACCGCAACCCUCGGCCUGGUCCGAUCUUAGACUGGGAAUGCACUCCGUAUGCUUAGACAUGGGAUGAACUCCGUAUGCCUAAGCCAACCCAUGAAACGAGGGUACGGGUGCUCAAUCGACGGGAGAGGCAGAAUGCAUAAAACAGGGACCGACCCGAUCCCCCCUGCGUUCUGUCGAUCCUGCUAUCGUAACCCUUGGUCUGGUCUGAUCUUAGAUUGGGAAUGAACUUCGUAUGCCUAAGUCAACCCACAAAACGAGCGUACGGGCACUAAGCCAGUCGGAGAGGCAGAAUACGCAAGCCUGGGAUCAACCCGGUCCCCCUCUGCGUGUCGUUGGUCCCGUUGCCACAACCCUCGAUCCGACUGGGGCUUAGACAUGGAAUGCACUCCCUAUGUCUAAGCCAACCCAUGAAACGGGCAUUCGGGCGCUCAGCCGGCCGGAGAGGCAGAAUGCGUAAGCCGAGGAUCGACCCGGUCCCCCCUACGUGCUACCAAUUCGAUCUUAGACUGAGAAUGAACUCCGUAUGCUUAGAUUGGGGAUGAACUCCGUAUCCCUAAGUCAACCCAUGAAACGAGCGUGCGGGUGCUCAGUCGACCGAAGAGGCCGAUCGGAGAGGCAGAAUGUGCAAGCCGUGGAUCGACCCGAUCCCCCCUGCGUAUUAUCGAUCCUACUGCGUGCAACCCUCGAUCUGGUUCGAUCUUAGAUUGGGAAUGAACUCUGUAUGCUUAGACAUGGAAUGAACUCCGUAUGCCUAAGCCAACCCACGAAAUGACCAUACGGGUGCUCAGUCGGCUGGAGAGGCAGAAUGCGCAGGCCGGGGGUCGACCUGGUCCCCUCUGCGUGCUGCCGAUCUCGUUGACACAACCCUCAAUCCGGCUAGGGCUUAGACAUGGAAUGAACUCCCGAUGCCUAAGCCAACCCAUGAAAUGGGCGUGUGGGCGCUCAGCUGGUCGGAGAGGCAUAAUGUGCAAGUCGGGGAUCGAUCGAUCCCCCCUACGUGCUGCAGAUCCUGCUGUCGCAACCCGCGGUCUGAUCCGAUCUUAGAUUGAGAAUGAACUCCAUAUGCUUAGACUGGGGAUGAACUCUGUAUGCCUAAGUCAACCCACGAAACGUGCGAGCGGGCGCUCAGUCGGCCGAAGAGGCCGAUCGGAGAGGUAUAAUGCGCAGGCCAGAGAUUAGCCCGGUCCCCCUCUGUCUGCUGUCGAUCGCGCUGUCGGUCCUGCUGCCACAACCCUCAGUCCGACUGGGGCUUAGGCAUGGAAUGAACUCCGUAUGCCUAAGCCAACCCAUGAAACGAGCGUACGGGAGCUCAGCCAGUCGGAGAGGUAGAAUGCGUAAGUCGACGAUCGGCCCGGUCCCCCCUGCAUGCUGUCGAUCCUGCUACCCUAAACCUCAGUUCGGUCCGAUCUAAGAUUGGGAAUGAACUCCGUAUGCCUAAGUCAACCCACGAAACGAGCGUGCGGGUGCUGAGCCGACCGGAGUGGCAUAAUGCGCAAGGCGGUCCCCCUCUGUGUGCUGCCAGUCCCGCUACCACAACCCUCGGUCCGGCUGGGGCUUUGACAUGGAAUGAACUCCCUAUGCCUAAGCCAACCCACAAAACGGUCGUGCGCGCACUCAAUCGAUCGAAGAGGCAGAAUGCGCAAGCCGGGGAUGCACCGGCCCCCUUGUGUUCAGCCGAUCUUGCUACCGCAACCCUCGAUCCGGUUAGAUCUUAGACUGGGAAUGAACUCCGUAUGCUUAGAUUGGGGAUGAACUCCGUAUGCCUAAGUCAACACACGAAACGAGCGUACGGCCGUCAGCCGGCCGGAGAGGUAGAAUGCGCAAGCCGGGGAUCGGUCCGAUCCUUCCCUGUGUGCUGUCGAUCCUGCUACUGGUCCUGUUGUCGCAACGCUCGAUCUGGUCUGAUCUUAGACUGGGAAUGAACUCCGUCUGCUUAGACAUGGAAUGAACUCCGUAUGCCUAAGCCAACCCACGAAACGAGCGUGCGGGCGGUCAGUCGAUCGGAGAGGCAGAAUGUGCAAGCCGAGGACCAACCCGAUCCCCCCUACGUGCUGUCGAUCCUACAGCCACAACCCUCAGUCCAGUUCGAUUUUAGACUGGGAAUGAACUUUGCAUGCCUAAGUCAACCCACGAAACGAGCGUUCGACUGCUGAGCCGGUCGGAGAGGCAUAAUACGCAAGCCGAAGAUUGGCUCUAUCCCCCUCUACGUGCUGUCGGUCCCGCUGCCACAACCCUCAGUCCGGCUGGGGCUUAGACAUGGAAUGAACUCCCUAUGCAUAAGCCAACCCACGAAACGGGUGUGCGGGCGCUCAGCCAGUCGGAGAGGCAAAAUGCGCAAGUCGGGGAUCGACCCGGUCCACCCUGCGUGCUGUCGAUCCUACUGCCGCAACCCUCGAUCCGAUCCAAUGUUAGACUGGGAAUGAACUCUGUAUGCCUAAGCCAACCCACGAAACGAGCAUACGGGCACUCAGUCGAUCGGAGAGGCAGAAUGCGCAAGCUGAGGAUCGGCUCGGUCCCUCCUGUGUGCUGUCGAUCCUGCUGUCGCAACCCUCGGUCCGAUUCGAUCUUAGACUGGGAAUGAACUUCGUAUGCCUAAGUCAACCCACGAAACGAGCGUGCGGGCGCUAAGCCUGCCGGAGAGGCAUAAUACGCAAGCCAGGGAUCGGCCCGAUCCCCUUCUAUGCGCUACCGGUCCUACUGCCACAACCCUUGGUUCGGCUGGGGCUUAGACAUGGAAUGAACUCGCUAUGCCUAAGCCAACUCAUGAAACGGGCGUGCGGGCGCUCAGUCGGUCAGAGAGGUAGAAUGCGUAUGCCGAGGAUCGACCCGGUCCUCAUUGCCUGCUGUCGUAAACCUCGGUCCGGUCCGAUCUUAGAUUGGGAAUGAACUCCGUAUGCUUAGAUUGGGGAUGAACUCCGUAUGCCUAAGUCAACCCUCCCCACGAGCGUGCGGACAUUCAGCCAACCAGAGAGGCAGGAUGCGCAAGCCAGGGAUCGAACGGGUGGUUGGUGGGUUCAAGCACAUCUUCAUAUUUUUGCCAUGCCAAUGCCAUUUUUGUGGCUUGUAAAUUCAUACAAUGGUCCCCUACGCCUUCAUGUGAAGUUUCGUGGCAAGACGACCCAUUUUCUAUUUUUCAUGAUUUUCGAAACUUUUUGCGAUUCGAGAUUUUUUUAAAUUUUUUUAGAAAGAGUUUUGUCCCCCACGAAACGAGUGUGCGGGCACUAAGCCGGCCGGAGAGGCAUAAUGCACAAGCUAGGGAUCGAUUCGAUCCCUUUCUACGUACUGUCGGUCCUGCUGCCACAGCCCUCGGUCCCGCUGGGGCUUAGACAUGGAAUGAAAUCCCUACGCCUAAGCCAACUCAUGAAACGGGCAUGCAGGGGCUCAACCGACCGGAAAGGCGGAAUACGCAAGCCGAGGAUCGGCCCGAUCCUCCCUGCAUGUUACCGAUCUAGCUGCCGUAAACCUCGGUCCGAUCCGAUCUUAGAUUGGGAAUGAACUUCGUAUGCUCAGACUGGGGAUGAACUCCGUAUACCUAAGUCAAUCCACGAAACGAGCCUACGGACGCUCAGCCGACCAGAGAGGCAAGAUGCGUAAGCCGGGGAUCGAACGGGUGGUUGGUAGGUUCAAGCACAUCUUCAUAUUUCUGCCAUGCCAAUGCCAUUUUUAUGGCUUGUAAAUUCAUACAAUGGUCCCCUACACCUUCAUGUGAAGUUUCGUGGCAAGAGGACCCGUUUUCUAUUUUUCAUGAUUUUCAAAACUUUUUACGGUUCGGGAUUUUUCAAAAUUUUUUAAGAAUGCGUUUUGUCCCAAAAUUUGGUAGAGGUGAUCCUUUUAUUUUUUUUGGCAUGCACAAAAAAAUUCAGCUAAAAACUCGAAGUGGAGAAGAUUUUGUGACCGCUUGAAAAAAGUGGAGAAGAUUUUAGAUACUUUAAUGGCUACUGGCAGCAAACCUAUAAAAUCUCAAAUGCUCUUUAAGGGGGUGUGAGUUCUCGAGGUUUGAUGACGGAUAGGGGGCAAUAUAAGGGCCAAGUACCAGCACCCAUCGCACAUCAUGUGCGCACACCCCCCGACCCCCCAAUCGUCGAAACCCCCAAUGUCGUCAGUUAAGCUCUCCGGUGAUGCACCGACGAUGCUCCGGCGAUGGUACCCCGAGCAAAAAAAAUGUGGCACCAGUACAUGCCCGAGCUCAGCAUGUGCACCGUGGCUCAAACUCUUAGAUUGGGAAUGAACUUCGUAUGCUUAGACAUGGAAUGAACUCCGUAUGCCUAAGCCAACCCAUGAAAACGAGCGUGGGGGCGCUCAACCGGUCGGAGAGGUAGAAUGCGCAAGCCGGGGAUCAGCCUGGUCCCCCUCUGUGUGCUUCCAGUCUCAUUGUAACAACCCUCAGUCCGGCUGGGGCUUAGACAUGGAAUGAACUCCCUAUGCCUAAGCCAACCCACGAAACGGGCGUGCAGGCGUUCAAACGACCGGAAAGGCAGAAUGUGGAAGUCGAGGAUCGACCCGGUCCCCCCUGCAUGCUGUUGAUCCUACUGCCGCAAACCUCGAUCUGAUUCGAUCUUAUGCUUAGACUGGGAAUAACUCUGUAUGCCUAAGUCAACCCAUGAAACGAGCGUACGGGCGUUCAGCCGAUCGAAGAGGCAGAAUGCACAAGCCGGGGACCGACCCGGUCCCCCCUGCAUGCUAUCGAUCCUGCUGCCGCAACCCUCAGUUCAGUCUGAUCUUAGACUGGGAAUGAAUUUUGUAUGCCUAAGUCAACCCACGAAAUGAGCGUGCGGACGCUCAGCCGACCAGAGAGGCAGAAUGCGUAAGCCAGGGAUCGAACGGGUGGUAGGUGGGUUCAAGCACAUCUUUAUAUUUCUGCCAUGCCAAUGCCAUUUUUAUGGCUUGUAAAUUCAUACAAUGGUCCCCUACGCCUUCAUGUGAAGUUUCGUGGCAAGAUGACUCGUUUUCCAUUUUUCACGAUUUUCAAAACUUUUUAUGGUUCGGGAUUUUUUAAAAUUUUUUUAGAAAGAGUUUUGUCCCCAAAUUUGGUAGAGGUGAUCCUUGUAUUUUUGUUGGCAUGCACAAAAACAUUCAGCUAAAAACUCAAAGUGGAGAAUAUUUUGUGACCGCUUGAAAAAAGUGUCCCCAUUUCAGACACUUUUAUGGCUACUGGCAGCAAACCUAUAAAAUCUCAAAUGCUCUUUAAGUGGGUGUGAGUUUUCGAGGUUUGACGAGGGAUAGGGGGCCAAUAUAAGGGCCAAGUACCAGCACCCAUCAGACAUCAUGUGCGCACACCCCCCAGCCCCCCAAUGUCGUCGGUUAGGCUCUCCGAUGAUGCUCCGGCGAUGGUGCCCCAGCAGAAAAAAAUGUGGCACCAGCACAUGCCCGAGCCCAGUAUGUGCACCAUGGCUCAAAAUCUUAGAUUGAGAAUGAACUCCGUAUGCUUAGACAUGUAAUGAACUCCGUAUGCCUAAGCCAACCCACGAAACGAGCAUGCGGGCGCUCAGUCGGCCGGAGAGGCAAAAUGCACAAGCCAAGGAUCGACCUGAUCCCCCCUACGUGCUGUAGAUCCUGCCAUCGCAACCCUCGGUCCAGUCCAAUCUUAGACAUGGAAUGAACUCUGUAUGCCUAAGCUAACCCACAAAAAGAGCGCGCGGGCGCUCAACCGACCGAAAAGGCAGAAUGCGCAAGCCAGAGAUCGACCCGGCCCCCCUCUGGGUGCUGUCGAUCCCGCUGCCACAACCCUCAAUCCGGCUGGGGUUUAGACAUGGAAUGAACUCCCUAUGCCUAAACCAGCCCACGAAAUGGGCGUGCGGGCGCUCAGCUGACCGGAGAGGCAGAAUGCGUAAGCUAGGGAUCGGCUCGAUCCCCCCCUGUGUGCUGCCGAUCCUGCUCUCGCCACCCUCGGUCUGGUUUGAUCUUAGACUGGGAAUGAACUCCGUAUGCUUAGAUUGGGGAUGAACUCCGUAUGCCUGAGUCAACCCACAAAACGAGCGUGCGGGUGCUCUACCGACUAGAGAGGCCGAUCAGAGAGGCAGAAUACGCAAGCUGGGGAUACUCUCAGUCCUCCUUGCGUGCUACUAAUCCUGCUGCUAGUCCUGCUAUCGUAACCCUCGAUCCAAUCUAAUCUUAGACUGGGAAAGAACUCCGUAUGCUUAGACAUGGAAUGAACUUCGUAUGCCUAAGCCAACAAAUGAAACGAGUGUGCGGGCGUUCAGUCAGACGGAGAGGCAGAAUGCGUAAGUCGGGGACGGCCUGGUCCCCACCUGCGUGCUGUCGAUCCUGCUUCCGCAACCCUCUGUCCGAUCCGAUCUUAGACUAGAAUGAAAUCCGUAUGCCUAAGUCAACCCACAAAACAAGCGUUCGGGCACUAAGCCGGCCGAAGAGGUAAAAUGCACAAGCCGAGGAUGGGUUCGAUCCCUCUCUACGUGCUACCGAUCCUGCUGCCACAACCGUCGGUCCGACUGGGGCUUAGACAUGGAAUGAACUCCCUAUGCCUAAGUCAACCCACGGAAUGGGCAUGCGGGUGCUCAACCGAUCGGAGAGGCAGAAUGCGUAAGCUGGGGUUCGACCCGGUCCGCCCUGCGUGCUGUCGAUCCUAUUGCUGCAACCCUCGGUUCGAUCCAAUCUUAGACUAGGAAUGAACUCCGUAUGCUUAGACAGGGGAUAAACUCUGUAUGCCUAAGUCAACCCACGAAACGAGCAUGCGGGUGCUCAACCGGCCUUUAGUCGAUCGGAGAGGCAUACUACGCAAGUCGGGGAUCAGCUCGGUCCCCCUUUGCAUCCUGUCGAUCCCGCUGCCGGUCCUACAGCCAUGACCCUCGAUCCGACUGGGGCUUAGACAUGGAAUGAACUCCGUAUGCCUAAGCCAACCCAUGAAACAAGUGUACGGGCGCUCAGCCGGGGAUCGAUCUGGCCCACUUGACGUACUGUCGAUUCUGCUGCUGGUCCUGCUGCCGCAACCCUCGAUCCGAUACGAUCUUAGACUGGGAAUGAACUCUAUAUGCUUAGACAUGGAAUGAACUUCGUAUGCCUAAGCCAACACACGAAACAAGCGUGCGGGCACUCAACCUGCCGGAGAGGUAGAAUGCGCAAGCCGGAGAUCGACCUGGUCCCCCCUGCGUGCUGUCGAUCCUGCUGCCGUAACCUUCGAUCCGGUCUAAUCUUAGACUGGGAAUUAACUCCGUAUGCCUAAGUUAACCCACGAAACGAGUGUUCGGGUGCUGACCAAUUUGGAGAGGCAUAAUACGUAAGUUGGGGAUCAGUUCGGUCCCCCUCUGCGUACUGUCGGUCCCACUGCCACAACCCUCGGUUCGACUGGGGCUUAGACAUCGAAUGAACUCCCUAUGCCUAAACCAACCCACGAAAUGGGCGUGCAGGCGCUCAGCUGACCGAAGAGGCAGAAUGCGUAAGCUAGGGAUCGGCUCGGUCCCCCCUGUGUGCUGUCGAUCUUGCUGUCGCAACCCUCGGUCUGGUUUGAUCUUAGACUAGGAAUGAACUCCAUAUGCUUAGACUGGGGAUGAACUCCGUAUGCCUGAGUCAACCCACAAAACGAGUGUACGGCUGCUCUACCGAUCGAAGAGGCUGAUCGGAAAGGCAGAAUACGCAAGUCGAGGAUCCGCUCUGUCCCUCCUAUGUGCUACUGAUCCUGCCUGCUACCGUAACCCUCGGUCCAAUCUGAUCUUAGACUGGGAAUGAACUCUGUAUGCUUAGACAUGAAAUGAACUCCAUAUGCCUAAGCCAACCCAUGAACUGAGCGUACGGGCAUUCAACCGAACGGAGAGGCAGAAUGCACAAGUCGGGGACCGACCUGGUCCCCCCCUGCGUGCUGUCGAUCCUGCUUCUGCAACCCUCGGUCCGGUCUGAUCUUAGACUGGGAAUGAAAUCCGUAUGCCUAAGUCAACCCACGAAAUGAGCGUUCGGGCACUGAGUCGAUCGAAGAGGCAUAAUACGCAAGUCGAGGAUGGGCUCGAUCCCCCUCUACGUGCUGCCGAUCCCGCUGCCACACCCUCGGUCCGACUGGGGCUUAGACAUGGAAUGAACUCCAUAUGCCUAAGCCAGCCCACGAAACGGGCAUGCGGGCGCUCAACCGGUCGGAAAGGCAGAAUGCGUAAGCUGGGGUUCGACCCAAUCCCCCCUGCGUGCUGUCGAUCCUGCUGCUGUAACCCUCCGAUCCGAUCCGAUCUUAGACUAGGAAUGAACUCCGUAUGCUUAGACUGGGGAUAAACUCCGUAUGCCUAAGUCAACCCAUGAAACGAGCAUGCUGGCGCUCAGCUAGCCUCCGAUCGAUCGGAAAGGCAUACUACGCAAGUCGGGGAUCAGCCCGAUCCCUCUUUGCAUCCUGUCGAUCCCGCUGUCGAUCCUGCAGCCAUGACCCUCGAUCCGACUGGGGCUUAGACGUGGAAUGAACUCCGUAUGCCUAAGCCAACCCAUGAAACAAGCGUGCGGGUGCUCAGUCGGUCGAAGAGGCAGAAUGCACAAGCCGAGGAUCAACCUAGUCCCCCCUGACGUGCUGUCGAUCUUGCUACUGGUCCUGCUGUUACAACCCUCGGUCUGGUGUGAUCUUAGAUUGGGAAUGAACUCCGUAUGCUUAGACAUGGAAUGAACUCCGUAUGCCUAAGCCAACACACGAAACAAGCGUGCGGGCACUCAACCUGCCGGAGAGGUAGAAUGCACAAGCCGGAGACUGACCUUGGUCCCCCUACAUGCUGUCGAUCCUACUGCCGUAACCCUUGGUCUGGUCUGAUCUUAGACUGGGAAUGAACUUCGUAUGCCUAAGUUAACCCACGAACAAGCGUUCAGGUGCUGAGCCGGUCAGAGAGGCAUAAUGCGCAAGCUGGGGAUCAGCCCGAUCCCUCUCUGUGUGCUGUCGAUCCCACUACCACAACCCUCGAUUCGACUGCGGCUUAGACAUGGAAUGAACUCCCUAUGCCUAAGCCAACCCAUAAAACGGGUGUACGGUCGCUCAGCCGACCGGAGAGGCAAAAUGCGCAAGCAAGGGAUCAGCCCGAUCCCUCUACGUGCUGUCGAUCCUGCUGCCGCAACCCUCGGUCCGGUCUAAUCUUAGACUGGGAAUGAACUCCGUAUGCUUAGACUGGGGAUGAACUCCGUAUGCCUAAGUCAACCCACGAAACGAGUGUGCUGAGUGCUGCCGUUGCGUGCUGCCGAUCCCGCUGUCGGUCCGGUUGCCACAACCUUCGGUCUGACUGGGGCUUAGACAUGGAAUGAACUCCGUAUACCUAAGCCAACCCAUGAAAUAAGCGUGCAGGCGGCCAGUCGACCGGAGAGGUAAAAUGAGCAAGUCGGGGAUUGGCCUGAUCCCCCCCUAUGUGCUGUUGAUCUUGCUGCUGGUCCUGCUACCGUAACCCUCGGUCCGGUCCAAUCUUAGACUGGUAAUGAACUCCGUAUGCCUAAGUCAACCCACGAAUGGGCGUGUGGGCGCUGAGCCAGUCGGAGAGGCAUAAUGCACAAGCCGGGGAUCGGCCAGGUCCCCCUCUGUGUGCUGCCAAUCCCGCAGCCACAACCCUCGAUCCGGCUGGGCUUAGACAUGGAAUGAACUCCUUAUUCCUAAGCCAACCCAUGAAAUGGGCGUGCGGGCGCUCAGCCGACCGGAGAGGCAAAAUGCGUAAGUCGGGUAUCAGCCCGGUCCCCCCUGCGUGCUGCUGAUCCUACUGCCGCAACCCUCGAUCUAGCUCGAUCUUAGGCUGGGAAUGAACUCCGUAUGCUUAGACUAGGGAUAAACUCCGUAUGCUUAGACCAGAGAGGUAGGAUGUGCAAGCCGAGGAUCGAACGGGUGGUAAGUGGGUUCAAGCACAUCUUCAUAUUUCUGCCAUGCCAAUGUCAUUUUUAUGGCUUGUAAAUUCAUACAAUGGUCCCCUAAGCCUUCAUGUGAAGUUUCGUGGCAACACGACCCGUUUUCUAUUUUUCACGAUUUUUGAAACUUUUUACGGAUCGAGAUUUUUUAAAUUCUUUAAGAAAAGUUUUGUCCCCAAAUUUGGUAGAGGUGAUCCUUGUAUUUUUGUUGGCAUGCACAAAAAAAUUCAGCUAAAAACUCAAAGUGGAGAAGAUUUUGUGACCAUUUGAAAAAAGUGUCCCCAUUUCAGACACUUUAAUGGCUGCUGGCAGCAAACCUAUAAAAUCUCAAAUGCUCUUUAAGGGGGUGUGAGUUCUUGAGGUUUGAUGAGGGAUAGGGGCCCAAUAUAAGGGCCAAAUACCAGCACCCAUUGCACAUCAUGUGCGCACACUCCCCCGGCCCCCCAAUCGCCGGAACCCUCAAUGCCAUUGGUUAGGCUCUCCAGCGAUGCUCCGGUGAUGCUCCGACGAUGGUGCCCCCGAGCGAAAAAAGAUGCAGCGCCAGCACAUGCCCGAGGCCAGCAUGUGCACCAUGGCUCAAACUCUUAGACUAGGAAUGAACUCCGUAUGCUUAGACAUGGAAUGAACUUCGUAUACCUAACCCAACCCACGAAAUGAGUGUACGGGUGCUCAGCCGGCCAGAGAGGCAGAAUGUGCAAGUCGGGGUUCGGCCUGGUCCCCCCCUACGAGCGUAGAUCCUGCUGCCACAACCCUCGAUUUGAUCUGAUCUUAGACUUGGAAAUGAACUCCGUAUGCGAAAGUUAACCCACGAAACGAACAUGCAGGCGCUGAGCCAGCCGAAGAGGCAUAAUGCGCAAGCCGGGGAUUGGCCCGAUCCCCUUCUACGUGCUGCCAGUCCCACUGCCACAACCCUUGAUUCAGCUGGGGCUUAGACAUGGAAUGAACUCCCUAUGCCUAAGCCAACCCAUGAAACGGGAGUGCGGGCACUCAGCCAGCCGGAGAGGCAGAAUGCGCAAGUCGGGGAUUGUCUCGAUCCCCCCCUGCGCGCUAUCAAUCCUACUGUCGCAACCCUCGGUCUGGUUUGAUCUUAGACUAGGAAUGAACUUCGUAUGCUUAGACUGGGGAUGAACUCCGUAUGCCUAAGUCAACCCACGAAACGAGCGCGCGGGUGCUCAGCCGGUUGGAAAGGUGUAAUGCGUAAGUCGAGGAUCAGCCCGGUCUACCUCUACGUGUUGCUGAUCCCGUUGCCGGUCUUGUUGCCAUAACCCUCGGUCCGACUGGGGCUUAGACAUGGAAUGAACUCCGUAUGCCUAAGCCAACCCACGAAACGAGCGUGUGGUUGGUCAACUGGCCGGAGAGGCAGAAUGCGUAGGUCAGGGAUCGGCCUGGUCCCCCCUGUAUGCUAUCGAUCCUGUUACUGGUCCUGCUAUCGCAACCCUCAAUCUGAUCUAAUCUUAGACUGUGAAUGAACUCCGUAUGCCUAAGUCAACCCAUGAAACGAGUGUGCGAGCGCUGAGCUGGUCGGAGAGGCAUAAUGCAUAAACCGAGGAUCAACCUGAUCCCUCUCUGCGUGCUGUCGGUCCCGUUGCCACAACCCUCAGUCCGGCUGGGGCUUAGAAAUGGAAUGAACUCCCUAUGCCUAAGCCAACCCAUGAAACGGGCUUCCUGGCGCUCAGUCGGUCGAAGAGGCAGAAUGCAUAAGCUGAGGAUCGACCCGAUCCCCUUUGUGUGCUAUCAAUACUACUGUCGUAACCCUCGAUUCGAUCCGAUCUUAGAUUGGGAAUGAACUCUAUAAGCUUAGACUGGGGAUGAACUCCGUAUGCCUAAGUCAACCCACGAAAUGAGCGUGCGGGCGCCAGUCGACCAGAGAGGCAGGAUGCGCAAGUCGAGGAUCGAACGGGUGGUAGGUGGGUUCAAGCACGUCUUCAUAUUUCUGCCCUGGCCAAUGCCAUUUUUAUGGCUUGUAAAUUCAUACAAUGGUCCUCUAAGCCUUCAUGUGAAGUUUCAUGGCAAGACAACCCGUUUUCUAUUUUUCACGAUUUUUAAAACUUUUUAAGGUUCGAGAUUUUUUAAAAUUUUUUUAGAAAGAUUCUUGUCCCCAAAUUUGGUAGAGGUGAUCCUUGUAUUUUUUUUGGCUUGCACAAAAAAAUUCAGCUAAAAAUUCAAAGUGGAGAAGAUUUUGUGACCAUGUGUCCAUUUCAGACACUUUAAUGGCUAUUGGCAGAAACCUAUAAAAUCUCAAUGCUCUUUAAGGGGGUGUGAUUGUCAGGUUUGAUGAGGAUAAGGGGCCAAUAUAAGGGCCAAGUACCAGCACCCAUCGCACAUCAUGUGCGCACACCCACCCGGCCAACCCAAUCGCCGGAACCCCAAUGCCGUCGGCUAAGCUCUCCGGUGAUGCUCCGACGACGAUGCCCCAGGCAAAAAAAAUGUGGGACCAGCACAUGCCCAAGCCCAGCAUGUGCACCAUGGCUCAAAAGCUUAGACUGGGAAUGAACCCGUAUGCUUAGACAUGGAAUGAACUCCGUAUGUCUAAGCCAACCCACGGAACGAGCCUGUGGGUGCUCAGCCGGUCGGAGAGGCAAAAUGCACAAGUCGAGGAUCGACUUGGUCCCCCCCUACGUGCUGUCAAUCCUACUAACGUAACCCUUGGUCCGGUCCAAUCUUAGACUUGGAAUGAACUCUGUAUGCAUAAGUCAACUCACGAAAUGAGCGUGCGGGAGCUGAGCCGGUCAAAGAGGCAUAAUGUGCAAGUCGAGAAUCAGCCUGGUCCCCCUCUGCAUGCUGCUAGCCCCGUUGCCACAACCAUUGGUCCGACUGGGGCUUAGACAUGGAAUGAACUCCCUAUGCCUAAGCCAACCCACGAAAUGGGCGUGCGGGUGCUCAGCCGAUCGGAGAGGCAGAAUGCACAAGUCGAGGAUCGGCUCGAUCCCCCCUACGUGCUGCCGAUCUAGCUGCUGCAACCCUUGGUCUGGUUCGAUCAUAGACUGGGAAUGAACUCCGUAUGCUUAGACUGAGGAUGAACUUCGUAUGCCUAAGUCAACCCAUGAAACGAGCGUGCGGGCGCUCAACCGGCCGGAGAGGCAUAAUGCACAAGCCGGGGACCAGCUCGAUCCCUCUCUGCAUGCUAUCGAUCCCGCUACCGGUCCUGCUACCACAACCCUAAAUCUGACUGGGGCUUAGACAUGGAAUGAACUUCGUAUGCCUAAGCCAACCUACGAAACGAGCGUGCGGGCUCUUAGCCGGCCGGAUCGACCUGGUCCCCCCUUACGUGCUACCGAUCCUGCUACUGGUCUUGCUACCACAACCCUCGGUCCGAUUCGAUCUUACAUUGGGAAUGAACUCCGUAUGCUUAGACAUGGAAUGAACUGCAUAUGCCAAAGCCAACCCACGAAACUAGUGUGUGGGCGCUCAGCCGGUCGGAGAGGCAGAAUGCGCUAGUUGGGGAUCGGCCCGAUCCCCCUACGUUCUGUCGAUCCUGCUGCUACAACCCUUAAUUCGAUCUGAUCUUAGACUGGGAAUGAACUCUGUAUGUCGAAGUCAACCCAUGAAACAAGUGUACAGGCGCUGAGCCGAUCGGAGAGGCAUAAUGCGCAAACCGGGGACCGAUCCGGUCCCCCUUUGCAUGCUGUCGGUCCCGCUGCCACAACCCUCGGUUCGACUGGCACUUAGACAUGGAAUGAACUCCCUAUGCCUAAGCCAACCCAUGAAACGGGCGUGCGGGCACUCAACCAGUCGGAGAGGCAGAAUGCGCAAGUCGGGGUCGGCCCGAUCCCCCCUGCGUGCUAUCGAUCCUGCGGUCGUAACCCUCGAUCCGGUCUAAUCUUAAACGGGUAAUGAACUCCGUAUGCUUAGACUGGGGAUGAACCCGUAUGCCUAAGUCAACCUAUGAAACGAGCGUGCAGGCAUUCAAUCGACGAGAGAGGUAGUAUGCACAAGCCGAGGAUCGAACAGUUGGUAGGUGGGUUCAAGCACAUCUUCAAAUUUCUACCGUGCCAAUGCCAUUUUUAUGGCUUGUAAAUUCAUACAAUGGUCCAGUCCGUAUGCCUAAGUCAACCCAUGAAACAGCGUGGGGGUUCAGUCGAUCGGAGAGGCAGAAUGCAUAAGCCGAGGACCAGCCCGGUCCCCCUCUGUGUGCUAUCGGUCCCGCUGCCACAACCCUCGGCCCGACUGGGGCUUAGACAUGGAUUGAACUCCCUAUGCCUAAACCAACCCACGAAACGGGCGUGCGGGCGCUCAGCCGGCCGGAGAGGCAGAAUGUGCAAGCCGAGGAUCGACCCGAUCCCCCCUGCGUGCUGCCGAUCCUGCUGCCGUAACCCUCGGUCCGAUUCGAUCUUAGACUGGGAAUGAACCCCGUAUGCUUAGACUGGGGAUGAACUCCGUAUGCCUAAGUCAACCCAUAAAAUGAGUGUGCGGGUGCUCAGUCGGCCAGAGAGGUAUAAUGCGCAAGCCGAGGAUCGGACCGGUCCCCCCUUACAUGCUGUCGAUCCUGCUGCUGGUCCUACUGCCGUAACCCUCGGUCCAGUCUGAUCUUAGACUGGGAAUGAACUCUAUAUGCUUAGACAUGGAAUGAACUCCGUAUGCCUAAGCCAACCCAUGAAAUGAGCGUGCGGGCGCUCAGCUGAUCAGAGGGGCAGAAUACGCAAGCCAGGGAUCGAUCCGGUACCCCCCCUGCCUGCUGUCGAUCCUAUUACCGCAACCCUCGAUCCGGUUAAAUUUUAGACUGGGAAUGAACUUUAUAUGCCUAAGUCAACCCAUGAAACGAGCGUUCGGGCACUGAGCCCACCAGAAAAGUAUAAUGCGCAAGUCAAGGAUCGACCCUAUCCUCUUCUGCGUGCUGUCGGUCCCGCUGCCACAACCCUCUGUUCGGCUGGGGCUUAGACAUGGAAUGAACUCCCUAUGCCUAAGCCGACAAAUGAAACGGGCGUACGGGUGCUCAACCGGUCGGAGAGGCAGAAUGCGCAAGUCGGGGAUCGACCUGAUCCCCCCUACAUGCUACCGAUCCUGCUGCCGCAACCCUCGGUCCGAUCUAUUAUUAGACUGGGAAUGAACUCCGUAUGCCUAAGUCAACCCACGAAACGAGAGUGUGGGCACUCAGCCGGUCAGAGAGCCAUAAUGCGCAAGCUGGGGAUCGGCCCGGUCCCCCUCUACAUGCUGCCGAUCCCGUUACCGGUCCUGUUGCCACAACCCUCGGUUCGGCUAGGGCUUAGACAUGGAAUGAACUCUGUAUGCCUAAGCCAACCCAUGAAAUGAUCGUGCGCGCGCUCAGCUAACCGAAGAGGCAGAAUGCGCAAGCUGGGGAUCGACUCGGUCCCCCCUGCAUGUUGUCGAUCCUACUGUUGGUCCUGCUGCUGCGACCAUCGGUCCGGUCUGAUCUUAGAUUGGGAAUGAACUCUGUAUGCUUAGACAUGGAAUGAACUCCGUAUGCUUAAGCCAACCCAUGAAACAAGCGUGUGAGUGCUCAACCGAUCGGAGAGGCAGAAUACGCAAGCCUGGGACCAGCUCGGUCCCCCCUGCAUGCUCUCGAUCCUGCUAUUGGUCCUGCUGCAGCAACCCUCGUUUCGGUUCGAUCUUAGACUGGGAAUGAACUUCGUAUGCUUAGAAAUGGAAUGAACUCUGUAAGCCUAAGCCAACCCAUGAAACGAGCGUACGGGCGCUGAACCGGUGGGAGAGGCAGAAUGCACAAGCCUACGAUCGACCUGGUCCCCCACUGCGUGCUGUCGAUCCUGUUGCUUGUCCUGCUGCCACAACCCUCAGUCCGACUGGGGCUUAGACAUGGAAUAAACUUCGUAUGCCUAAGCCAACCCACGAAAUGAGCGUGCGAAUGCUCAGUCGGUCGGAGAGGUAGAAUGCACAAGCCGGGGAUCGGCCCGGUCCCCCCCUCCGUGCUGUCGAUCCUGCUGCUGGUCCUACUGCCACAAGCCUCGAUCUGGUCCGAUCUUAGACUGGGAAUGAACUUCGUAUGCUUAGACAUGGAAUGAACUCCGUGUGCCUAAGCCAACCCACGAAACGAGCGUGCGGGCGCUCAGUCGAUCGGAGAGGCAGAAUGCGCAAGUCGGGGACCAACUUGGUCCCCCCUGCGUGCUGUCAAUCCUGCGUGCUGACUUAGGAAUGAACUCUGUAUGCCUAAGUCAGCCCAUGAAACGAGCGUUCGGGCACUGAGUCGACCGGAGAGGCAUAAUACGCAAGUCAAGGAUCGACCCGAUUCGCCUCUACAUGUUGUCGGUCCCAUUGCCACAACCUUUGGUCUGGCUGGGGCUUAGACAUGGAAUGAACUCCUUAUGCCUAAGCCAACCCACGAAAUGGGCAUGCGGACACUCAGCCGGUCGAAGAGGCAGAAUGCGUAAGUCGGGGAUCGGCCUGGUCCCUCUGCAUGCUGCCGAUCCUACUGCUGCAACCCUCGGUCCGGUCUGAUCUUAUACUGGGAAUGAACUUUGUAUGUUUAGACUGUGGAUGAACUCUGUAUGCCUAAGUCAAACCAUGAAACGAGCGUGCGGACGCUCAGCCGACCGAAGAGGCAGAUUACGCAAGUCGGGGAUCAGCCCGAUCACCCCUGCGUGUUGUCGAUCCUGCUGUCGUAACCCUCGGUCUGGUCCGAUCUUAGACUGGGAAUGAACUCCGUAUGCCUAAGUCAACCCACGAAACGAGCGUUCGGGCGCUGAGCUGACCGAAGAGGCAUGAUGCGCAAGCCGAGGAUCGGCCCGAUCCCUCUCUGCGUACUGCCGAUCCCGCUACCAUAACCCUCAGUCCGACUGGGGCUUAGACAUGGAAUGAACUCCCUAUGCCUAAGCCAACCCACGAAAUGGGCGUGCGGGCGCUCAGCCGGCUGGAGAGGCAGAAUGCACAAGUCGUGGAUCGACCUGGUCCCCCUGCAUGCUAUCGAUCCUGCUACCGUAACCUUCGGUCCAGUCCGAUCUUAGACUGGGAAUGAACUUCUUAUGCUUAGACUAGGGAUGAACUCCGUAUGCCUAAGUCAACCAACGAAACGAGCAAGCGAAUGCUCAGCAGGCCGGAAAGGUCGAUCCGAGAGACAUAAUGCACAAGCCGGGGAUUAGCCCGAUCCCCUUUUACGUGCUACCGAUCCCGCUGCCGGUCUUGCUGCCACAACCCUCGAUCCGGCUGGGGCUUAACAUGGAAUGCGCUCAGCCGACCAUAGAGGUAGAAUGCGCAAGUCGAGGAUCAGCCCGAUCCGCCCUGCAUGCUGUCGAUCCUGCUACCACAACCCUCGGUCCAGUCCGAUCUUAGACUGGGAAUGAACUCCGUAUGCCUAAGUCAACCCACGAAAUGAGCGUUUAGAAGCUGAGUUGACCGGAGAGGCAUAAUGCGCAAGCUGGGGAUCGACCCGGUUCCCCUUUACGUGUUGUCGGUCCCGUUACCACAACCCUCGAUCCUACUGGGGCUUAGACAUGGAAUGAACUCCCUAUGCCUAAGCCAACCCACGAAACGGGCGUGCGGGUGCUCAACCGAUUGGAGAGGCUGAAUGCGUAAGUCGGGGAUCGACCCAGUCCCUCCUGCAUGUUGUCGAUCCUGCUGUCGUAACCCUCGAUCCGAUCUGAUCUUAGACUAGGAAUGAACUCCGUAUGCUUAGACUAGGGAUGAACUCCGUAUGCCUUAGUCAACCCACGAAACGAGCGUGCGGCGCUCAGUCGGCCGAAGAGGCCUACCGGAGAGGCAUAAUGCACAAGCCGAUGAUCAGCUCAAUCCCCCUCUAUGUGCUGUCGAUCCCGCUGCCGGUCUUACAGCCACAACCCUCGGUCCGACUGGGGCUUAGACAUGGAAUGAACUUCGUAUGCCUAAGCCAACCCACGAAACGAGCGUACAAGCGCUCAGUCGGCCGAGAGGUAGAAUGCGCAAGCUGGGGAUCAGUCCGGUCCCCUCUGCGUGCUGUCGAUCCUGCGACUGGUCCUACUACCGCAACCCUCGGUUGGUCUGAUCUUAGACUGGGAAUGAACUCCAUAUGCUUAGACAUGGAAUGAACUCUGUAUGCCUAAGCCAACCCACAAAAUGAGCGUGUGGGCGCUCAGCCAACCAGAGAGACAGAAUGCGCAAGCUGGGGACCGACCCGAUCCCUCCUAUGUGCUAUCGAUCCUGCUACCGUAACCCUCAAUCUGGUCUGAUCUUAGACUGGGAAUGAACUCCAUACGCCUAAGUCAACCCACGAAAUGAGCAUGCGAGCACUGAGCCAGCAGGAGAGGCAUAAUGCGCAAGCCUAGGAUCGGCCCGAUCCCCCUCUGUGUGCUGUCGGUCCCACUACCACAACCCUCAGUCCGGCUGGGGCUUAGACAUGGAAUGAACUCCUUAUUCCUAAGCCAAACCACGAAAUGGGCGUGUGGGUGCUCAACCGACUGGAGACGCAGAAUGCAUAAGUCAGAAAUCGACUCGGUCCCCAGACUAGGGAUGAACUCCGUAUGCUUAGACCAGAGAGGCAGGAUGUGCAAGCUAGGGAUCAAACGGGUGGUAGGUGGGUUCAAGCACAUCUUCAUAUUUCUGCUAUGCCAAUGCCAUUUUUAUGGCUUGUAAAUUCAUACAAUGGUCCCCUACACCUUCAUGUGAAGUUUCGUGGCAAGAUGACCCGUUUUCUAUUUUUCAUGAUUUUUUAAACUUUUUGUAGUUCAGGAUUUUUAAAAUUUUUUUAGAAAGAGUUUUGUCCCCAAAUUUGGUAGAGGUGAUCCUUGUAUUUUUUUUGGCUUGCACAAAAAAAUUUAGCUAAAAACUCAGAGUGGAGAAGAUUUUGUGACCAUUUAAAAAAAGUGUCCCCAUUUCAGACACUUUAAUGGCUACUGCAGCAAACCUAUAAAAUCUCAAAUGCUCUUUAAGGAAGUGUGAGUUCUCAAAGUUUGAUGAGGGAUAGGGGGCCAAUAUAAGGGCCAAGUACCAGCACCCAUCGCACAUAAUGUGCGCACAUCCCCCUCGGCCCCCCCAAUCGCCGGAACCCCCAAUGCCGCCGGUUAGGCUCUCCGACGAUGCUCCGACGAUGGUGCCCCGUAUGAAAAAAAAGUGGCUCCAGCACAUGCCUGAUCCCAGUAUGUGCACCGUGGCUCAAACUCUUAGACUGUGAAUGAACUCCGUAUGCUUAGACAUGGAAUGAACUUUGUAUGCCUAAGCCAACCCACGAAACGAGCGUGCGGGCGCUCAGUCGGUCGGAGAGGCAGAAUGCGCAAGCCUGGAAUCGGCUCGAUCCCCUUCUACAUGCUGUCGGUCCCGCUGCCACAACCCUCGAUCCGACUGGGGCUUAGACAUGGAAUCAACUCCCUAUGCCUAAGCCAACCCACGAAACGGGCGUACGGGCGUUCAGCCGACCGGAGAGGAAGAAUGCGCAAGCCAAGGAUCGACCCAGUCCCCACUGCGUGCUGUCGAUCUUGCUGCCGUAACCCUCGAUCCGGUUCGAUCUUAGACUGGGAAUGAACUCCGUAUGCUUAGACUGGGGAUGAGCUCCGCAUGCCUAAGUCAACCCACGAAACGAGGGUGCGGGCACUCAGUCGGCUGGAGAGGCAGAAUGCGUAAAUCAGGAUCGGCCCGAUCCCCCCUGCGUACUGUUGAUCCUACUGCUGGUCCUGCUGUCGCAAGCCUCAGCUCGAUCCCAUCUUAGACUAGGAAUGAACUCGUAUGCUUAGACAUGGAAUGAACUCCAUAUGCCUAAGCCAACCAACGAAAUAAGCGUGCGGGCGUUCAGUCGACCGGAGAGACAGAAUGCGCAAGCCGGAGACCGACUCGGUCCCCUCAGCGUGCUGUCGAUCUUGCUAUCGCAACCCUCGGUCUGAUCUAAUCUUAGACUAGGAAUGAACUCCGUAUGCUUAGACUGGGGAUGAACUCCGUAUGCCUAAGUCAACCCAGGAAACGAGCAUGCAGACGCUCAACCGACCAAAGAGGCAGGAUGCCGAAGUCGGGGAUCGAAUGGGUGGUAGGUGGUUUCAAGCACAUCUUCAUAUUUUUGCCAUGCCAAUGCCAUUUUUAUGGCUUGUAAAUUCAUACAAUGGUCCCCUCCACCUUCAUGUGAAGUUUCGUAGCAAGACGACCUGUUUUCUAUUUUUCACGAUUUUCAAAACUUUUUACGGUUUGGGAUUUUUUUAAAUUUUGUUAGAAAGAGUUUUGUCCCCAAAUUUGGUAGAGGUGAUCCUUAUAUUUUUGUUGGCGUGGACAAAAAAAUUCAGCCAAAAACUCGAAGUGGAGAAGAUUUUGUGACCGUUUGAAAAAAGUGUCCCCAUUUUAGACACUUUAAUGGCUACUGGCAGCAAACCUAUAAAAUCUCAAAUGCUCUUUAAGGGGGUGUGAGUUCUCAAGGUUUGAUGAGGGAUAGGGGGCCAAUAUAAGGGCCAAGUACCAGCACCCAUCGCACAUCAUGGGCGCACACCCCCCGGCCCCCCCCAAUCACCGAAACCUCCAAUGUCAUCGGUUAGGCUCUCCGACGAUGCUCUGACGAUGGUGCUUCGGGCGAAAAAGAUGCGGUACCAGCACAUGCCCGAGCCCAGCAUGUGCACCAUGGCUCAAACUCUUAGACUGGGAAUGAACUCCGUAUGCUUAGACAUGGAAUGAACUCCGUAUGCCUAAGCCAACCCACGAAACGAGUGUGCGGGCGCUCAGCCAACCGAGAAGGUAGAAUGCGCAAAAUGGGGAUCGGUCUGGUCCCCCUCUACGUGCUGCUGGUCCCAUUGCCACAACCUCCAGUCUGGUUGGAUCUUAGACAUUGAAUGAACUCCGUAUGCCUAAGCCAACCCACGAAACGAGCGUGCGGGCACUCAGCCGAUCGAAGAGGUAGAAUGCGUAAAUCGGGGACAACCUCGAUCCCCCCCUAUGUGCUGUUGAUCCUGCUACCGUAACCCCCGGUCUGAUUCGAUCUUAGAUAGGAAUGAACUCCGUAUGCCUAAGUCAACCCAUGAAACGAGCGUGCGGGCGUUGAGCCAACCGGAGAGACAUAAUGCGCAAGCCGGGGAUCGACCCGGUCCCGCCUGCAUACUGUUGAUCCUACUACCGCGACCCUCGGUCCGAUCCAAUCUAAGGCUGAGAAUGAAUUCCAUAUGCUUAGACUGGGGAUGAACUCCAUUUGCCUAUGUCAACCCAUGAAACGAACGUGCGGAUACUCAGUUGACCUGAGAGGUAGGAUGCACAAGCCGGGGAUCGAACGGGUGGUAUGUGGGAUCAACUACAUCUUUAUAUUUCUGCCUUGCCAAUGCCAUUUUUAUGGCUUGUAAAUUCAUACAAUGGUCCCCUACGCCUUCAUGUGAAGUUUCAUGGCAAGACGAACCGUUUUCUAUUUUUCACGAUUUUUGAAACUUUUUACGGUUUGAGAUUUUUUAAAAUUUUUUUGGAAAGAGUUUUGUCCCCAAAUUUGGUAGAUGUGAUCCUUGUAUUUUUGUUGGCAUGCACAAAACAAUUCAGCUAAAAACUCGAAGUGGAGAAGAUUUUGUGACCGUUUGAAAAAAGUGUCCCCAUUUCAGACACUUUAAUGGCUACUGGCAGCAAACCUAUAAAAUCUCAAAUGCUCUUUAAGGGGGUGUGAGUUCUCGAGAAUUGAUGAGGGAUAGGGGGCCAAUAUAAGGGCCAAGUACCAGCACCCAUCGCACAUCAUGUGCGCACACCCCUCGGCCCCCCCAAUGGCUGGAACCCCCAAUGCAGCCGGUUAGGCUCUCCGAUGAUUCUCCGAUGAUGGUGCCCCGGGCAAAAAAAAUGUGGCACCAGCACAUGCCCAAGCCCAGCAUGUGUACCGUGGCUUAAACUCUUAGACUAGGAAUGAACUCCGUAUGCUUAGACAUGGAAUGAACUUCGUAUGCCUAAGCCAACCCACGAAAUGAGCGUGCGUGCGCUCAGCCGGUCGAAAAGGCAAAAUGCGCAAGCCGAGGAUCGGCCUGGUUCCCCCUGCGUGUUGUCGAUCCUGCUGUCGCAACCCUUGGUCCAGUUUGAUCUUAGACUGGAAAUGAACUCAGUAUGCUUAGAUCGGGGAUGAACUCUGUAUGCUCAAGUCAACCUACGAAAUGAGCGUACGGGCGCUCAGUCGGUCGAAGAGGUAGAAUGCACAAGUCGGGGAUCAGCCCGAUCCCCUUCUGCGUGCUAGUGAUCCUACGGCUGGUCCUGCUACCGCAAGCCUCGGUUUGGUCUGAUCCUAGACUGGGAAUGAACUCCGUAUGCUUAGACAUGGAAUGAACUCCGUAUGCCUAAGCCAACCCAUGAAACGAGCAUGCGGGCGCUCAACCGAUCGGAGAGGCAGAAUACAUAAUUCAGGGACCGACCCGAUCCCCCCUGUGUGCUGUCGAUCCUGUUGCCACAACCCUCAGUCCGAUCCGAUCUUAUACUGAGAAUGAACUCUGUAUGCCUAAGUCAACCCAUGAAACGAGUGUUCAGGCGUUGAGCCAACCGAAGAGGCAUAAUGCGCAAGCCGGGGAUCGGCCUGGUCUCCCUCUGCAUGCUAUCGGUCCCACUACCACAACCCUCGAUCUAGCUAGAGCUUAGACAUAGAAUGAACUCCCUAUGCCUAAGCCAACCCACGAAACAGGCAUGCGGGCGCUCAACCGAUAGGAGAGGCAGAAUGUGCAAGCCGGGGACCAGCCCGGCCCCCCCUGCAUACUACCGAUCUUACUGUCGGAACCCUCGGUCCAAUCCGAUCUUAGACUGGGAGUGAACUCCGUAUGCUUAGACUGGGGAUGAACUCUGUAUGCCUAAGUCAACCCAUGAAACAAGCGUGCGCGCGCUCAACCGACUGAAGAGACCGGUCAGAGAGACAUAAUGUACAAGCCGGGGAUCAACCCGGUCCUCUUUUGUGAGCUGUCGAUCCCGCUGCCGGUCUUGUUACCGUAAACCCUCGGUCCGGCUGGGGCUUAGGCAUGGAAUGAACUCCGUUUGCCUAAGUCAAGCCACAAAACAAGCAUGCGAGUGCUCAACCGGUCGAAGAGGCAAAAUGCACAAGCCGGGGAUCAACUCGAUCCCCCCUGCAUGCUGUCGAUCCUGCUACUGGUCCUGCUGCCGUAACCCUCGGUCUGGUCUGAUCUUAGGCUGGGAAUGAACUCCAUAUGCUUACACAUGGAAUGAACUCCGUAUGCCUAAGCCAACCCACGAAACAAGCGUGCGGGCGCUCAGCCUGCCCGAGAGGCAGAAUGCACAAGCCGGGGACCAGCUCGAUCCCUUCCUGUGUGCUGUCGAUCCUACUAUAGCAACCCUCGGUCUGAUCCGAUCUUAGACUGGGAAUGAACUUCGUAUGCUUAAGUCAACCCACGAAAUGAGCGUGCAGGUGCUGAACCGGCCGAAAAGGCAUAAUGCACAAGUCGAGGAUCGACCCGAUCCCCCUCUGCGUGCUGUCUGUCCUGCUGCCACAACCCUCGGUCCGACUGGGGCUUAGACAUGGAAUGAACUACCUAUGCCUAAGCCAACCCACGAAACAGGCGAGCGGGAGCUUAGCUGGUCGAAAAGGUAGAAUGCACAAGCCAGGGAUCGGGUCGGUCCCUCUUACGUGCUACCAAUCUUACUGCCGCAACCCUCGGUCUGAUCCGAUCUUAGACUGGGAAUGAACUCCAUAUGCUUAGACUGGGGAUGAACUCCGUAUGGCUAAGUCAACCCAUGAAACGAGCGUACGAGCACUUAGCCGACCGGAGAGGUAGAACGCGUAAGUCAGGGAUCGACCCGAUCCCUCCCUGCAUACGACCGAUCAUGCUGCUGGUCCUGCUAUCGCAAGCCUUGGUCUGGUCUGAUCUUAGACUACGAAUGAACUCCGUAUGCCUAAGCCAACCCACGAAACGAAUGUGCGGGCGCUCAGCCGAUCGAAGAGGCAGAAUGCGCAAGCCGGGAUUGACUCGGUCCCUCUCUGCGUGCUAUCGAUCCUGCCAUCGCAACCCUCGAUCCGGUCUGAUUUUAAACUGGGAAUGAACUUCGUAUGCCUAAGUCAACCCACGAAACGAACGUUCGGGCGUUGAGCCGACUGGAGAGGCAUAAUGCGCAAGCCGCGGAUCAGCCCGGUCCCCAUCUGCGUGCUGCCGGUCCCAUUACCACAACCCUCGGUCAGGCUGGGGCUUAGACAUGUAAUGAACUCCCUAUGCCUAAGCCAACCCAUGAAACGGGCGUGCGGGCGCUCAGCUGGCCUAAGAGGCAGAAUGCACAAGCCAGGGAUCGACCCGGUCCUCCCUGCAUGCUGUCAAUCCUGCUACCGCAACCCUCAGUCCAGUCCGAUCUUAGAAUGGGAAUGAACUCCAUAUGCUUAGACUAGGGAUGAACUCCGUAUGGCUAAGUCAACCCACGAAAUGAGCGUGCGGGCGCUCAGUUGAUCAGAGAGGCUGGCUGGAAAGACAUAACGCAUAAGCCAGGGAUCAGCCCAGUCCCCCUCUGUGUGCUGUCAAUCCAGCUACCGGUCCUGCUACCACAACCCGUGGUUCGGUUGGGGCUUAGACAUGCAAUGAACUCCGGAUGCCUAAGCCAACCCAUAAAACGAGCGUACGAACGCUUAGCUGAUCGAAAAGGCAGAAUGCGUAAGCCGGGGAUCGACCUGAUCCCCCCUGCAUGCUAUCGAUCCUGCUGCUGGUCUUGCUGCCAUAACCCUCGAUUCAGUCUGAUCUUAGACUGGGAAUGAACUCCGUAUGCUUAGACUGGGGAUGAUCUCCAUAUACCUAAGUCAACCCAUGAAACAAGCAUGCCGACGCUCAAUCGGUCAGAGAGGCCAGCCGAAAAGACAUAACGUACAAGUCGGGGAUCAGCCCGAUCCUUCUUUGCGUGCUAUCGAUCCCGCUACCAGUCCUACUACCACAACCCGCAGUCCGACUGGGGCUUAGACAUGCAAUGAACUACGGAUGCCUAAGCCAACCCAUGAAAUGAGCAUGCGAGCGCUUAGCCGGUCGAAAAGGCAGAAUGCAUAAGCCGAAGAUUGGCCCGAUCCCUCCUACGUGCUGUCGAUCCUGCUGCUGGUCUUGCUACCGUAACCCUCGAUCCAGUCCGAUCUUAGACUGGAAUGAACUCCAUAUGCUUAGACAUGGAAUGAACUCCGUAUGCCUAAGCCAACACACGAAACGAGUGUACGGGCACUCAACUGACCGGAGAGGCAGAAUGCGUAAGCCAGGGAUCGACCCGAUCCCCCUCGCGUACUGUCGAUCUUGCUGCCACAACCCUCGAUCUGGUCCUAUCUUAGACUAGGAAUGAACUUCGUAUACCUAUGUCAACCCACGAAACGAGCAUACAGGCACUGAACCGAUCGAAGAGGCAUAAUGCGCAAGUCGAGGAACGGCCCGAUCCCCCUCUGCGUGCUGUCGGUCCCGCUACCUAAACCCUCGAUCCGACUGGGGCUUAGACACGGAAUGAACUCCCUAUGCCUAAGCCAACCCAUGAAACGGGCAUGCGGGUGCUCAGUCGGUCGGAGAGGCAGAAUGUACAAGCCGAGGCUGGGCCCGGUCUCCUCUGCGUGCUGCCGAUCCUGCUACCAUAACCCUCAGUCCGAUUCGAUCUUAGACUGGGAAUAAACACCUGUAUGCUUAGACUGGGGAUGAACUAAGUAUGCCUAAGUCAACCUACGAAACGAGCGUAUGGGCGCUCAGUCAACCGGAGAGACAGAAUGCGUAAGUCGGGGAUCGGUCUGGUACCCCCUGCGUGCUACCGAUCCUGCUACUGGCCCUACUACCGCAAGCCUCGGUCCGGUCCGAUCUUAGACUGGGAAUGAACUCCGUAUGCUUAGACAUGGAAUGAACUUCGUAUGCCUAAGCCAACCCACAAAACGAGCGUGCGGGUGCUCAGCUGGUUGGAGAGGCAGAAAGCGCAAGCCGGGGACCGACCCAGUCCCCCCUGCAUGCUGUCAAUCCUGCUGUGGCAACCUUCGGUCCAGUCUGAUCUUAGUUUCAGAAUGAACUCUGUAUGCCUAAGUUAACCCACAAAACGAGCGUGCGGGUGCUGAGUCAGCCGGAGAGGCAUAAUGCGUAAGCCGAGAAUCGGCCCGAUCCCCCUCUACGUGCUGUCGGUCUCGCUGGCACAACCCUCGAUCCAGCUUAGACAUGGAAUGAACUCCCUAUGCCUAAGCCAAUCCACGAAACGGCGUGAGGUGCUCAGUCGACCGAAGAGCAGAAUGCAUAAACCGAAGAUCGAACCGGUCCCCCUUGCGAGCUGUCGAUCCUGCUGUCGCAACCCUCGGUCCAGUCCGAUCUUAUACUGGGAAUGAACUCCAUAUACUUAGACUGAGGAUGAACUCCGUAUGCCUAAGUCAACCCAUGAAACGAGCGUGCGGACGUUUAGCCGACCAAAGAGGAAGGAUGCGUAAGCCGAGGAUCGAACGGGUGGUAGGUGAGUUCAAGCACAUCUUCAUAUUUUUGCCAUGCCAAUGCCAUUUUUAUGGCUUGUAAAUUCAUACAAUGGUCCCCUAUGCCUUCAUGUGAAGUUUCGAGGCAAGACGACCCGUUUUCUAUUUUUCACAAUUUUUGAAACUUUUUGCGGUUCUGGAUUUUUUAAAAUUAUUUUAGAAAGAUUUUUGUCCCCAAAUUUUGUAGAGGUGAUCCUUUUAUUUUUUUUGGCAUGCACAAAAAACUUCAGCUAAAAACUCAAAGUGGAUAAGAUUUUGUGACCGUUUGAAAAAAGUGUUCCCAUUUCAGACACUUUAAUGGCUACUGGCAGCAAACCUAUAAAAUCUCAAAUGCUCUUUAAGGGGGUGUGAGUUCUCGAGGUUUGAUGAGAGAUAGGGGGCCAAUAUAAGGGCCAAGUACCAGCACCCAUUGCACAUCAUGUGCGCCCAACCCUCGGCCCCCCCAAUCGUCAGAACCCCCAAUGCCGUCGGUUAGGCUCUCCGACGAUGCUCCGGCGAUGGUGCCCUGGGCGAAAAUAAUGUGGCACCAGCACAUUCCCAAGCCCAGUACGUGCACCGUGGCUCAAACUCUUAGACAUGGAAUGAACUCCGUAUGCUUAGACAUGGAAUGAACUCCGUAUGCCUAAGCCAACCCACGAAACGAGCGUGCGGGCGCUCAGUCGGUCGGAGAGGUAGAAUGCACAAGUCGAGGAUUGGCCCGAUCCCCUUCAACGUGCUGUUGGUCCUGCUGCCACAACCCUGGGUCUGGCUGGGGUUUAGACAUGGAAUGAACUCCCUAUGCCUAAGCCAACUCACAAAACGGGGGUACGGGCGCUCAGUCGAUCGGAGAGGCAGAAUGCGCAAGCCGGGGAUCGGCUCGAUCCCCCCUGCAUGCUACCGACCCUACUGCCACAGCCCCUCGAUCCGAUUCGAUCUUAGACUGGGAAUGAACUCUGUAUGCUUAGACUGGGGAUGAACUCCGUAUGCCUAAGUCAACCCAUGAAACGAGCGUGCGGGCGCUCAGCCGACUAGAGAGGUAGAAUGCGUAAGCUGAGGAUCGACCCAGUCCCAUCCUGUGUGCUGUCGAUCGUGCUGCUGGUCCUGCUACCGCAAGCCUCGGUCUGGUUCGAUCUUAGACUGGGAAUGAACUCCGUAUGUUUAGACAUGGAAUGAACUCCGUAUGCCUAAGCCAACCCAUAAAACGAGCGUACGGGUGCUCAGUCGACCAGACAGGUAGAAUGCAUAAGCUGGGGAUCGGCUCGAUCCCUCUCUGCAUGCUACCGAUCCUACGAUUGGUCCUGCUACCGUAAACCUCGUUCUGCUCUGAUCUUAGACUGGGAAUGAACUCUGUAUGCUUAGACAUGGAAUGAACUCCGUAUGCCUAAGCUAACCCACGAAACGAGCGUGCGGGCGCUCAACCGACCAGAGAGGCAGAAUGCGCAAGUCGGGGACCGACCCAAUCACCAAUGCGUGCUGUCGAUCCUGCUGUAACAACCCUUGGUCCAGUUCGAUCUUAGACUGGGAAUGAACUCCGUAUGCUUAAGUCAACACACAAAAUGAGCGUUCGGGUACUGAACCAGUCGGGGGAGGCAUAAUGCGCAAGUCGGGGAUAAGCCCGAUCCCCCUUUGCAUGUUGUCGGUCCCGCUGCCAUAACCCUUGGUCCGGCUAGGGCUUAGACAUGGAAUGAACUCCCUAUGCCUAAGCCAACCCACGAAACGGACGUGUGGGUGCUCAAUCAGUCGGAGAGGUAGAAUGUGUAAGCUGAGGAUUGGCCUGGUCUCACUUGCGUGCUGCCGAUCCUGCUGUCGCAACCCUCAGUCCGGUUCAAUCUUAGACUGGGAAUGAACUCCAUAUGCUUAGACUGGGGAUGAACUCCGUAUGCUUAGACUAGGGAUGAACUCUGUAUGCCUAAGUCAACCCAUGAAACGAGCGUACGGGCGCUCAGGCGAUCGGAGAGGUAGAAUGCGCAAGUCGGGGAUCGACCCGAUCUCUCUCUGCGUGCUGUCGAUCUUACUGUCCCAACCUUCGGUCUGGUCCGAUCUUAGACUGAGAAUGAACUCCAUAUGCUUAGACAUGGAACGAACUCUGUAUGCCUAAGCCAACCCAUGAAACGAGCGUGCGGGUGCUCAGCCGACCGGAAAGGCAGAAUGUGUAAGUCAGGGACCGACCCGGUCCCCACCUGCCUGCUGUCAAUUUUACUACCGCAACCCUCGGUCCAGUCCGAUCUUGGAUUGGGAAUGAACUUUGUAUGCCUAAGUCAACCCAUGAAACGAGCAUUCAGGCACUAAGCCGAUCGGAGAGGCAUAAUGCGCAAACCGGGAUUGGCCUGGUCCCCUCUGCGUGCUGCCGGUCCCGCUACCACAACCCUCGGUCCGGUGAGGGCUUAGACAUGGAAUGAACUCCCUAUGCCUAAGCCAACCCACGAAACGGGCGUGCGGGCACUGAGCCGGUCAGAGAGGCAGAAUACGUAAGUCGAGGAUCGGCUCGAUCCCUCUUAUAUGCUAUCGAUACUACUACCGUAACCCUUGGUCCAGUUUGAUCUUAGACUGGGAAUGAACUUCGUAUGCUUAGACAUGGAAUGAACUCCGUAUGCCUAAGCCAACCCACGAAAUGAACUCCGUAUGCUUAGACAUGUAAUGAACUCCCUAUGCCUAAGCCAACCCACGAAACGUGUGUGCGGGCACUCAGCCGGCCGGAGAGGCAGAAUGAGCAAGCCAGGGAUCAUUUCGGUCCCCCCUACGUGCUGCCAAUCCUGCUGCCACAACCCUCGGUCCGGUUCGAUCUUAGGCUGCGAUUGAACUUUGUAUGCUUAGACUGGGGAUGAACUCCGUAUGCCUAAGUUAACCCACGAAACGAGCGUGCGGACGCUCAGCCGACCAGAGAGGCAGGAUGCGCAAGUCGGGGAUCGAACGGGUGGUUGGUGGGUUCAAGCACAUCUUCAUAUUUCUGCCAUGCCAAUGCGAUUUUUGUGGCUUGUAAAUUCAUACAAUGGUCCCCUACGCCUUCAUGUGAAGUUUCGUGGCAAGACGACCCGUUUUUUAUUUUUCACGAUUUUCAAAACUUUUUGCUGUUCGGGAUUUUUUUUAAUUUUUUUAGAAAGAGUUUCGUCCCCAAAUUUGGUAGAGGUGAUCCCUGUAUUUUUGUUGGCAUUCACAAAAAAAUUCAGCUAAAAACUCAAAGUGGAGAAGAUUUUGUGACCGUUUGAAAAAAGUAUCCCCAUUUCAGACACUUUAAUGGCUACUGGCAGCAAACCUAUAAAAUCUCAAAUGCUCUUUAAGGGGGUGUGAGUUCUCGAGGUUUGAUGAGGGAUAGGGGGCCAAUAUAAGGGCCAAGUACCAACACCCAUCACACAUCGUGUGCACACACCCCCCCGGCCCGCCCAAUCGCCAGAACCCCUAAUGUCGUUGGUCAGGCUCCCCGACGAUGCUCCGGCGAUGGUGCCUCAGGCAAAAAAAAUGUGGCACCAGCACAUUAUCGAGCCCCAGCAUGUGCACCAUGGCUCAAACUCUUAGACUGGGAAUGAAUCCCGUAUGCUUAGACAUGGUAUGAACUCUGUAUGCCUAAGCCAACCCAUGAAACGAGCGUGCGGGUGCUCAGCCGACCGGAGAGGCAGAAUGCGCAAGCCGGGGAUCGGCACGACCCCCCUUUGCAUGCUGCCAAUACUGCUGCCACAACCGUCGGUCUGGGUGGGCUUAGACGUGGAAUGAACUCCCUAUGCCUAAGCCAACCCACAAAACGGGUGUGCGGGCGCUCAACCGACCGGAGAGGCAAAAAGCGUAAGCCGACCCACAAAAUGAGUGUGCGGGUGCUCAGCCGAUCGGAGAGGCAGAAUGUGCAAGUCGGGGAUCGGCCUGGUCCCCCUUACGUGCUGCCGAUCCUGUUGCUGGUCCUACUGUCGUAACCUUCGGUCUAAUCCGAUCUUAGACUGGGAAUGAACUCCGUAUGCUUAGACAUGGAAUGAACUACGUAUGCCUAAGCUAACCCACGAAACGAGUGUGUGGGUGCCCAGUCCCCCUGCGUGCCGUCGAUCCUGCUACCGUAACCCUCGGUCCAAUCUGAUCUUAGACUAGGAAUGAACUCCGUAUGCCUAAGUCAACCCAUGAAACGAGCGUGCGGGCGCUGAGCCGACGGAGAGGCAUAAUGCGUAAGUCGAGGAUUGACCGAUCCCCCUCUGCAUGCUGCCGGUCCUGUUGCCACAACCCUCGGUCUGGCUGGGGCUUAGACAUGGAAUGAACUCCCUAUGCCUAAGCCAACCCAUGAAACGGGCGUGUGGGUGCUCAACCGACCGUAAAGGCAGAAUGUGCAAGUCGGGGAUCGACUCGGUCACCCCUACGUGCUGUUAAUCCUGCUGUCGCAACCCUCGAUCCGAUCUGAUCUUAGACUGGGAAUGAAGUCCACAUGCUUAGACUGAGGAUGAACUCCGUAUGCCUAAGUCAACCCACGAAAUGAGCGUACGGAUGCUCGGUCGACCAGAGAGCCAGGAUGCGCAAGCCAGGGAUCGAACGUGUGGUAGGUGGGUUUAAGCACAUCUUCAUAUUUCUGCAAUGCUAAUGCCAUUUUUAUGGAUUGUAAAUUCAUACAAUAGUCCCCUAUGCCUUCAUGUGAAGUUUCGUGGCAAGACGACCCGUUUUCUAUUUUUUAAUAUUUUUGAAACUUUUUAUGGUUCAAAAUUUUUUAAGAUUUUUUUAGAAAGAGUUUGUCCCCAAAUUUGGUAGAGGUGAUCCUUCUAUUUUUGUUGGCAUGCACAAAAAAUUCAGCUAAAAACUCGAAGUGGAGAAGAUUUUGUGACCGUUUGAAAAAAGUGUCCCCAUUUCAGACACUUUAAUGGCUACUGGCAGCGAACCUAUAAAAUCUAAAAUGCUCUUUAAGGGGGUGUGAGUUCUCGACGUUUGAUGAGGGAUAGGGGCCAAUAUAAGUGCCAAAGACUAGCACCGAUCGCACAUCAUGUGUGCACACCCCCCCGACCCCCUCAAUCACCGGAAACCCCAAUGCCGCUGGUUAGGCUCUCCGGCGAUGCUCCGGCGAUGGUGCCCUGGGCGAAAAGAAAUGUGGCACCAGAACAAGCCCUAGCCCAGCAUGUGCACCAUGGCUCAAACUCUUAGACUGGGAAUGAACUCCGUAUGCUUAGACAUGGAAUGAACUCCGUAUGCCUAAGCCUACCCACAAAACGAGCGUACGGGCGCUCAGCCGACCGGAGAGGCAGAAUGCGCAAGUCGGGGAUCGGCCCGAUCCCCCUCUACGUGCUGUCGGUCCUGUUGCCACAACCCUCGGUCCGAUUGGGGCUUAGACAUGGAAUGAACUCCCUAUGCCUAAACCAACCCACGAAACGGACGUGCGGGCGCUCAGCCGGUCGGAGAGGUAGAAUCGCAAGCCGGGGAUCGGCAUGGUCCCCCCUGCGUACUGUCGAUUCUGCUGCCACAACCCUUUGUCUGGUUUGAUCUUAAACUAGGAAUGAACUCAGUAUGCUUAGACUAGGGAUGAACUCCGUAUGCCUAAGUCAACCCACAAAACGAGCAUGCGGGCACUCAGCCGAUCGAAGAGGUAGAAUGCGUAAGUCGGGGAUUAGCUCGGUCCCCCCAUACGUGUUGCUUAUCCUGCUACUGGUCUUGCUACCGCAAGCCUCGAUCUGGUCCGAUCUUAGACGGGAAUGAACUCCGUAUGCUUAGACAUAGAAUAAACUCCGUAUGCCUAAGCCAACCCACGAAACGAGCGUGUGGGUGCUCAGCCGGCCGGAGAGGCAGAAUGCGUAAGUCGGGGACCGGCCCAGUCAUCCUCUACAUGCUGUCGAUCCUGCUACUGCAACCCUCGGUCCGGUCUGAUCUUAGACUGGGAGUGAACUCCAUAUGCCUAAGUCAACCCACAAAAUGAGCGUUCGGGCGCUGAACCGAUCGAAAAGGCAUAAUGCGCAAGCCGGGGAUCGACCCGAUCCCCCUCUACGUCCGGCCGGUCCCACUACCACAACCCUCGAUCUGGCUGAGGCUUAGACAUGGAAUGAACUCCCUAUACCUAAGCCAACCCACGAAACGGGCGUACGGGCUCUCAACCGGUCGGAGCGACAGAAUGCGCAAGUCGGGGAUCGACUUGAUCCCCCUACAUGCUGAUGAUCCUUCUACUGCAACCCUCAGUCUGAUCCGAUCUUAGACUGGGAAUGAACUCCGUAUGUUUAGACUGGGGAUGAACUUCGUAUGCUUAAGGCAACACACGAAACGAGCGUGCAGCGCUCAGCCAGCUGAAGAGGCAUAAUGCAUAAACCGGGGAUCAGCCUGAUCCCCCUCUACAUGCUACCGAUCCGCUGCCAGUCCUGUUACCACAACUCUCGGUCUGACUAGGGCUUAGAAAUGGAAUGAACUCUAUAUGCCUAAGCCAACCCACGAAAUGAGCGUGCGGGUGCUAAGCCGGUCGGAGAGGCAAAAUACGUAAGUCGGGGACCGACCGGUCCCUCUUGCGUGCUGUAGAUCCUACUACCGCAACCCUCAGUCUGAUCUGAUCUUAGACUAAGAAUGAACUCCGUAUGCCUAAGUCGACCUACGAAAUGAGUGUGCAGACACUGAACCAUUCGGAGAGGCAUAAUGCGCAGGCCGGGGAUCGGCCCGAUCCCCCUCUGCGUGCUGUCAGUCCCACUGCCAUAACCCUCGGUCCUACUGGGGCUUAGACAUGGAAUGAACUCCCUAUGCCUAAGCCAACCCACGAAACAGACGUGCGGGCGCUCAGUCGACCGGAGAGACAGAAUGCACAAGCCGAAGAUCGGCCCGGUCCCCCCUACGUGUUAUCGAUCCUACUGCCACAACCCUCGGUCCUAUCUGAUCUUAGACUGGGAAUGAACUCCGCAUGCUUAGACUGGGGAUGAACUCCGUAUGCCUAAGUCAACCCACGAAAUGAGCGUGCGGACGCUCAGCCGACCAGAGAGGCAGGAUGCAUAAGCCGGGGAUUGAAUGGGUGGUAGGUGGGUUCAAGAACAUCUUCAUAUUUCUACCGUGCCAAUGCCAUUUUUAUGGCUUGUAAAUUCAUACAAUGGUCCCCUACACCUUCAUGUGAAGUUUCGUGGCAAGACGACCCGUUUUCUAUUUUUCACGAUUUUAAAAAAAUUUUACGGUUUGGGAUUUUUUAAAACUUUUUUAGAAAGAGUUUUGUCCCCAAAUUUUGUAGAGGUGAUCCUUGUAUUUUUUUUUGCAUGCAUAAAAAACUUCAACCAAAAACUCGAAGUGGAGAAGAUUUUGUGACGUUUGAAAAAAGGGUCCCCAUUUCAGACACUUUAAUGGCUACUGGCAACAAACCUAGAAAAUCUCAAAUACUCUUUAAGGGGGUGUAAGUUCAUAAGGUUUGAUGAGGGAUAAGGCACCAAUAUAAGUGCCAAGCACCAGCACCCAUCGCACAUCAUGUGCGCACACCCCCCGGCCCCCCAAUCACUGGAACACCCAAUACCGCCGGUUAAGCUCUCCGAUGAUGCUCCGACGAUGGUGCCCCGAGCAAAAAAAAUGUGGCACCAGCACAUUCCUGAGCCCAGCAUAUGCACCGUGGCUCAAACUCUUAGACUGGGAAUGAACUCCGUAUGCUUAGACAUGGAAUGAACUCCGUAUGCCUAAGCCAACCCAUGAAACGAGCGUACGGGUGCUCUGCAGGCCGGAAAGGCAGAAUGUGCAAGCCAGGGAUCGACCCGAUCCCCCCAUGCAUGCUGUCGAUCCUGCUGCUGGUCCUACUACCAUAACCUUCGAUUCAGCCUGAUCUUAGACUGGGAAUGAACUCCGUAUGCUUAGACAUGAAAUGAACUCCGUAUGCCUAAGCCAACCCAAGAAACGAGUGUGCAGGCGUUCAGCCAACCGGAGAGGUAGAAUCCAUAAGUCGAGGACCGACCCGAUCCCCCCUGCGUGCUGUCAAUCCUACUAUCGCAACCCUCGGUCCGAUCCGAUCUUAAAUUGGGAAUGAACUCCGUAUGCCUAAGUCAACCCACGAAACGAGCGUUCGGGCGUAGAGCCGACUGGAGAGGCAUAAUGUGCUGAGCUGGGGAUCGACCUGGUCCCCCUCUGUGUGCUGCCGACCCGGCUGCCACAACCCUCGAUCCGGCUGGGGCUUAGACAAAGAAUGAACUCCCUAUGCCUAAGCCAACCCACGAAACGGGCGUGCGAGCACUCAGCCGGGGACCGGCCCGAUCCCCCCUGCGUGCUGCCAAUCCUGCUGCCACAACCCUCGAUCCAGUUCGAUCUUAGACUAGGAAUAAACUCCGUAUGCUUAGACUGGGGAUGAACUCCGUAUGCUUAGACUGGGGAUGAACUCCAUAUGACUAAGUCAACCCACGAAACGAGCUUACGGGUGCUCAACCGAUCGGAGAGGCAGAAUGCACAAGUCGGGGAUCAGCUCGGUCCCCCCCGCAUGCUGCAGGUCCUGCUGCCGCAAGCCUCGGUCCGGUCCGAUCUUAGACUGGGAAUGAACUCCAUAUGCUAAGACAUGGAAUGAACUCCCUGUGCCUAAGCCAACCCACGAAACAGGCGUGCGGGCGCUCAGCCGACCGGAGAGGCAGAAUGCACAAGCCAGGGAUCGGUCUGAUCCCCCCUGCGUGCUGUCGAUCCUCCUACCGCAACCCUCGAUCCGAUCUGAUCUUAGGCUGGGAAUGAACUAGGUAUGCUUAGACUGGAGAUGAACUCCAUAUGCCUAAGUCAACCCAUAAAAUGAGCGUGCGGGCGCUCAACCGACCAGAGAGGCAGGAUGCGCAAGCUGGGGAUCGAAAGGGUGGUAGGUGUGUUCAAGCACAUCUUCAUAUUUCUGCCAUGCCAAUGCCAUUCUUAUGGCUUUUAAAUUCAUACAAUGGUCCCCUAAGCCUUCAUGUGAAGUUUCGUGGCGAGACGACCCGUUUUCUACUUUUCACGAUUUUUGAAACUUUUUACGAUUCAGGAUUUUUUAAAAUUUUUUUAGAAGGAGUUUUGUCCCUAAAUUUGGUAGAGGUGAUCCUUGUAUUUUUUUUGGCAUGCAAAAAAAAUUCAGCUAAAAACUCAAAGAGGAGAAGAUUUUGUGACCGUUUGAAAAAAGUGUCUCCAUUUCAGACACUUUAAUAGCUACUGGCAGUAAACCUAUAAAAUCUCAAAUGCUCUUUAAGGGGGUGUGAUUUCUCGAGGUUUGAUGAGGGAUAGGGGGCCAAUAUAAGGGCCAAGUACCAGCACCCAUCGCACAUCAUGUGCGCACACCCCCUCGCCCCCUAAUCGCCGGAACCCGUAAUGCCACUGGUUAGACUCUCCGGCGAUGCUCCGACGAUGGUGCCCUGAACAAAAAAAAUGCGGCACUAGCACAUGCCUGAGCCCAGCAUGUGCACCGUGGCUCAAAAUCUUAGACUGGGAAUGAACUCCGUAUGCUUAGACAUGGAAUGAACUCCGUAUGCCUAAGCCAACCCACGAACUGAACGUGCGGGCGUUUAGCCGGUUGGAGAGGCAGAAUACGUAAGUCGGGGAUCGGCUCGACCCCCCUACGUGCUAUCGAUCUUGCUAUCAUAAACCUCGAUCUGAUCCGAUUUUAGACUGGGAAUGAACUCUGUAUGCAUAAGUCAACCCACGAAACGAACGUGCGGGUGCUGAGCCGGUCGAAGAGGCAUAAUGCGUAAGCCAGGGAUUGGCCUAGUCCCCCUCUACGUGCUGUCGAUCCCGCAGCCACAACCCUCGGUCCGGCUGGGGCUUAGACAUGGAAUGAACUCCCUAUGCCUAAGCCAACCCACGAAACGGGCGUGCGGGCACUCAGUCGAUCGGAGAGGAAGAAUUCGUAAGCCGGGGAUCGGCAAGGUGCCCCCUGCGUGCUACCGAUCUUGCUGUCGCAACCCUCGGUCCAGUCCAAUCUUAGACUAGGAAUGAGCUCCGUAAGCUUAGACUGGGCAUGAACUCCGUAUGCCUAAGUCAACCCAAGAAACGAGUGUGCGGGCAUUCAGCCGACCGGAGAGGCUGGCCGAAAAGGUACAAUGCACAAGCUGAGGAUUAGCCCAAUCGCCCUCUGCGUGCUGCCGAUCCCGCUGCCGGUCCUGCUGCCACAACCCUCGGUCCAACAGGGGUUUAGACGUGGAAUGAACUCCCUAUGCCUAAGCCAACCCACGAAACGGGCGUGUAGGCAUUCAACCGACCGGAGAGGCAAAAUGCGUAAGUCGAGGAUCGGCUCAGUCCCACUGCCACAACCCUCGGUCCGGCUGGAGCUUAGACAUGGAAUGAACUCCGUAUGCCUAAGCCAACCCAUUAAACGAGCGUACGGGCACUCAAUCGGUUAGAGAGGCAGAAUGCGCAAGCCGGGAAUCGGCCUGUCGCCCCCUGCGCACUACCGAUCCUGCUACUGGUCCUACUACCGCAACCCUCGGUCCGGUCUGAUCUUAGACUGGGAAUGAACUCCAUAUGCUUAGACAUGGAAUGAACUUCGUAUGCCUAAGCCAACCCACGAAACUAGCGUACGGGGGCUCAGCCGACCGGAGAGGCAGAAUGCGCAAGUCAGGGACCAGCCUAGUCGCCCCUGCGUGCCAUCGAUCCUGCUGUCGCAACCCUCGAUCUGAUCCGAUCUUAGACUGUGAAUGAACUCCGCAUGCCUAAGCAACCCACGAAAUGAAUGUGCGAGUGCUGAGCCGGUUGGAGAGGCAUAAUGCGUAAGUCGAGGAUCGACCCGGUCCCCUUCUGCGUGCUAUCGGUCCUGCUGCCACAACCCUCGAUCCGGCUGGGGCUUAGACAUGGAAUGAACUCCCUAUGCCUAAACUAACCCAUAAAAUGGGUGUGCGGGCGUUCAACCGAUCGAAGAGGCAGAAUGCGUAAGCUAGGGAUCAAUCCGGUCCCCCCUGUGUGCUAUCGAUCCUGCUGCCGUAACCCUCAGUCUGGUCUGAUCUUAGAUUGGGAAUGAACUCCAUAUGCUUAGACUAGGGAUGAACUCCGUAUGCCUAAGUCAACCCACGAAACGAGCGUGCGGGUGCUCAGCCGACCAUAGAGGCAGGAUGCGUAAGUCGAGGAUCGAACGGGUGGUAGGUGGGUUCAAGCACAUCUUCAUAUUUCUACCAUGCCAAUGCCAUUUUUAUGGCUUGUAAAUUCAUACAAUGAUUCCCUAAGCCUUCAUGUGAAGUUUCGUGGCAAGACGACCCGUUUUCUAUUUUUCACGAUUUUCAAAACUUUUUACAGUUCGGGAUUUUUUAAAAUUUUUUUUGAAAGAGUUUUGAACCCAAAUUUGGUAUAGGUGAUCCUUGUAUUUUUUUUGGCAUGCACAAAAAAACUCAGCUAAAAACUCAAAGUGGAGAAGUUUUUGUGGCCGUUUGAAAAAAGUGUCCCCAUUCACAUUUUGGCUCUGGAGCAAACCUUAAAAUCUCAAAUGCUCAGUGAGUUCUGAGGUUUGACUGAGCAAUAAGGGGGCCAAUAUAAGGCCAAGCAGUACAUCACACAUCAUGUGCGGACACCCGCCCCCCAUCGCAACCAAUCUCCGGUUAGGGCUUCGACGAUUUCCAGUGAUGAUCCGACGAUGGUGCCCGAAAAAAAUGUGGCCCACACAUGCUCGAGCCCAGCAUGUGCACUGUGGCUUAAAAUCUUAGGGUGGGAAUGAACUUCUUGUAUGUCUUAGACAUGGGUGACUCGUAUGCCUAAAGCAAACCCACGAAACGAGCGUGCGGUGCUCAGGCCGGCCGAGAGGUAGAAGGGCGCAAGCUGAGGAUCGGCUCGAUCCUCCCUAAUGUGCCUAGUCCGAUCUUGCUGCCACAACCCUUGGUCUGAUCUGAUCUUAGACUAGGAAUGAACUUCGUAUGCAUAAGUCAACCCACGAAACGAGUGUGCGGGUGCUGAGCCGGCCGAAGAGGCAUAAUGCGCAAGCUGAGGAUCGGCUCGGUCCCCCUCUGCGUGCUGCCAGUCCCGCUGCCACAACCCUUACUCCAGUUGGGGCUUAGACAUGGAAUGAACUCCCUAUACCUAAGCCAACCUAAGAAAGGAACGUGCGGGUGCUCAGUCGGUCGGAGAGACAGAAUAUGCAAGCCAGGGAUCGACCCGAUCCCCCCUGUGUGCUACCGAUCCUGCUGCUGCAACCCUUCGUCCGAAUCAAUCUUAGACUGGGAAUGAACUCCGUAUGCUUAGAUUAGGGAUGAACUCUGUAUGCCUAAGUCAACCCAUGAAACGAGCGUUCGAGUGCUCAGUCGGUCGGGGAGGCCGAUCGGAGAGGUAUAAUGCGUAAGCCAGGAUCGGCUCGGUCCCCCCUGCGUGCUGUCGAUCCUACUACCGUAACCCUCGUCUGGUUCGAUCUUAGAUUGGGAAUGCACUCCGUAUGCCUAAGUCAACCCACGAAACGAGCGUACGGGUAAGCGUUCAGCCGAACAGAGAGGCAGGAUGCGCAAGCCAAGGAUCGAACGGGUGGUAAGUGGGUUCAAGCACAUAUUCAUAUUUUUGCCAUUCCAAUGCCAUUUUUAUGGCCUGUAAAUUCAUACAAUGGUCCCUUAAGCCUUCAUGUGAAGUUUCAUGGCAAGACAACCCGUUUUCUAUUUUUCAUGAUUUUUUAAACUUUUUUUGGUUUGGGAUUUUCUAAAGUUUUUUUAGAAAGAUUUUUGUCCCCAAAUUUGGUAGAGGUGAUCCUUGUAUUUUUAUUGGCAUGCACAAAAAAAUUCAGCUAAAAAAUCAAAAUGGAGAAGAUUUUGUGAUCGUUUGAAAAAAGUGUCCCCAUUUCAGACACUUUAAUGGUUACUGGCAGCAAACCUAUAAAAUCUCAAAUGCUCUUUAAGGGGGUGUGAGUUCUCGAGGUUUGAUGAGGGAUAAGGGUCCAAUAUAAGGGCCAAGUAUCAGCACCCAUUGCACAUUAUGUACGCUCUCCCCCGGCCCCCCCAAUCGUCGGAAACCCCAUUACCGCCGGUUAGGCUCUCCGGCGAUGCUUCGACAAUGGUGCCCCGGGCGAAAAAAAUAUGGCACCAGCACAUGCCCGAGCCCAGCAUGUGCACCGUGGCUCAAAAUCUUAGACUGGGAAUGAACUUCGUAAGCUUAGACAUGGAAUGAACUCCAUAUGCCUAAGCCAAUCCCCGAAACGAGCUUGCGGGUGCUCAAUCGAUCAGAGAGGUAGAAUGUGCAAGCCGGGGAUCAGCCCGGUCCCCCCUGCGUGUUGUUGAUCUUGCUAUUGUAACCCUCAGUCUGGUCCGAUCUUAGACUGGGAAUAAACUUCGUAUGCCUAAGUCAACCCACGAAACGAGCGUGCGGGCGCUGAGCAGGUCAGAGAGGCAUAAUGCGCAAGCCGGAGAUCGGCCCGAUCCCCAUCUACGUGCUGCCUAUCCCGCUGCCACAAUCCUCGGUUCAGCUGGGGCUUAGACAUGGAAUGAACUCCCUAUGCCUAAGCCAAUCCACGAAACGGGCGUGCGGGCACUCAGUCGACCGGAGAGGCAGAAUGUGCAAGUCGGGGAUCGACCCGGUCCCCCCUGCGUACUGUUGAUCCUGCUGCCGCAACCCUCGAUCUGGUCUGAUCUUUGACUGGGAAUGAACUCCGUAUGCUUAGACUGGGGAUGAACUCCGUAUGCCUAAGUCAACCCACGAAACGAGCGUGCGGGCACUCAGCCGACCAGAGAGGCAGGAUGCGCAACCCGAGGAUCGAACGGGUGGUAGGUGGGUUCAAGCCCAUCUUCAUAUUUCUGCCAUGCCAAUGCCAUUUUUAUGGCUUGUAAAUUCAUAAAAUGGUCCCCUACACCUUCAUGUGAAGUUUUGUGGCAAGACGACCCGUUUUCUAUUUUUCAUGAUUUUCAAAACUUUUUACGAUUCGAGAUUUUUUAAAAUUUUUUUAGAAAGAGUUUUGUCUCCAAAUUUGGUAGAGGUGAUCCUUGUAUUUUUUUUGGCUUGCACAAAAAAAUUUAGCUAACAACUCGAAGUGGAGAAGAUUUCGUGACCGUUUGAAAAAAGUAUCCCCAUUUCAGACACUUUAAUGGCUACUACAAACAAACCUAUAAAAUCUCAAAUGCUCUUUAAGGGGGUGUGAGUUCUCGAGAUUUGAUGAGGGAUAGGGGGCCAAUAUAAGGGCCAAGUACCAGCACCCAUCGCACAUCAUGUGCGCACACCCACCCGGCCCCCCAAUCACCGGAACCCCCAAUGCCGUCGGUUAGGCUCUCCGACGAUGCUCCAGCGAUGGUGCCCCAGGCGAAAAAAAUGCGGCACCAGCACAUGCCCAAGCCCAGCAUGUGCACCACGGCUCAAAAUCUUAGACUGGGAAUGAACUCCGUAUGCAUAAGUCAAUUCAUGAAAUGAGCGUACGGGCGAUGAGCCAGUCAAAAAGGCAUAAUGUACAAGCCGGGGAUCAGCCUGGUCCCCCUCUGCAUGCUGCCGAUCCUGCUGCCACAACCAUCGGUCUGGCUAGGGCUUAGACACAAAAUGAACUCCUUAUGCCUAAGCCAACCCACGAAAUGGGCAUGUGGGCGUUCAGUCGGGGAUCGGCCCGGUCCUACCUACGUGCUGCCGAUCCUGCUGUUGCAACCCUUGGUUGAAUCUGAUCUUAGACUGGGAAUGAACUCUGUAUGCUUAGACUGGGGAUGAACUCCGUAUGCCUAAGUCAACCCACGAAACGAGCGUGCAGGUGCUCAACCGGCCGGAUAGGCAUAAUGCGCAAGCCUGGGAUCAACCCGAUCCCUUCUGCGUGCUGUCGAUCCUGCUGUCGCAACCCUCAGUCUAGUUCAAUCUUAGACUAGGAAUGAACUCCUUAUGCAUAAGUCAACCCACGAAACAAGCGUGCGGGCGUUGAGCCGGCCGAAGAGGCAUAAUGCACAAGCCGAGGAUCGACCUGAUCCCCCUCUGUGUGCUACCGAUCCCGCUGCUACAACCCUUGAUCCGGCUGGGAAUUAGACAUGGAAUGAACUCCCUAUGCCUAAGCCAACCCACGAAACGGGCGUGUGAGCGCUCAGUCGACCAGAGAGGUAGAAUGGAGAGGUAUAAUGCGCAAGCCAAGGAUCAAUUCGAUCCGUCUCUGCAUGUUGCCAAUCCCACUGUCGGUCUUGCUGCCAUAACCCUCGGUCCAGCUAGGGCUUAGACAUGGAAUGAACUCCGUAUGCCUAAGCCAACCCACGAAACGAACGUGCGGGUUCUUAGUCGACUGGAGAGGUAGAAUGCGUAAGCCGGGGAUCGGCCCGAUCCUCGCUUGCGUGCUGUCAAUCCUGCUCCUAGUCCUGCUAACGCAACCCUUGGUCCGGUCUGAUCUUAGACUGGGAAUGAACUCCGUAUGCUUAGACAUGGAAUGAACUUCGUAUGCCUAAGCCAACCCAUAAAAUGAGUGUGUGGGCGCUCAGUCGAUCGGAGAGGCCGACUGGAAAGGCAUAAUACGCAAGCUGAGGAUCAGCCCGGUCUGCCUCUAUAAGUUGUCGAUCCCACUGUCGGUCUUGCUGCCAUAACCCUCGGUCCAACUGGGGCUUAGACAUGGAAUGAACUCCGUAUGCCUAAGCCAACCCACAAAACGAGCGUGCAGGCACUUAGCCGACCGAAGAGGCAGAAUGCGCAAGCCGGGGAUCGACCCGAUCCUCCAUUAUGUGCUGCCGAUCCUGCUGCUCGUCCUGCUAGCGCAACCCUCGGUCCAAUCCGAUCUUAGACUAGGAAUCAACUCCGUAUGCUUAAACUAGGGAUGAACUUCGUAUGCCUAAGUCAACCCACAAAAUGAGCAUGCGGGCGCUCAACCGAUCAGAAAGGUCGACAGGAGAGGCACAAUAUGCAAGCCGAGGAUCGGCCCGAUCCCCUCUUGCGUGCUGUCGAUCCUGCUGCUGGUCCUGCUGCCGUAACCCUCGGUCCAGUCCGAUCUUAGACUAGAAUGAACUCCGUAUGCUUAGACAUGUAAUGAACUCUGUAUGCCUAAGCCAACCCACGAAAUGAGGGUACGGGCACUCAACCGAUCGGAGAGGUAGAAUGCACAAUCCAGGGAUCGGCUCAGCUCCCCCUGCAUGCUAUCGAUCCUACUGUCGCAACCCUCGAUCCGAUCCGAUCUUGGACUGGGAAUGAACUUCGUACGCCUAAGUCAACCCACGAAACGAGCAUGCGGGUACUGAGCCGACCAGAGAGGCAGAAUGCGCAAGCCAGCGAUCGGCCCGAUCCCCCCUGCGUGCUGCCGAUCCUGCUACCGCAACCCUCGAUCCAGUUUGAUCUUAGACUGGGAAUGAACUCCAUAUGCUUAGACUGGGGAUCAACUCCGUAUGCCUAAGUCAACCCAUGAAACAAGCAUGCGGGCCCUCAAUGGGUUUGAGAUGCAGAAUGCGCAAGCUAGGGAUCGGUUCGGUCCCUUCCUGCGUGCUAUUGAUCCUACUGCUGGUCCUGCUACCGUAAGCCUCAAUCCUGUCCGAUCUUAGACUGGGAAUGAACUCCGUAUGCUUAGACAUGGAAUGAACUCCGUAUGCCUAAGUCAACCCACGAAACGAGCGUGUGGGCGCUGAGCCAGCCGGAGAGGCAUAAUGCGCAAGCCUGGGAUCGGCCUGAUCCCCCUCUACGUGCUGUCAAUCCCGCUGCCACAACCCUCGAUCCAGCUGGGGCUAAGACAUGGAAUGAACUCCCUAUGCCUAAGCCAACCCACAAAACGGGCGUACGGGUGCUCAACCGGCUGGAGAGACAGAAUGCACGAAUCGGGGAUCGACUUGGUCCCCCUCUGCAUGCUGUCUGUCCCGCUGCCAUAACCCUCAGUCCGACUAGGGCUUAGACACGGAAUGAACUCCUUAUUCCUAAGCUAACCCACAGAACAGGUAUACGGGUGCUCAGCCGGCUGAAGAGGUAAAAUGCGCAAGCCGGGGAUCGGGCCGAUCCCUCCUGCAUGCUGUCGAUCAUACUGUUGCAACCCUCGAUCUAGUCCAAUCUUAGACUGGGAAUGAACUUCGUAUGCUUAGACUGGGAAUGAACUUCGUAUGCUUAGACUGGGGAUGAACUCCGUAUACCUAAGUUAACCCAUGAAACGAGCGUUCGGAUGCUCAGCCGACCAGAGAGGCAUGGUGCACAAGCCGAAGAUCGAACGGGUGGUAGGUGGGUUCAAGCACAUCUUUAUAUUUCUACGGUGCCAAUGCCAUUUUUUGGCUUGUAAAUUCAUACAAUGGUCCCCUAUGCCUUCAUGUGAAGUUUUGUGGCAAGAUGACCCGUUUUUUUUUUUUCACGAUUUUUGAAACUUUUUACGGUUAAGGAUUUUUUAAAAUUUUUUUAGCAAGAGUUUUAUCCCCAAAUUUGGUAGAGGUGAUCCUUGUAUUUUUGUUGGCAUGCACAAAAAAAUUCAGCUAAAAACUCCAAGUGUAGAAGAUUUUGUGACCAUUUGAAUAAAGUGUCCCCAUUUCAGACACUUUAAUGGCUACUGGCAGCAAACCUAUAAAAUCUCAAAUGCUCUUUAAGGGGGUGUGAGUUCUCAAGGUUUGAUGAGGGAUAGGGGCCCAAUAUAAGGGCAAAGUACCAACACCCAUCGCACAUCAUGUGCGCACACCCCCUGGCCCACCCAACGUCGGAACCCCCAAUGCUGUCAGUUAGGCUCUCCGAUGAUGCUCCGACGAUGGUGCCCCAUGCGAAAAAAAGUGGCAUCAGCACAUGCCUGAUCCCAGCAUGUGCACCAUGGCUCAAAAUCUUAGACUGGGAAUGAACUCCGUAUGCUUACACAUGGAAUGAACUCAGUAUGCCUAAGUCAACCUACGAAACGAGCGUACGAGCGCUCAGUCGGUCGGAGAGGUAGAAUGCGCAAGCCGAGGAUCGGCUCGGUCCCCUCUACGUCUGCCAGUCCCGCUACCACAACCCUCAGUCUGGCUGGGGCUUAGACAUGGAAUGAACUCGCUAUGCCUAAGCCAACCCACGAAACCGGACGUGCGGGCGCUCAGCCGACCGGAGAGGCAGAAUGCAGAAGCCAGGGAUCGGCUCGGUUUCCCCUGCUUGCUACCGAUCUUGCUGUCGUAACCCUCGGUCCGUUUCGAUCUUAGACUGGGAAUGAAUUCCGUAUGCUUAGAUGGAGGAUGAACUCCGCAUGCCUAAGUCAACCCAUGGAACAGCGUGCAGUACUCAGCUAACCGAAGAGACAGAAUGCGUAAGCUGGGGACUGCCCGGACCCCCCCUCCGUGCUGUCGAUCCUACUGCUGGUCCAGCUACCGCAAGCCUCGAUCCGGUCCGAUCUUAGACUAGGAAUGAACUCCGUAUGCUUAGACAUGGAAUGAACUCCGUAUGCCUAAGCCAACCCAUGAAACGAGCGUAUGAGCGCUCAGCUAGUCGGAGAGGCAGAAUGCACAAGCCGGGGAUCGACCCGGUCCUCCUUUUCAUGCUGUUGAUCCUCCUGUUGGUCUUACUGCCGUAAGCCUCGAUCUGGUCCGAUCUUAGACUGGGAAUGAACUCCGAAUGCUUAGACAUGGAAUGAACUCCGUAUGCCUAAUCCAACCCACAAAAUGAACGUGUGAGCGUUCAGCCAGCCGGAGAGACAGAAUUGCGUAAGUCAGGGUCCGGUCUGGUCCCCCCUACGUGCUGUCAAUCCUGCUAUCGUAACCCUCAGUCCGGUCUGAUCUUAGAUUGGGAAUGAACUCCAUAUGCCUAAGUCAACCCAUGAAACGAGCGUUCGGGUGCUGAGCCGACUGGAGAGGCAUAAUGCGCAAGCCAGAGAUCGACUCGGUCCGACUGCCACAACCCUCGGUCCAGUUGGGGCUUAGACAUGGAAUGAACUCCCUAUGCCUAAGCCAACCCACGAAAAGGGAGUGCGGACGCUCAGCUGGCCGAAAAGGUAGAAUACGUAAGCCGAGGAUCGGCCUGAUCCCCUCUGCAUGCUGCCGAUCCUGCUGCUGCAACCCUUGGUCCAAUCUGAUCUUAGACUAGGAAUGAACCCCUAUGCUUAGAUUGGGGAUGAACUCUGUAUGCCUAAGUCAACCCACGAAACGAGCGUGCGGGUGCUCAGCUGGUCGGAGAGGCAGAAUGCGCAAGCCGGGGAUCGACCCAGUCCCCCCCUGCGUGCUGUCAAUCUUGCUAUCGCAACCCUCGGCCCGGUCCGAUCUUAGACUAAGAAUGAACUUCGUAUGCCUAAGUCAACCCAUGAAAUGAGCGUUCGGGCACUAAGCCGACCGGAGAGGCAUAAUGCGCAAGCUGGGGAUCGGCCCGGUCCCCCUCUGCGUGCUGUCAGUCCCGCUACCAUAACCCUCGAUCCGGUUGGGGCUUAGACAUGGAAUGAACUCCCUAUGCCUAAGCCAACCCACGAAACGGGUGUGCGAGCGCUCAGCCGGUCAGAGAGGUAGAAUGCGUAAGCCGGGGAUCGGUCCGAUCCCACCUGUAUGCUGCCGAUCCUGCUGUCGUAACCCUCGAUUCGGUCUGAUCUUAGACUGGGAAUGAACUCCGCAUGCUUAGACUAAGGAUAAACUCCGUAUGCCUAAGUCAACCCAUGAAACGAGCGUGCGAGCGCUCAGCAGGCCAGAGAGGUCGGCCGGAGAGAUAUAAUGCACAAGCCAGGGAUUAGCCCGGUCCCCUUCUACGUGCUGCCGAUCCCCCUGUCAGUCCUGCUGCCACAACCCUCGGUCUGACUGGGGCUUAGACCUGGAAUGAACUUCGUAUACCUAAGCCAACCCAUGAAACAAGCGUGCGAGCGCUCAACCGGCCGUAAAGGCAAAAUACGCAAGUCAGGGAUCGGCCUGGUCCCCCCUGCAUGCUGUUGAUCCUGCUGUCGCAACCCUCGGUCCGAUCCGAUCUUAGACUGGGAAUGAACUCCAUAUGCUUAGACAUGGAAGGAACUCCGUAUGCCUAAGCCAAUCCACGAAACGAGCGUGCGGGUGCUCAACAGGCCAGAGAGGCAGAAUGCGUAAGCCUGGGAUCGGUCUGAUCCCUCCUGCGUGCUGUCAACCCUGCUACCGCAACCCUUGAUCCGGUCUGAUCUUAGAUUGGGAAUGAACUCUGUAUUCCUAAGUUAACCACAAAACGAGCGUUCGAGCGCUGAGUUGAUCUGAGAGGCAUAAUGCACAAGCCGGAGAUCAGCUCGGUCCCCCUUUACGGGCUACCGGUCUCGCUACCACAACCCUCCAUUUGACUGGGGCUUAGACAUGGAAUGAACUCCCUAUGCCUAAGCCAACCCAAGAAACGGGCUUACGGGCGCUCAACCGGUCGGAUAGGCAGAAUGCGCAAGUCGAGGAUCAGCCUGGUUCCCCCUGCAUGUUAUCGAUCCUACUGCCGUAACCCUUGAUCCGAUCCGAUCUUAGACUAGGAAUGAACUUCGUAUGCAUAGACUAGGGAUGAACUCCGUAUGCCUAAGUCAACCCAUGAAACGAGCGUGCGGGCGCUCAGCCGGUCGGAGAGGCCGACCGGAGAAACAUAAUGCACAAGUCGAGGAUCAGCCCGAUCCCCCUCUGCACGCUGUCGAUCCCGCUGCCGAUCCCGCUGCCGAUCCUGCAGCCACAACCUUCGGUCCAACUGGGGCUUAGACAUGGAAUGAACUCCGUAUGCCUAAGCCAACCCACGAAAUGAGCAUACAAGCACUUACCCGAUCGGAGAGGCAGAAUGCGCAAGCCAGGGAUCGGCUCAGUCCCCCCUACGUGCUACUGAUCCUGCUGCUGGUCCUGCUGUCGUAACCCUCUAUCCGGUCUGAUCUUAGACUGGGAAUGAACUCCAUAUGCUUAGACAUGGAAUGAACUUCGUAUGCCUAAGCCAACCCACAAAACGAGGGUGCGGGUGCUCAGCCGGUCAGAGAGACAGAAUGCGUAAGCCGGGGAUCGACCCGGUCCCCCCUACAUGCUGUCGAUCCUACUGUCGCAACCCUUAGUCCGAUCCGAUCUUAGACUGGGAAUGAACUCCGUAUGCCUAAGUCAACUCAUGAAACGAGCGUGCGGGCGUUGAGCCAGCCGAAGAGGCAUAAUGCGCAAGCCUGGGAUCGGCCCGAUCCCCCUCUACGUGCUGUCAGUCCCGCUGCCACAACCCUCAGUUCGGCUGGGGCUUAGACAUGGAAUGAACUCCCUAUGCCUAAGCUAACCCACGAAACGGGCGUACGGGCGCUCAACCGGCUGGAGAGAUAGAAUGCACAAAUCUUAGACUGGGAAUGAACUCCGUAUGCUUAGACAAGGAAUGAACUCCGUAUGCUUAGACAAGGAAUGAACUCCGUAUGCCUAAGCCAACCCACGAAACGAGCGUGCGGGCACUCAACCGAUUGAAAAGGCAGAAUGUGCAAGCUGGGGAUCGGCCCAAUCCUCCCUACGUGCUAUCGAUCCUGCUGUCGUAACCCUCGGUCUGAUUCGAUCUUAGACUGGGAAUGAACUCUGUAUGCAUAAGUCAACCCACGAAAUGAGCGUACGGGCACUGAGCCGAUCGAAGAGGCAUAAUGUGCAAGCCGGGGAUCGGCCUGAUCCCCCUCUGUGUGAUGCCGAUCCCGCUGCCACAACCCUCGGUUCGACUGGGGCUUAGACAUGGAAAGAACUUCCUAUGCCUAAGCCAACCCACGAAAUGGGUGUACGGGCACUCAGCCGGUUAGAGAGGCAGAAUGCACAAUCCGAAGAUCGAUCCGAUCCCCCCUGCGUGCUACCGAUCCUGCUACAGCAACCCUCGAUCCGGUCCAAUCUUAGACUGGGAAUGAACUCGGUAUGCUUAGACUGGGGAUGAACUUCGUAUGCCUAAGUCAAGCCAUAAAACCAGUGUGCGAGCGCUCAGUCGACCAAAGAGGCAGGAUGCACAAGCCGGAGAUCGAACGGGUGGUAGGUGGGUUCAAGCACAUCUUCAUUUUUUUGCCAUGCCAAUGCCAUUUUUAUGGCUUGUAAAUUCAUACGAUGGUCCCCUAAGCCUUCAUGUGAAGUUUCGUGGCAAGGCGACCCGUGUUCUAUUUUUCACGAUUUUUGAAACUUUUUUGGUUUGAGAUUUUUUAAACUUUUUUUAGAAAGAGUUUUGUCCCCAAAUUUGGUAGAGGUGAUCUUUGUAUUUUUUUGGCAUGCACAAAAACAUUCAGCUAAAAACUCGAAGUGGAGAAGAUUUUGUGACCGUUUGAAAAAACUGUCCUCAUUUCAGACACUUUAAUGGCUACUGGCAGCAAACCUAUAAAUCUCAAAUGCUCUUUAAGGGGGUGUGAGUUCUCGAGGUUUAAUGAGGGAUAGGGGGCCAAUUUAAGGGCCAAGUACCAGCACCCAUUGCACAUCUUGUGCGCACACCCGCCCGGCCUCCCCCAAUCGUCAGAACCCCCAAUGCUGUCGGUUAGGCUCUCCGACGAUGCUCCGGCGAUGCUCCGACGAUGGUGCCCCACGUAAAAAAAAUAUGACACCAGUACAUGCUCGAGCCUAGCAUGUGCACCGUGGCUCAAAAUCUUAGACUGGGAAUGAACUCCGUAUGCUUAGACAUGGAAUGAACUCCGUAUGCCUAAGCCAACCCACGAAACGAGCGUGCAGGCGCUCAACCGACCGGAGAGGCAGAAUGCGCAAGCCGGGGAUCAGCCCGAUCCCCUUCUGCAUGCUGUCGAUCCCGCUGCCACAACCCUCGGUCCGACUGGGGCUUAGACAUGGAAUGAACUCCCUAUGCCUAAGCCAACCCACGAAACGGACGUGCGGGCGCUUAGCUGGUCGGAGAGACAGAACGUGCAAGUCGAGGAUCAGCUCGGCCCCCCCUGCGUGCUACCAAUCCUGCUGUGGUAACCCUCGGUCCGGUUCGAUCUUAGACUGGGAAUGAACUCCGUAUGCUUAGACUGUGGAUGAACUCCGUAUGCCUAAGUCAACCCACGAAACGAACGUGCGGGCGUUCAACCGACCGGAGAGGCUAGUCGAAGAGGCAGAAUGUGCAAGUCGGGGAUCGACCCGGUCCCCCUGCGUGCUAUCGAUCCUACUGCUGGUCCUGCUGUCGUAACCCUCGGUCCGGUCCAAUCUUAGACUGGGAAUGAACUCCUUAUACUUAGACAUGAAAUGAACUCCGUAUGCCUAAGCUAACCCACGAAACGAGCGUGCAGGCGCUCAGUCGGUCGGAGAUUAAAAUGCGCAAGUCGGGGACCGGCCUGGUCCCCCCCUGCGUGCUGUCGAUCCUACUACCGCAACUCUUGGUCCGAUCCGAUCUUAGACUAGGAAUGAACUCCGUAUGCCUAAGUCAACCCACGAAAUGAGCGUUCGGGUGCUGAGCCGGCCGGAGUGGCAUAAUACGCAAGCCGAGGAUUGACCCGAUCCCCCUCUGAGUGCUAUCGAUCCCACUGCCACAACCCUCGGUCCGGUUGGGGCUUAAACAUGGAAUGAACUCCCUAUGCCUAAGAUAACCCAUGAAAUGUGCGUACAGGCACUCAACCGGUCAGAGGGGCAAAAUGCAUAAACCGAGGAUCGGCCUGGUCCCUCUACGUGCUGUCGAUCCUACUGCGGUAACCCUCGGUCCGGUCUGAUCCGAUCUUAGAUUGGGAAUGAACUCCGUAUGCUUAAACUGGGAUGAACUCCGUAUGUCUAAGUCAACCCACGAAAUGAGCGUGCGGGCACUCAGCCUGUCGAAGAGGUCGGUUGGAGAGGAAGAAUGCGCAAGCCGGGGAUCGACCCGAUCCCCCCUGCGUGCUGUCUAUCCUGUUGCUGGUCCUGCUGCCGCAACCCUCGAUCCGAUCCGAUCUUAAACUGGAAAUGAACUCUAUAUGUUUAGACAUGGAAUGAACUCUGUAUCCCUAAGCCAACCCACGAAACGAGCGUAUGGGUGCUUAACCGAUCGAAGAGGCAGAAUGCGUAAGUCAGGGAUCGGCCCGGUCCCCCUUACGUGCUGUCGAUCCUGCUACCGCAACACUCGAUCCGGUCUGAUAUUAGACUAGGAAUGAACUCCGUAUGCCUAAGUCAACCCAUGAAACGAGCAUUCGGGCACUGAGCCAGUCGGAAAGGCAUAAUGCGCAAGUCGGGGAACGACCCGGUCCCCCUCUGUAUGAUGUCGGCCCCGUUACCACAACCUUCGAUCCGACUGGGGCUUAGACAUGGAAUGACCUCUCUCUGCCUAAGCCGACCCAUGAAACAGGCGUACGGGUGCUCAGCCAGCCGAAAAGGUGUAAUACGCUAGCUGGGGAUUAGCCCGAUCCCCCUCUGCAUGCUGUCGAUCCCACUGUCGGUCCUGCUGCUACAACCUUCGAUCCGACUGGGGCUUAGACAUGGAAUGAACUCCGUAUGCCUAAGCCAACCCACGAAACGAGCGUGCGGGUGCUCAGUCGAUCGGAGAGGCAGAAUGCGCAAGCUGGGGAUCGGCCCGGUCCCCCCCGGUGUACUAUCGAUCUUGCUACUAGUCCUGCUGUCGUAACCCUCGGUCCAAUCCGAUCUUAGAUUGGGAAUGAAAUCCGUAUGCUUAGACAGGGAAUGAACUCCGUAUGCCUAAGCCAACCCACGAAACGAGCGUGCGGGCGCUCAACCGAUCGGAGAGGCAGAAUGCGCAAGUCGGGGAUCGACUAGGUACCCCUCUGCGUGCUGUCAAUCCUGCUGUCGCAACCCUCGGUCCGGUAUGAUCUUAGACUAGGAAUGAACUCCGUAUGCCUAAGUCAACCCACGAAAUAAGCAUGCGGGCAUUGAGCCGACCGGAGAGACAUAAUGCGCAAGCCGAGGAUCGACGCGAUCUCCCUCUACGUGUUGCCGAUCCCGCUGCCACAACCCUCAGUUCGAUUGGGGCUUAGACAUGGAAUGAACUCCCUAUGCCUAAGCCAACCCAUGAAAAGAGCGUGUGGGCACUCAGCCGGCCGGAGAGGCAGAAUACGCAAGUCGAGGAUCGACCCAGUCCCCCCUGCGUGCUGUCGAUCAUGCUGCCGCAAGCCUCGAUCUGAUUCGAUCUUAGAUUGGGGAUGAACUCCGUAUGCCUAAGUCAACCCGCGAAACGAGCAUGCGGGAGCUCAACCGAUCGGAGAGGCCGAUCGGAGAGGCAGAAUGAGCAAGUCGAGGACCGGUCCAGUCCCCCAUGCGUGCUAUCGAUCCUACUACCGCAACCUUCGAUCCGGUCUGAUCUUAGACUGGAAAUGAACUCCGUAUGCUUAGACUGGGAUGAACUUCGUAUGCCUAAGUCAACCCACGAAAUGAGCGUGCGGACGCUCAGUCGACAAGAGAGGCAGGAUGCGUAAGCCGGGGAUCGAAUGGGUGGUAGGUGGGUUCAAGCACAUCUUCAUAUUUCUGGUGUGCCAAUGCCAUUUUUAUGGUUGUAAAUUCAUACAAUGGUCCCCUAAGGCUUCAUGUGAAGUUUCGGGGCAAGACGACCCGUUUUCUAUUUUUAAAGAUUUUUGAAACUUUUUACGGUUUGAGAUUUUUUAAAAUUUUUUUAGAAAGAUUUUUGUCCCCAAAUUUGGUAGAGGUGAUCCUUGUAUUUUUGUUGGCAUGCACAAAAACAUUCAGCUAAAAACUCGAAGUGGAGAAGAUUUUGUGACCGUUUGAAAAAAGUGUCCCCAUUUCAAACACUUUAAUGGCUACUGGCAGCAAACCUAUAAAAUCUCAAAUGCUCUUUAAGGGAGUGUGAGUUCUCGAGGUUUGAUGAGGGAUAGGGGGCCAAUAUAAGGGCCAAGUACUAGUACCCAUCGCACAUCAUGUGCGCACACCCUCCCGGCCCCCCUAAUCGCCGGAACCCCCAAUGUCGUCGGUUAGGCUCUCUGGCGAUGCUUCGACGAUGGUGCCCUGGGCGAAAAAAAUGUGGCACCAGCACAUGCCCGAGCCCAGCAAGUGCACCGUGGCUCAAACUCUUAGACUGGGAAUGAACUCCGUAUGCUUAGACAUGGAAUGAACUCCGUAUGCCUAAGCCAACCCACGAAACGAGCGUAUGGGCGCUCAGCCGAUCGGAGAGGCAGAAUGCGUAAUCCGAGGAUCGGCCCGGUCCCUCCCUGUGUGCUGUCGAUCCUGCUGCUGCAACCCUCGGUCCGGUUUGAUCUUAGACUGGGAAUGAACUCCGUAUGCCUAAGUCAACUCACGAAACGAGCGUGCGAGCGCUGAGCCGGUUGGAAAGGCAUAAUGCGCAAGUCAGGGAUCGUCCCAGUCCCCCUCUGCGUGCUGUCGGUCCCGCUGCCAUAACCCUCGGUCUGGUUGGGGCUUAGACAUGGAAUGAACUCCCUAUGCCUAAGCCAACCCAUGAAACGGGCGUGUGGGGGCUCAGCUGGCCGAAAAGGCAGAAUACGCAAGCCGGGGAUCAACUCGGUCCCCCCUGCGUGCUGUCGAUCUUGCUGUCGCAGCCCUCGAUCCGGUCUGAUCUUAGACUGGGGAUGAACUCCGUAUACCUAAGUCAACCCACGAAACGAGCGUGCGGACGCUCAGCCGACCAAAGAGGCAGGAUGCGCAAGCCGGGGAUCAAACGGGUGGUAGGUGGGUUCAAGGACAUCUUCAUAUUUCUGUCAAGCCAAUGCCAUUUUUAUGGCUUGUAAAUUCAUACGAUGGUCCCCUAAGCCUUCAUGUGAAGUUUCGUGGCAAGACGACCCGUUUUUUAUUUUUCACGAUUUUUGAAACUUUUUACGGUUUGGGAUUUUUUAAAUUUUUUUAAAAAGAGCUUUGUCCCCAAAUUUGGUAGAGGUGAUCCUUGAUUUUUGUUGGCAUGCACAAAAAAAUUCAGCUAGAAACGCGAAGUGGAGAAGAUUUUGUGACCGUUUGAAAAAAGUGUCCCCAUUUCAGACACUUUAAUUACUACUGGCAGCAAACCUAUAAAAUCUCAAAUGCUCUUUAAGUGGGUGUGAGUUUCGAGGUUUGAUGAGGGAUAAAGGGUCAAUAUAAGGGCCAAGUUUCAACACCCAUCGCACAUCAUUUGCGCACAGCCCCCGGCCCCCCCAAUCGUCGGAACCCCCAAUGCCGCCGGUUAGGCUCUCUAACGAUGCUCCGGUGAUGGUGCCCCGAGCAAAAAAAAUGCUGCACCAGCACAUGCCCAAGCCCAGCAUGUGCACCGUGGCUCAAACUCUUAGACUGGGAAUGAACUCCGUAUGCUUAGACAUGGAAUAAACUCUGUAUGCCUAAGCAAACCCACGAAACGAGCGUGCGGGCGCUCAACCGGGUGGAGAGACAGAAUGCGCAAGCCGGGGAUUGGCCCAAUCCCCCUCUGUGUGCUGCCGGUCCCGCUGCCACAACCCUCGGUCCGGCUGGGGCUUAAACAUGGAAUGAACUCCGUAUUCCUAAGCCAACCCACGAAACGGGCGUGCGGGCGCUCAGCCAGUCGGAGAGGCCGGCCGGAGAGGCAUAAUGCGCAAGCCGGGGAUUAGCCCGGUCCCUCUUUGCGUGCUGUCGAUCCCGCUACCGGCCUUACUGCUACAACCCUUGGUCUAACUGGGGCUUAGACAUGGAAUGAACUCCGUAUGCCUAAGCUAACCCACGAAACGAGCGUGAUAGCACUCAGCCGGCCGGAGAGGCAGAAUGCGCAAGCCGGGGAUCGGCUCGAUCCCCCUUGCGUGCUGUCGAUCCUGCUGCCGCAACCCUUGGUCUGGUCCAAUCUUAGACUGGGAAUGAACUUCGUAUGCUUAGACAUGGAAUGAACUCCGUAUGCCUAAGCCAACCCACGAAACGAGCGUGCGGGCGCUCAGCCGAUUGGAGAGGCAGAAUGCACAAGCCAGGGACCGACCGGGUGCCCCCUACGUGCUGUCGAUCCUGCUGCUGCAACCUUCGAUCCAGUUUAAUCUUAGACUGGAAAUGAACUCCGUAUGCCUAAGUUUCCUCGUGUUAGCGAAACUGGAACUGAAAUAGCCUCGGGUAAUUCAAUUGUUUCAGUUCCUGUGACCAGGCUUUCUCUCCGGUGAUAUUGAAUCUCUUGGAGUAAGAUCAGUAGGAGGAGCUCACCCCAGGCAAGCUACUUAUUAAUUAGAACCCGGAUAAGUCCGAUGGAAAUGAAUUGAAAAAGAAAAGUAUGUUCUCACGGGCUAGGCUAAGCCAGAAAGAGAAAGAGAAUGCUAAAGUAAAGACUAGUUAAAGAAGAAGGCGAGCUAGCAGAUGAGAUAAGCGUAAAAAUUCACCCGAGUAAGGCCACCCGAGUAAGGCCGACUUAAAGUGGAUAUAGUUGAUCCCGUUAAAAGGGGUUCUCUCUCUUGAUUAAGUCAUUUCUACUGGCUCAAGCCCAAGGUGAGAAAGACCAGGGGUAACCACCCUUUCUAAAGCGAACGAAUGGAACUAAACUACUAGCAAUCUAUGGGAAUGAUUAAAUAAGUCCGAUUCCUCUCGGCGGCACUCUGCUCAUGGUUUGUUGGUAAGGAAGUUGAAUGUGAACAAGGAAUAAGCAGUCUUAGCAGCAGUUACCGUUGAAGGAAGGGAAGACAGCUAACCGCCUUGUAGGCUACGUUCUUAAGUAAUCCCACGCUCAAACCCUAUAACCCAAAAGUAGAGAGUAAAGCUACGUUCUAACCUCUAGUGCUGGUGUAUGAGUCUAUCCCUCUAACCUGGAGCUGUCGUAUCCCCUCGUUGUAGUAGGAGAACCAGUCCACUCUCUAACCCUCAUCUAACGCUCUAACCUUUCGUCGCUGUAAGUAAUUCCCUCUAACCCUUCCUUUAGCCUACUUUCUAUCCCGCUAGCAAGGAAGCCACAAACUCAUAUCCCUAGCCCGCUAAUCCAUCGUUCUAUGGUCACCCUUUUGCGGAAGUAGGGUAAGGUGAUUCAAAGUAAGCUAGAGAAAGCUAUCCUGUAAGCUAGCCUUGUAUGAGUAGGAGUAGGAGUAGGAGUCAGCCAGUGAGUCUCCCCCUGGUUCUAGAGUGAGCAAGGUUAUAGAGUAAUUCCGAGCUAGAGGAAGCAAGUAAGGAAGAAAGAGGAGCUAUUUUACGUAAUUCCCUGCCCGAGUAAGCCUCAUGUUAUUUGUUGGAAGCGGGUGGAGGGUAUAGUUCUAUUUUACAGUCCCCAGUUCUGGAGGAAGGAUUGGUACGCAGUCCCUCGUGCUAUCGGUUAUAGAGUCAGAGUUGGGAAGUCCCAGGUUCUGGAGGCAUUAAGCAAAUCAGCUAACCCAGGUGCUAGAGGUUCUUAAUCCCAGUAGAUAAAUAAGUAAGCUAGUCUCAGGUAAGCAAGGUGAGAGGAAAAGGCUUAAGGCAACCCAGGUGCGAGAGUCUUGAGUACGCUACUGAGUAAGGGGAUUCUUCAUAGAGCUAGAAAGCUUUUAGAGGUAAUCCCUGGGCCAGCCAAUGAGUAUGCCAGUUGAUGACUCCCCAGGAGAUAUUGAAUUCGAAGGAAAAAAGGGAAGACAGAAGGAAGGAUUGGACUGGUGCUAUAGCUUUCCGAGCUAGAGGAUAUAAAAAGAGUAUUGAGUCAGCCAAUGAUUAGCGAGCAAGCAAGCCAAGCCGCUUGGAAAGGGUCACGGAAGUAGGGGACCGAAGCUAGCGAAGUGAACCGUUAUAAACCGGGGUAUAAAUAACAACAAGUCAGGCAUGAAAGCCAAGUGAAGUGACCAGAGGUUUAGGGUGCGGUGCCAAUUCUUAAGAGUGGUGUGAGGCAGUGAGCUAGCCCGCUACAGAUGAUUGCUGCCUUGCACUUCCAACCGGAAGAUAAGAUGCCAGGGUCAAAUGACUUAAAAAACCCGAUUAUUUGCACAGAUCUGCUAAAAUAAAAAAGCCGAUUUGAGAUCGGAAAGGCAACAUCUAUCGCAAACCUUAAACUCGUGAUUGAACUAAAGAAAUGAGGCCAUGAAUAAGGUUUUUCUCACUACACGAGUAAGAAUUUACUAGCCGCCUACUCUAUAUCUAUAAAGAUAGACGGAUUUCGCCUGCCACUCUACCGAGCUAACCAGGGCGGAUGAGCAUCUAUUUCAAGAAAGGAUUGAACAAGGUGUACUUUGUGAAGCGGCUAUCGGCUUUAAGAGCACCACGUUAACGCCUAGCCUAUUACCUUUACUUAACAACACUACUUCUCCUUCCCCUCUUUCCUGUGCUAGCAAGAAGGAAAAAGAAGGAAAUCUAACUCAUUUGUUGGUAGAGCUCUUAGAGUCCUACUUCAAGGCAGUUCCUUAGUUAAAGCAAGGAGAGCACCUCUAACUGAAUUCGGACUAAGAGAUUACACUCACUCAGCUAGCUCUUAAGAAAGUCUUAAGUUAGUUUAGUCAUUCUUACUUCCUUUAGUCGGUAAGAAAGGAAGCUCAUUAGUCCUAGUCCUAAUAGUCAGACAAAGCAGCAGACAGGCAGGGAAAUAAGCUCAAACAUGCUAUUAGUCUAACAGAGCAAGUAAUAAGAGCAGGUAAAGCAAAGAGGAUUAAAAUGACGAGGAGCUGGCAAGGCGGAAAACUUGGAUGAUGGAGCACGAGUUGCUGACGGUAAGCAUAGGCACUCGAGCAAACCUAAAUAGCAUCGAAGAGUAUUGGUCAGAUAAUGACUAGCCUUUUCGAUUAGGUUAAAACCAGACAUUCCUUUCUCAUGUUUUAUGAUCACUCACACUGCUCAUAUGUGAACAUUCCUAACAGCGGAUCAGCGACAAGACCGGUUAUUCACUCUAUCUCUUAAUCCGUCGAAUAGGAAGUCUGUCUCUCGUUCUAUGAGGGCGAGUGAAUCUUUUUCUAGGUGGAGAACCAUUCCUUUAUUGAGGUGCAGGGCGCUAAGGCUUUGCAUUCUCUUUGUAUGAAAAUGAGACUCACUCCCGCUAGUCUUUUACGUUGUCCCGUACUUUCUCCUUGUAAAACUGUCGAUCGGUAUGGACCUAUCCUAUGUCCGUCCUGGUGAAGUUUCUCCCGAGCGAAGUGACUUCCUUUGUGUGUGACUUGAGGAUGGUUCUUGCAUUCUUUCCUAGUUUUCUUUUUUUCGGGUAUCAUUCCCAUUUUUCGAAGUUGGCUAAGAGCCCUUUCCUUCUUUCCGGGAUUGAAGUGCCUGCCCGCCCGGCUGGGCUCUUAACUCGACGAAAGAACCUCUUUUUCGUUUCGAACCUUCAGUGAGCGAGUACUUUGUUCUAUCUUUUUAGUCUUGCAGUAGUAAGGUUCAUCUUAUUUUCCCUUAGUCCUAAGGGUUUCAUCUCAAGCAUUCCAAAUCCGCAUCUGUUGUCAGAAUGGCUACUAGAAGGUAGGAGUUCUCAUACCCAGUUAAUUGAUGAAGGAAAGGAGUUGUACCGCCUACUCCUGCCCUUACUAAUGGGAAAUAAGUUACUUGCUUGACUAAUUCUUUCGAAAAUGUCAGUCUAUUGGUCCUAUCUAAUGUCAUGUCAAACCUGAAAACAGAACAUCGCAUUCCCUUAUUCCCGCGAGUAAACUACCCCGCUCCUUGCUUGGAUAAGAAGAGAAAGGCUUCAUUUAGAAGUUGUUUUUCUAGGUUUUUCGUCAUAGAAGGGGUAGAAGGAGCCCUCAUACCCGCUCUCCUCCUCCACCCCAUACCUGAAUAGAUAUAGGGUGGCCUCGCCUUACCUUAGAAGGCUACAGAAGAGAAAAAGGUGAAGCCCACCUUGUAGGGGCUUUCCCCAGACCUCUGUCCGGCCUAAGGACCGUCUCUAAGUUAGAGCUCCUGUCUCCUCACUUAGAGAGCGUACCAAUCCACUUCGUUCCCCGAUCAAAAUACAAAUAAGAUUAAGCGGAAUGAAUCAAAGAACUGAAGAAAGUGAAAACUUCCCUCUAAAAGAAAAGAAAAUUGAAACAAGAUAAAAUCCGUACUUUUUUUUUUUUUUUCGAAAAAUAUUAGUUCUCGAAAGUCUUCGUCUCCUUGAUAGCUGGGAGUUCUCCAAAAGUAUGAAAAGCAGGAGGACUUUGUACCAUCCAUUCCGGUGUGGUUGAAUUCUGUUCAACAGCCCAAGGACUUGGAGCACAUCUUUUGUUAUUUCCACUGCUUGAAGUGAUUGUUACGACCACGAAGAAACGACAAAUCCCAACUACGGAUAUAUAAGAGCCAAAACUGCUAAGGGUAUUCCAUCCAGCGUAAGCAUCUGGAUAAUCGGGAAUGCGACGUGGCAUACCCGAAAGCCCUAAGAAAUGCAUGGGAAAGAAGGUCAGAUUAACCCCGAAAAAAGUGAUCCAAAAAUGGAUUUGACCUAAAGUUUCAGGGUAUGUCCGACCAAAGAUUUUACCCACCCAAUAGUGAAAUCCUGCAAAUAAAGCAAAAACGGCUCCCAUAGAAAGUACAUAAUGGAAAUGUGCAACCACAUAAUAAGUAUCAUGUAGAGCAAUGUUUAGCCCAGAAUUUGCCGGGACUAUUCCAGUGAGUCCCCCUAUGGUGAACAAAAAGAUGAACCCUACAGCAAAUAACAUGGGUGUUUUGUAUUGUAUCGAACCUCCCCACAUGGUAGCGAUCCAACUAAAGAUUUUGAUUCCAGUGGGGACAGCUAUGAUCAUGGUAGCUGCGGUGAAGUAGGCACGGGUAUCAACGUCUAAGCCUACAGUAAACAUAUGAUGAGCCCAACCAAGAAAUCCAAGAACACCUAUACUGAUCAUGGCAUAAACCAUGCCUAGAUACCCGAAGACCGGUUUUCCCGAAAAAGUCGAAACGAUAUGACUUAUGAUACCGGAUCCACGCAAAAUGGGAAUAUACACCUCUGAUGACCGAAGAACCGAAAGAGAUGCUGGUAUAAUAUGGGGUCUCCCCCUCCAGCGGGAUCAGAAAAGGUUGUAUUAAAGUUUCGAUCGGUUAAUAACAUGGUAAUUGCCCCUGCCAGUACCGGAAGUGAUAAUAAAAGUGGGAAUGCUGUCACUAGAACGGACCACACAAAAAGGGGUGAUCUAUGCAUAGUCAUUCCAGGCCCACGCAUGUUGGAGAUAGUUGUUAUAAAAUUGAUAGAACCUAAAAUGGACGAAACACCAGAUAGAUGAAGACUAGAAAUUGCUGAAUCAACUGCUCCUCCAGAAUGGCUGGUAAUACCGCUUAAGGGCGGAUAGACCGUCCACCCAGUGCCGCUACCCACUUCUACUAAGGCUGAGCUUAAUAGGAGCAAGAGACUUGGUGGCAACAACCAGAAUGAAAUAUUAUUUAAUCGCGGAAAUGCCAUGUCAGGUGCACCUAUCAGAAUCGGAACAAACCAAUUACCAGAUCCACCUAUCAUCGCCGGCAUAACCAUAAAAAAGAUCAUUAAAAAAGCGUGAGCCGUUAUUAAAACAUUAUAAAGUUGAUGAUUUCCACCAAGAAUUUGAUCGCCGGGUCGUGCUAAUUCCAUACGAAUCAGUACUGAGAAGCAUGUGCCCAUCACUGCAGCAAUGGCACCGAAAAUGAAAUAUAAAGUCCCUAUAUCCUUGUGGUUAGUGGAGAACGGCCAUCGGACCGGAUUUGUCAUAAAAUUGAUCUUCUUUCCUUUCCUUCCUUAUCAGAGAGGGGCCCCGCUCGGGGCUUAUUUAUUGAAAAAGGGGGAGUGAGGGGAAGGUCCGGAAAGCCCUCACUUUAUUGAUGGGACAUCUUGAUCCCUUUUCCUCUAACCCCUGGUUCAGGAAAAGGUCAACGCAAAGAUCUUACUUCGAAGCAAUCUCUGGGGUUUUUCCUUAUCCGAACGGGUCUCGCAAGAAAAUAGGAUUUCAUAUUGAGCUCCAAAUAUACGCUAUUGGGAUUGGGAUAGGAUGGCUCCUACUAGCCCCUCCUAAGAACCGCACGUGCGAGUUCCCCCGCAUGCGGCUCAAGUGGCGAAGGCCCUUUCCUUCGCGCUUGGUAAGCGCUUCGCUGUAGUCAAGCUUACUGCUAGCCUAUCGGCUAGAGCCAAGCUUCGACCGCGACUGCUCGUCGCUUCUGGCCGCCUUAUUCCGUCACCCGAGAUCCAAGUCAGCACCGGCAAAGAUCUCUUGAUUCCUCGCGGCCGGGCCGGCUUGGAAGCAAGCUACCUGUCGCCUAUCUCACCCCCUUUCUUAUUAUUAGUAAGAUAGGUUGCCCCUUUCCUCUUUCUCUAAUAAUAAGGUGAGCUUCCAAAGCUCCUUCCUUCAGCUGGGUGAGCCUUCGCUUUUUGGAUCGUCUUCUGCCCAAUGCGGUACCCUCCCGUUUUUUGGUUCCCAUUGGGUUUACCUUGUUUACAGGUCGACCCCAUGGCAGCAAGAAAAGGUGAUCUUGUGCUAUACUCCGGUGAUCUCUUUCCUACCGAGGCACGCAAACUCCCAUCGUGUCCCAGAUCACAUUCCGUGAAUCGAAAGGGGAAGCCUACUCAUCCAUCAGCUCCUCUCGUAGACCGGUGCGGUUUUACGAAGCGUCUAAGCACAGUUCACUCGCGUUGAUCAAUCAAGAGCUUUGCCGCCACUCCUUAAGGUUACCUCUUGUAUCAAACACUUCUUGCAUUGUUUCCCACGCUUCAUACCCCCCUCUUUCUUCUUAAGGUAAGGUAAAGGGCCGGGCAUGGUGGGGUAGGAGCACCCUGUCGGAAAGAUUUUUGGCUUGACCAAGAAGUCUUAUGUCCUCCAAGUCGCACGGCGUUUUAACCGAAAGAACUUCUUGCGCAAUUCAUGCCUUUCUGUUUUUAUGACCAGAAAUUGUUUCUUGAUUUCCAUUUCAAAUUGUUCUCUGGACUUUUUAUCAAUAUGAGGUGAUCGUAACACAGUAUAUAAGACUCGUGAUUCAGGCAAUCCAAUCUUCCGUGUGUAAAGCGGAAGCCCCAAAAAAGGUUUUUCAUAAAUGGGUGAUCAGAAGAUCGAAUCACUAUGCGUAUCUUGGUGGUCGUUACUUUUGGUGGUCUUUCUUUUUGGCUGACUCCUCUUCCUGUUCUAUUGAUAAAAAAAAGCAUCCAGCAGCGCCACGCCAGUAGAAAGAGUGUUGCUACUAAGCGUCGCUGCUUUUGGGGAACUUGGUUGUUAACCAACGGCGCUAACCAAAACCGCCUCCUGCCGCCUAAUUCAAAAAAUGUCAACCCUCGAUCCGGCUGGGGCUUAAACAUGGAAUGAAUUUUUUAUGCCUAAGUCAACCCAUGAAACAGGUGUGCGGGCACUAAGCCGGUCGGAGAGGCAGAAUGCGCAAGUCAGGGAUCGGUCCGGUCCCCCUUAAGUGCUGCCUGCUGCGCAACCCUCGAUUCGGUUUGAUCUUAGACUGAGAAUGAACUCCGUAUGCUUAGACUAGGGAUGAACUCCGUAUGCCUAAGUUAACCCACGAAACGAGCGUGCGGACGCUCAGCCGACCAGAGAGGCAGAAUGCGCAAGCCGGGGAUCGAACGGGUGGUAGGUGGGUUCAAGCACAUCUUCAUAUUUCUGCCGUGUCAAUGCCAUUUUUACGGCUUGUAAAUUCAUACAAUAGUCCCCUAAGCCUUCCUGUGAAGUUUCGUGGCAAGACGACCCGUUUUCUAUUUUUCAUGAUUUUUAAAACUUUUUACGAUUCGAGAUUUUUUAAAAAUUUUUUAGAAAGAGUUUUGUCCCCAAAUUUGGUAGAGGUGAUCCUUGUAUUUUUUUUGGCAUGCACAAAAACAUUCAGCUAAAAACUUGAAGUGAAGAAGAUUUUGUGUCCAUUUGAAAAAAGUGUCCCCAUUUCAGACACUUUAAUGGCUACUGGCAGCAAACCUAUAAAACCUCAAAUGCUCUUUAAGGGGGUGUGAGUUCUCGAGGUUUGAUGAGGGAUAGGGGGCCAAUAUAAGGGCCAAGUACCAGCACCCAUCGCAUAUCAUGUGCGCACAUCCCCCCAGCCCCCCAAUCGCCGGAACCCCCAAUGCCACUGGUUAGGCACUCCGACGAUGCUCCGACGAUGCUCUGACGAUGGUGCCCCGAUCGAAAAAAAAGUGGCACCAGCACAUGCCCGAGCCCAGCAUGUGCACCGUGGCUCAAACUUUUAGACUGGGAAUGAACUCCGUAUGCCUAAGCCAACCCACGAAACGAGCGCGCGGGUGCUUAGCCGGUCGAAGAGGUAGAAUGCGCAAGUCAGGGAUCAGCCCGGUCCCCCUCUGCUUGCUGUCGGUCCCGCUGCCACAACCCUCAAUCCGACUAGGGCUUAGACAUGGAAUGAACUCCCUAUGCCUAAGUCAACCCACGAAAUGGGCGUGCGGGCGCUCAGUCGACCGGAGAGGCAAAAUGCGAAAGUCGAGGAUCGGCCCGGUGCCCUCUACGUUUUGCCGAUCCUGCUAUCGUAACCCUCGGUCUGGUUCGAUCUUAGACUGGGAAUAAACUCUGUAUGCUUAGACUGGGGAUGAACUUCGUAUGCCUAAGUCAACCCAUGAAACUAGUGUACGAGCAGUCAACCGACCGAAGAGGCCGAUCAGAGAGGCAGAAUAUGCAAGUCGAGGAUCGACCUGGUCCCUCCCUGCGUGCUACCGAUCCUGCUUUUGAUCCUGCUAUCGCAACUUUCGGUCCGGUCCGAUCUUAGACUGGGAAUGAACUCCGUAUGCUUAGACUUGGAAUGAACUCCGUAUGCCUAGGCCAACCCACAAAACGAGCGUGCGGGCUCUCAACCGACCGGAGAGGCAGAAUGCAUAAGCGAGGGACCAACCCGAUCCCCCCUACGUGCUGUCGAUCUUGCUGCCGUAACCCUUGGUCUGAUCCGAUCUUAGACUGGGAAUGAACUUCGUAUGCCUAAGUCAACCCAUGAAAUGAGUGUUCUGGCAUUGAGCCGGCUGAAGAUGCAUAAUGCGCAAGUCGAGGAUCGACCCAAUCCCCCUCUGCGUGCUGCUGGUCCCGCUGCCACAACCCUCGGUCUAGCUGGGGCGUAGACAUGGAAUGAACUCCCUAUGCCUAAGCCAACCCAUGAAACGGGCGUGCGGGCGCUCAGCCGAACGGAAAGGCAGAAUGUGUAAGUCAGGGAGUUGACCGGUCGCCCCUGCGUGCUGUCAAUACUACUACUGCAACCCUCGGUCCGGUUCGAUAUUAGACUGGAAAUGAACUCCGUAUGCUUAGACUGAGGAUGAACUCCGCAUGCCUAAGUCAACCCAUGAAACGAGCGUGCGGGUGCUCAGCCAACCGGAGAGGCUGGUCGGAGAGGCUAAAUACGCAAGCCGGGGAUCGGCCCGAUCCCACUGCGUGUUGCCGAUCCCACUGCGUGUUACUGAUCCUGCUGUCGUAGCCCUCAGUCCGGUCCGAUCUUAGACUGGGAAUGAACUCCAUAUGCUUAGACAUGGAAUGAACUCCGUAUGCCUAAGCCAACCCACGAAACGGGUGUCCGGGAGCUCAGCCGAUCGGAGAGGCAAAAUGCACAAGCCGAGGAUCAGCCUAGUCCCCCCUACGUGCUACCGAUCCUACUGUCGCAAACCUCGGUCUUCAUAUUUCUGCCAUGCCAAUGCCAUUUUUAUGGCUAGUAAAUUCAUACAAUGGUCCCCUAAGCCUUCAUGUGAAGUUUCGUGGCAAGACGACCCGUUUUCUAUUUUUCACAAUUUUUAAAACUUUUUGCAGUUCAAGAUUUUUUAAAAUUUUUUUAGAAAGAGUUUUGUCCCCAAAUUUGGUAGAGGUGAUCUUGUAUUUUUGUUGGCUUGCACAAAAAAAUUCAGCUAAAAACUCGAAGUGGAGAAUAUUUUGUGACCGUUUGAAAAAAGUGUCCCCAUUUCAGACACUUUAAUAGCUUCUAACAGAAAACCUAUAAAAUCUCAAAUGCUCUUUAAGGGGGUGUGCGUUCUCGAGGUUUGAUGAGGGAUAGAGGCCAAUAUAAGGGCCAAGUACCUGUACCCAUCGCACAUCAUAUGCGCACACCCCCCGGCCCCCCCAAUCGUCGAAACCCCCAAUGCCGCCUGUUAGGCUCUCCGGUGAUGCUCCGGCGAUGCUUCGACGAUGGUGCCCCGGGCAAAAAAAAUGCAGCAUCAACACAUGCCCAAGCCCAGCAUGUGCAUCGUGGCUCAAACUCUUAGACUGGGAAUGAACUUUGUAUGCUUAGACAUGGAAUGAACUCCAUAUGCCUAAGCCAACCCACGAAACGAGCGUGCGGGCGCUCAGCCGAUCGGAGAGCAGAAUGCGCAAGCCGAGGAUCGACCCAGUCCCCCUGCGUGCUGUUGAUCCUGCUACCACAACCUUCAGUUUGGUUAGAUCUUAGACUAGGAAUGAACUCUGUAUGCUUAGACUGGGGAUGAACUCCGUAUGCCUAAGUCAACCCACGAAACGAGCGUGCGGCCGCUGGCCGACCAAAGAGGUAGGAUGGCAAGCCGGGGAUCGAACGGGUGGUAGGUGUGUUCAAGCACAUCUUCAUAUUUCUGCCAUGCCAAUGCCAUUUUUAUGGCCUGUAAAUUCAUACAAUGGUCCCAUAAGCCUUCAUGUGAAGUUUCGUGGCAAGACGACCCGUUUUCUAUUUUUCAUGAUUUUUGAAACUUUUUACGGUUCCAAAUUUUUUUAAAUUUUUUUAGAAAGAUUUUUGUCCCCAAAUUUGGUAGAGGUGAUCCUUGUAAUUUUUUUAGCAUGCAUAAAAAAAUUCAGCUAAAAACUCGAAGUGGAGAAGAUUUUGUGACUGUUUGAAAAAAGUGUCCCUAUUUCGGACACUUUAACGGCUACUGGAAGCAAACCUAUAAAAUCUCAAAUGCUCUUUAAGGGGGUGUGAGUUCUCGAGGUUUGAUGAGGGAUAGGGGCCCAAUAUAAGGGCCAAGCACUGGCAGCCAUCGCACAUCAUGUGCGCACACCCCCCGGCCCCCUCAAUCGUCGGAACCCUCAAUGCCGUUGGUUAGGCUCUCCGACGAUGCUCCGACGAUGGUGCCCUGAGCAAAAUAAAUGUGGCACCAGCACAUGCCCGAGCCCAGCAUGUGCACCGUGGCUGAAAAUCUUAGACUAGGAAUGAACACCGUAUGCUUAGGCAUGGAAUGAACUCCGCAUGCCUAAGCCAACCCACGAAACGAGCGUACGGGCGCUCAGUCGGUCGGAGAGGCAGAAUGCGCAAGCUGGGGAUCGGCCCGAUCCCCCCCUGCGCGCUAUCGAUCCUGCUACCACAACCCUCAGUCCGGUCUGAUCUUAGACUGGAAAUGAACUCCAUAUGCAUAAAUCAACCCACGAAAUGAGCGUGUGGGCACUGAGUUGACCGAAGAGGCAUAACGCGCAUGUCGGGGAUCAGCCCGAUCCCCCUCUACGUGCUGCAAGUCUCGCUGCCACAACCCUUGGUCCGGUCGGGGUUUAGACAUGGAAUGAACUCCCUAUGCCUAAGCCAACCCAUGAAACGAGCGUGUGGGCACUCAGCAGGCCGAAGAGGCAGAAUGCGCAAGCCGGGGAUCGGCCCGAUCCCCCAUACGUGCUGUCGAUCUUAGACUGGGAAUGAACUCCGUAUGCUUAGACUGGGGAUGAACUCCGUAUGCCUAAGUCAACCCACGAAACGAGCGUGUGGGUGCUCAACCGAUCGGAGAGGCCGGCCAGAGAGGCAUAAUACGCAAGCCGAGGAUCAACUCGAUCCCCUUCUGCGUGCUGCCAAUCUGCUACCGACCUUGCUGCUAGAACCCUCGGUCUGGCUAGGCCAUAGACAUGGAAUGAACUCCGUAUGCCUAUGCCAACCCAAGAAAUGAGUGUGCAGGCAUUCAACCGGCCGAAAAGGCAAAAUGCGCAAGCCGGGGAUCUGUCUGGUCCCCCCUGCGUGUUGCCGAUCCUGUUGCUGGUCCUGCUGCCGCAACCCUCGGUCCGGUCUGAUCUUAUACUGGGAAUGAACUUCGUAUGCUUAGACAUGGAAUGAACUGCGUAUGCCUAAGCCAAACCAUGAAACGAGCGUAUGGGCGCUUAACCGGUCGGAGAGGCAAAAUGUGUAAGCUGGGGAUCAGCCCGAUCCACCCUACGUGCUGUCGAUCCUGCUACCGCAACCCUUGAUCCGGUUCGAUCUUUGACUGGGAAUGAACUUCGUAUGCCUAAGUCAACCUACGAAACGAGCAUGCGAGCGUUGAGUUGACCGGAGAGGGAUAAUAUGCAACCAGAGAUCGGCCCGAUCUCCUUCUGCGUGCUGUCGGUCUCGCUGCCACAACCCUCGGUCCAGCUGGGGCUUAGACAUGGAAUGAACUCCCUAUGCCUAAGCCAACCCACGAAAUGGGAGUACGGGCGCUCAGUCGAUCGGAGAGGCAGAAUGCGCAAGCUGGGGAACGGCUCUGUCCCCUCUGUGUGCUGUCGAUCCUACUGCUGCAACCCUCGGUCCGGUCUCAUUUUAGACUGGGAAUGAACUUUGUAUGCUUAGACUGGGGAUGAACUCCGUAUGCCUAAGUCAACCCACGAAACGAGUGAGCGGGCGCUAAACCAACUAGAGAGGCAAGAUGCGCAAGCCGGGGAUCGAACGGAUGGUGAGUGGGUGGGUUCAAGCACAUCUUCAUAUUUAUGCAUUGCCAAUGCCAUUUUUAUGGCUUGUAAAUUCAUACAAUGGUCCCCUAAGCCUUCAUGUGAAGUUCCGUGGCAAGACGACCCAUUUUCUAUUUUUCAUGAUUUUUAAAACUUUUUGCGGUUUGGGAUUUUUUAAAAUUUUUUUAGAAAGAGUUUUGUCCCCAAAUUUGGUAUAGGUGAUCCUUGUAUUUUUUUUGGCAUGCAUAAAAAAAUUCAGCUAAAAACUCGAAGUGGAGAAGAUUUUGUGACCAUUUCAGACACUUCAAUGGCUACUAGCAGCAAACCUACAAAACUCAAAUACUCUUUAAGGGGGUGUGAGUUCUUGAGGUUUGAUGAGGGAUAGGGGGCCAAUAUAAGGGCCAAGUGUCACACCCUGGGUGGGAUACGCUAGGCACAUUAGGUGCACCAGCAGGCGAGCCAGAGGUUGAGGCCCGUAAACCAGGCGUGCUGACGGGUAUCUACGCGUAAAGCCUAGCAUGCUGCCGAUCCUACUGUCGUAACCCUCGAUCUGAUUUGAUCUUAUACUGGGAAUGAACUUCGUAUGCUUAGAUUAUAGAUGAACUUCGUAUGCCUAAGUCAACCCAAGAAACGAGGGUACAGGAACUCAGCCGACCAGAGAGGCCAGCUAGAGAGGCAUAAUGCGCAAGCCGGGGAUCAGCUCGGUCCCCCUCUGUGUGCUACCGAUCCUGCUGCACAACCCUCUGUCCGAUUGGGGCUUAGACAUGGAAUGAACUCCGUAUGCCUAAGCCAACCCACGAAACGAGCGUGCGGGUGCUCAACCAGUCGGAGAGGCAGAAUAUGCAAGCCGAGGAUCAGCCUGGUCCCCCCUACGUGCUGUCGAUCCUGCUGCCACAACCCUCGGUCCAGUCUGAUCUUAGACUAGGAAUGAGCUCCGUAUGCUUAGACAUGGAAUGAACUCCGUAUGCCUAAGCCAACCCACGAAAUGAGCGUACAGGCGCUCAGCCAACCGGAGAGGCAGAAUGCGUAAGCCGGGGACCGGCCUGGUCCCCCCUACGUGCUAUCGAUCCUGCUAUCGCAACCCUCAGUCCAGUCUGAUCUUAGACUGGGAAUGAACUCCGUAUGCCUAAGUCAACCCACGAAACGAGCAUACGGGUGCUGAACUGACCAGAGAGGCAUAUUGCGCAAGUCGGGGAUUGGCCCGAUCCCCCUCUGCGUGCUACCAGUCCCGCUGCCACAACCCUCGGUCCGACUGGGGCUUAGACAUGGAAUGAACUCCCUAUACCUAAGCCAACCCACGAAACGGGCGUGUGAGCGUUCAGCCGGUUGGAGAGGCAGAAUGCGCAAGCCGGGGAUUGGCUCGGUCACCCCUGCGUGCUGUCGAUCCUGUUACCGCAACCCUCAAUCCGAUCCGAUCUUAGACUGAAAUGAACUCUGUAUGCUUAGACUGGGGAUGAACUCCGUAUGCCUAAGUCAACCCACGAAAUGCACGUGCGGGCACUCAGUCGACCAGAGGGCAGGAUGCGCAAGCCGGGGAUCGAACAGGUGGUAGGUGGGUUCAAGCAGAUCUUCAUAUUUCUGCCGUGCCAAUGCCAUUUUUAUGGCUUGUAAAUUCAUACAAUGGUCCCCUAGGCCUUUAUGUGAAGUUUCGUGGGAAGAUGACUCGUUUUCUAUUUUCGAAACAUUUUACGGUUCGAGAUUUUUUAAAAAUUUUUUAAAAAGAGUUUUAUCCCCAAAUUUGGUAAUGGUGAUCCUUGUAUUUUUGUUGGCAUGCAUAAAAAAAUUCAGCUGAAAAAUCGAAGUGGAGAAGAUUUUGUGACCGUUUGAAAAAAAUUCUCCCAUUUUAGACACUUUAAUGGCUAUUGGCAGCAAACCUAUAAAAUCUCAAAUGCUCUUUAAGGGGGUGUGAGUUCUCGAGGUUUGAUGAGGGUUAGAGGGAAAAUAUAAGGGCCAAGUGUCACGCCCUGGGAGGGGCGUGCCAGGCACAUCAGGCCCACCAGUUGGCGAGCCAGAGGUUGAGGCCCGCAGACCAGGUGUGGUGACGGGUAUCUGUGCUCAAAGCCUAGCAAGCGAGUUUAAAACGCCCGCCCAACUUGCAGGCCAGCCCAUGAGACCAAAGCCUGGCAUACAAGCAGCCCGCACCACAUCUAGAAGGGCCCAAGGUGCUCGACACAUAAGGGAAGAUUCUGGAAGCAGGCAGGAUCAACAGUAGCAUCUUGGCAGAUUUAGUUGACCCUGAAAAUCAGGAGUUAGCAUCCUAAUUGAUUGUAAUCUGUAUAAUCCCAUGAUUUUAGCCUUUAUUCUAGAUAUAUUGCCAUUAAGUGUAAGCUGAAGCCUCAACUAUAAAUAGAGGGCUGUUCCUCCCUCAUUUGUACACCAUCAAACACUUCUAUUUCAGUGAAUACAAGAGCAUUUCCAUAAUUCUACCUUCUUAUCCUGUUUCUCUUUAACUUGGGUAAGCAGCCCUUCCUGUUGUUCUAGUGCCCGUACAGUUGUGUUUUAGGCUGACUUAGGCAUAAAGGAAGAGAUUCCAAGCCUAAGGCCGCACGGUUUCUGAGUCUAAGGUCAGAGCCCGUGACAGUUGGUAUUAGAGCAAGUUCGAUUCUGCGUGUUUGUGUUGUGCAGGUUAGAGGAGAUGGCAUCCCAAAGUGACGCUGCUAACCAACAACUAGAGGCCCAGGAGCAUGGGCGUGGAAGAGGGAGGAAAGCCAGUUCUAGAUAUAUCUGGUCUACCAUGGACGGUAGGCUGGCCAAGGUGGAAGUGACCAUGGGUGACAUGGGGGAAAAGCUUGAGGGGGUAGAGACUCACAUUGCAUCGCUAGACUCCAUCAGGGAAGAGAUCCAAAGUGAGUUGCAAGCUGCUCUCAACAAAGGUUUGGACGUGUUCACCCAAAAGAAUCAGACCUUUGAGGCUGAAAUGCUGACCUUGCGCGAUGGCAUGGAGGCCAUGCCCCAGCAGAUGGAGAAGCUUACCAGUAAGCUCGUUGCUUGCAAGAUGCCAUUGGAAAUGGCAUGUUUGCUGGAAUGUCCAAGUCCAGAUUGGAUGUCCCCAAGCCUAAGGAGUGUAAGGGGACUAAGGUGGCCAAGGAAGUAGAUAACUACCUUUGAGGUAUAGAGCAGUACUUCCAGGCCAUGGGCAUGCAAGACGAGGCGAUAAAGGUAAGCACCGCUACUAUGUAUCUCACUGAUGUAACCUUAUUGUGGUAGAGGCACAGGUGUGAUGAUGUCAGGCAUGGAACGCCAAGAUUGGAACCUGGGCAGAGUUCCAAAAGGAGUUCAGAGAAUAAUUUUACCCAGAGUAUGCCGAUGAUGAGGCGUGGGCAAAGUUACGCAGGCUGAGCCAGCAAGGUGACAUAAGGGAGUAUGUCCAGAAAUUCUCUGAACUGAUGCUACAGAUCUCAGAUCUAGGCGAGAAGGACACCUUAUUUGCUUUCAUGGAUGGGCUGAAGCCGUGGGUGAAGCAUGAGCUACAAAAGAGAGGAGUUCAUGACUUGGCUAAAGCCAUGACUACUGUCGAGGCCUUGAUAGAGUUCAAGCCUAUGAACAAGUUCGAGUCUACCAAGCCCAAGGGUAAGGGCAGGGACGAUAGGGAUCGAAAGAAGCAGUCCAAGGGGAAAGAUCGUGAUCGGGAGUCCAAGGAUGGAGAUCGAGACCGUUCAACCAAGGAUGGCGAGAGAAAGCCACCAACAGGCAAGUGGAAAGCAAAGGGGGACCGAGAGCCACUAGCAUGCUACCUAUGUGGAGGGAGCCACAUAGCACAUAAUUGCUCGCAAAAGUGCAAGCUGGUUGCUGUAGACAAGGAGUUUGACGAGGAGCCAGAGUUAGGGGCAGCAAAGCUUGGGUCAUUGGUGCUCAAUGCUGUCUAGAGUAAGGGGAGCCGCAAGCCAAAGGGCUUGAUGUUUGCGGAUCUGAUGGUUGUGGGUUAGAAGGUGAGCGCAUUGGUGGACACAGGUGCCUCACAUCUUUUUAUUUCAGGUGAUAGAGCCCGAAAGCUCAGACUAAAGGUGCAGAAAGGGACUGGUACCAUCAAAACAGUGAACUCUAAUGAAGUUCCAGCCAUUGGAGUAGCGCGGGGAGUGGAGUUACAGCUUGGAGACUGGAAAGGCAAGGAGACCAUUGAGGUAAUACCCCUUGACGACUAUGAGUUUGUGAUUGGGUUGGAUUUCCUUGUUCAGAUUAACGCCCUCCUUGUGCCUUUUGUCGAUUGUGUUUGCAUCUUGGAUGCACGGUGCCAAUGCCUAGUGCCAUUGAGGAGAGGGUCUGCAGUUGGGUCACGGGUGGUGUCAGCCAUCCAAUUUGCCAAGGUGGUAAGUAGACAAGAAGACACCUUCUUGGCAGCCCUGAAAUAUGAUGAGUUAAGGGAGAAGGAGACCGAGUCACCCUUGGAGGUGCUAGAGGUGCUGAAGACCUUUAGUGAUGUGAUGCCCGCAAAGCUACCUAGCAAGCUACCACCUAAGAGGGAGGUGGACCACAAGAUCGAGCUGGUGUCCGAGGCCAAGCCACCAGCUAGAGCCCCUUACCGAAUGUCUCCACCAGAGUUGGAGGAGUUGAGGAAGCAGCUCAAAGAGUUAGUUGAUGCUGGCUUCAUCAGGCCAUCGAAGGCACCUUAUGGUGCACCGAUUCUAUUUUAGCACAAGCAUGAUGGGUCAUUGCGGCUGUGCAUAGACUACUGAGCUUUGAACAAGCUGACCAUCAAGAACAAAUACCUCAUCCCACUCAUUACGGACUAGUUCGAUCAACUUGGGAGCGCAAGGUGGUUCACCAAGCUGGAUUUGAGGUCAGGCUACUAUCAAGUUAGGAUCGCGAAGGGAGAUGAGCCAAAGACAACAUGUGUCACUCGGUAUGGUUCGUAUGAGUUCUUGGUGAUGCCUUCCGGACUCACGAACGCCCCAGUAACAUUCUGCACCCUUAUGAACAAGGUACUUCAGUCAUUCCUUGAUCGGUUUGUUGUGGUUUAUUUGGAUGACAUUGUGAUCUACAGCCAGACUUUGGGAGAGCAUGUAGACCACUUGAGACAGGUGUUCGAGGUGUUGUGGGCGCACAAGCUGUUUGUCAAGAGGGAGAAGUGCUCAUUCGCCCAGCAGGAGAUCCCGUUCCUUGGCCACAUAGUGGGAGGUGGCAGGAUACGCAUGGAUGAAGGCAAGAUACACGCCAUCCUGGAGUGGCAACCGCCAGCCAAGGUCACUGAGUUGAGAUCGUUCCUUGGGCUGGUCAACUACUACAGGCGCUUCAUCAAAGGUCACUCAGCAAUAGCCACGCCAUUGACUGACUUGCUCAAGAAAGGGAAAGCAUGGGAUGGAGCGCAGGGUGCCAGGAAGCCUUUGACAGGUUGAAGCGGCUGUGAUCGAGGAGCCAGUCUUGGCCUUGCCAGACCAUGCCAAGCCGUAUGAGGUGCAUACGGAUGCAUCAGACUUUGCCAUAGGGGGCGUGUUGAUGCAGGAGGGACGUCCAGUCGCGUUCGAGAGCAGAAAGCUGAACGAGACUGAGCGCAAGUACAUGGUCCAAGAGAAUGAGAUGACUGCAGUGGUGCACUGCUUGCGCACUUGGUGCCAUUACCUGUUGGGGUCGAGGUUCAUGGUUAGGACGGACAAUGUGGCGACCAGCUACUUCCAGACGCAGAAGAAGCUAUCCCCAAGCAGGCGAGAUGGCAAGAUUUUCUUGUAGAAUUUGAUUUCUAGAUGGAGUACAAGCCGGAACCGGUGAACCUAGUGGCAGACGCCCUGAGCAGGAAGGCUAACCUUGCUGCCAUUAGCCAACCAGAGGGGUCACUGGUGCCGCACAUCAAGAAGGGACUUGCGCAUGAUCUUACAGCCAAGGCUUUGAUGGAGUACGCCCAGCAAGGUAAGACUAGGCAGUUUUGGUUGCAGGAUGGCUUGCUGACACCAGGGGCAGUAGACUGUUUGUGCCAUAGCACAGGAAGCUCCGCAAGGAAGUUUUGCAAGAAUGCCAUGAUUCAAGGUGGGCUGGACACCCCGGAGUGAGCCGUACCUUGGCGCUGAUCGAGGAUCGUACUACUGGCCGCACAUGAGGGAUGAUGUGGAGGCCUAUGUGAAGACUUGUCUUGUGUGCCAACAGGACAAGGUGGAGCUCAAGAAACCAGCGAUCUCUUGGAGCCAUUGCCAGUGCCAGAGUGACCAUGGGAGAGUGUUUCUCUGGACUUUAUAGUGGUCUACCCAAAGCAGAAGGGUUUGGAAGCAUCAUGGUAGUGGUGGACAGGUUUUCCAAGUAUGGAAUCUUCAUUCCAGCAACCAAGGAGUGCCCAGCCGAGAGGCAGCUCGAUUGUUCCUGAAGAACAUGGUUAAGUACUGGGGAGUGCCGAGGACCAUUGUUAGUGAUCGGGAGGGCGUUUCACGGGUAGGUUCUGGACUGAGUUGUUCAAGCUGUUGGGGUCAGACUUGAACUUUUCCACCAGCAUGCAUCCGCAGACCGAUGGGCAGACAGAAUGAGUGAAUGGACUAUUGGAGGUCUACCUCAGGCACUAUGUGAGUGCCACACAAAGGGACUGGCCAAAGCUGCUAGAUAUUGCAUAGUUUUCCUACAACUUGCAAAGGAGCGAGGCAACGAACCAGAGCCCAUUUGAGGUUGUGACAGGGCAACAACCACUAACACCCGGUUCGAUUGCUGCAGGUUAUACAGGGUCGAAUCCAGUAGCAUACAAGUUUGCCAAGGCAUGGCAGGAGCAAACUGACUUGGCCAGAGUUUGUCUACACAAGGCGGCCAAGAGGUCGAAGAAGUGGGCAGACCAGAAUAGGCGGGACGUGCAGUUCCAGGUUGGAGACUUGGUGUUGGUGAAGCUGCAUCCCAUUGUGCACCAUACGGGGCUACACAAAGGCCUAGUCCGGAGGUAUGAGGGACCUUUUCGAGUAGUCAAAAGGGUAGUCAAGGUUGCCUACAAGCUGGAUAUGCCACCCAAGCCGAGGGUACACCCGGUGUUCCAUGUGAGCAUGCUCAAGCCGUUCCAUGAGGAUGAGAGAGAUCCAAGAUGGGCAGAGUCAAAGUGUGUGCCAUUGGGAGUAAGGGCCUCAUAUGAGAAGGAGGUCCACAGCAUCAUAGCUGACCGAAAGGUGAGACGGAAGAACUAUCAGCCAAGACAAGAGUACUUGGUGCAUUGGAAGGGACUUCCAGAUAGUGAGGUAAGCUAGGAACCAGCAGAUGACUUAUGGCAGUUCGGAGACCAGAUCAGGUAGUACCAUGCAGAAGAUGCAACGAGGGCGUUGCACAAUCAGGUGGAGGAGAAUGUCAUACCCUAGACGGGCGCGCCAGGCACAUCAGGCGCACCAACUGGCGAGCCAGAGGUUGAGGCUCGUAGACCAGGCGUAUUGGUGGGUAUCUGCACGCAAAGCCUAGCAAACGAGUUCAGAAUGCCUGCCCCACUUACAGGCCAGCCUGUGAGACCAAGGCCUAGCAUACAAGCUGCCCGCACCACACCCAAAAGGGCCCAAGGUGCUGAACACGCAAGGGAAGCUUCUGGAAGCAGGCAGGAUCAACGUAGCAUCCUGACAGAUUUGGUUGACCCUGAAAAUCAGGAGUUAGCAUCCUGAUUGAUUGUAAUCUGUAUAAUCCCAUGAUUUUAGCCUUUAUUCUAGGGAUAUUGCCAUUAAGUGUAAGCUGGAGCCUCAACUAUAAAUAGAGGGUUGCUCCUCCCUCAUUUGUACACCAUUAAACACUUCCAUUUCAGUGAAUACAAAAGCAUUUCCAGAAUUCUGCCUUCUUAUCCUAUUUCUCUUUAACUUGCGUAAUCAGCCCUUCUCGUUGUUCUAGUGCCGUACGCUUGAGUUUUAGGCUGACUUAGGCAUAAAGGAGGAGAUUCCAAGCCUAAGGCCGCACGAUUUUUGAGUCUAAGGUCGGAGUCCGUGACACAAGUAUCAGCACCCAUCGCAUAGCAUGUGCGCACACCCCCCCGACCCCCUCAAUGUCGGAAACCCCCAAUGCCGCUGGUUAGGCUCUCUUACAAUGCUCCAGCGAUGGUGCCCCGGGUGAAAAAAAAGUGGCACCAGCACAUGCUUAGACUGGGAAUGAACUCCGUAUUCUUAGACAUGGAAUAAACUCUGUAUGCCUAAGCCAACCCACGAAACAAGUGUGCGGGCGCUCAACCGAUUGAAGAGGUAGAAUUCGUAAGCCGGGGAUCAGCCUGGUCCCCCUACGUGCUGUCGAUCUUGCUGCCACAACCCUCGAUCCGGUCGAUCUUAGACUAGGAAUGAACUCCGUAUGCCUAAGUGAACCCACGAAACGAGCGUGAGGGUGCUGAGCCGGCUGGAGAGGCAUAAUGCACAAGCCAGGGAUCGGCUCGAUCCCCCUCUGCGUGCUGUCGGUCCCGCUGCCACAACCGUCGGUGCAGCUGGGCUCAGACGUGGAAUGAAAUCCCUAUGCCUAAGCCAACCCACGAAACGAGCAUGCGGUCACUCAGCCGAUCAAAGAGUCAGAAUGCGCAAGCCGGGGAUCGGCUCGGUCCCCCCUUCGUGCUAUCGAUCCUGCUACCGUAACCCUCGGUCCGAUCCAAUCUUAGACUGGGAAUGAACUCUGUAUGCUUAGACUGGGGAUGAACUCCGUAUGCCUAAGUCAACCCAUGAAACGAGCGUGCGGGCACUCAGCCGACGAAGAGGUCGGUCAGAGAGGUAGAAUGCACAAGCUGGGGAUUGGCCCAAUCCCUCCUGCAUGCUACCGAUUCGGUUGCUGGUCCUACUGCCGCAACCCUCAAUCCGAUCUGAUCUUAAACUGGGAAUGAACUCCGUAUGCUUAGAUUUUGUGACCGUUUGAAAAAAGUGUCCCCAUUUCAAACACUUUAAUGGCUACUGGCAGCAAACCUAUAAAAUCUCAAAUGCUCUUUAAGGGGUGUGAGUUCUCGAGGUUUGAUGAGGGAUAGGGGGCCAAUAUAAGGGCCAAGUACUAGCACCCAUCGCACAUCAUGUGCGUACACCCCCCGGCCCCCCAAUCAUCGGAACCCCCAAUGCCACCGGUUAGGCUUUCCGAUGAUGCUCCGACGAUGGUUCCCCGAGGGAAAAAAAUGCAGCACCAGUAAAUGCCCGAGCCCAGCAUGUGCACCAUGGCUCAAACUCUUAGACUAGGAAUGAACUCUGUAUGCUUAGACAUGGAAUGAACUCCAUAUGCCUAAGCCAACCCAUGAAACGAGCGUGCGGGCGCUCAGCCAAUCAGAGAGGCAGAAUGCACAAGUCGGGGAUCGGCUCGGUCCCCCCUGCGUGCUGUCAAUCCUGCUAUCGCAACCCUUGGUCCGAUCCCAUCUUAGACUGGGAAUGAACUCUGUAUGCCCACGAAACGAGCGUUCGGGCGCUGAGCCGGCCGGAGAGGCAUAAUGCAUAAGCCGAGGAUCGGCCUGAUCCCGCGCCCACAACCCUGGGUCUGAUUGGGGUUUAGACAUGGAAUGAACUCCCUAUGCCUAAGCCAACCCAUGAAAUGGGUGUACGGGUGCUCAACCGGCUAGAGAGGUAGAAUGCGUAAGCCAGGGAUCGGAUCGAUCCCCCUUGCGUGCUAUCGAUCCUGCAGCCGUAACCUUCGGUCUAAUCGAUCUUAGACUGGGAAUGAACUUUGUAUGCUUAGACUGGGGAUGAACUCCGUAUGCCUAAGUCAACCCACGAAACGAGCGUAUGGGCGCUCAGCCGACCGGAGAGGUCGAUCGAAGAGGCAUAAUGCACAAGUCGAGGAUCAGUCCGGUCCCCAUCUGCGUGCUGCUAAUCUCGCUGCCGGUCUUGCUGCGACCCUCGAUCCAGUUUGAUCUUAGACUGAGGAUGAACUCUGUAUGCCUAAGUCAUCCCACGAAACGAGCAUGCGGGCACUGAGCCGAUCGGAGAGGCAUAAUGUGCAAGUCGGGGAUCGGCCUGGUCCCUCUCUACGUGGUGCCAGUCCCACUGCCACAACCCUUAGUCCGGUUGGGGCUUCGACAUGGAAUGAACUCCCUAUGCCUAAGCCAACCCACGAAACGAACGUGCGGGCACUCAGCUGGCUGGAGAGGCAGAAUGCACAAGCCGGGGAUCAACUUGGUCCCCCCUGCGUGCUGCCGAUCUUGCUACCGUAACCCUUAAUCCGGUCUGAUCUUAGACUAAGAAUGAACUCCGUAUGCUUAGACUGGGGAUGAACUCCGUAUGCCUAAGUCAACCCACGAAACGAGCGUGCGAACGCUCAACCGACCAGAGGGGCAGGAUGCGUAAGCCGAGGAUCGAACGGGUGGUAGGUGGGUUCAAGCACAUCUUCAUAUUUUCACCAUGCCGAUGUCAUUUUUAUGGCUUGUAAAUUCAUAUAAUGGUCCCCUAAGCCUUCAUGUGAAGUUUUGUGGCAAGACGACCCGUUUUUCUAUUUUUCACGAUUUUUAAAACUUUUUACGAUUCAGGAUUUUUUAAAAUUUUUUUAGAAACCCAAAUUUGGUAGAGUGAUCCUUUUUUUUUGUUGGCAUGCAUAAAAAAAUUCAGCUAAAAACUCGAAGUGGAGAAGAUUUUGUGACCGUUUGAAAAAAGUGUUCCCAUUUCAAACACUUUAAUGGCUACUGGCAGCAAACCUAUAAAAUCUCAAAUGCCCUUUAAGGGGGUGUGAGUUCUCGAGGUUUGAUAAGGGAUAGGGGCCCAAAAUAGGGGCCAAGUACCAGCACCCAUCGCACAUCAUGUGCGCACACCCUUUCGGCCCCCUAAUUGUCGGAACCCCAAAUACCGUUGGUUAGGCUCUCCGACGAUGCUCCGACGAUGGUGCCCUGGGUGAAAGAAAUGCGGCACCAGCACAUGCCUGAGCCCAGCAUGUGCACCGUGGCUCAAAAUCUUAGACUGGGAAUGAACUCCGUAUGCUUAGACUGGGGAUGAACUCCGUAUGGCUAAGUCAACCCAUGAAAUGAGCGUGCGGGUGCUCAGUCGGCCGGAGAGGCCAGACGAAGAGGCAGAAUGCGUAAGUCGAGGAUCAGCCCAGUCCCCUCUGCGUGCUAUCGAUCCUGCUACUGCAACCCCCAGUCCGGUCCGAUCUUAGAAUGGGAAUGAACCCCGUAUGCUUAGACUGGAGAUGAACUCCGUAUGCCUAAGUUAACCCACGAAAUGAGCGUGUAGGCGGGUGCUUAGCCGACAGAGAGACAGGAUGCGCAAGCCAGGGAUCAAACGAGUGGUAGGUGGGUUCAAGCACAUCUUCAUAUUUCUGCCAUGCCAAUGCCAUUUUUAUGGCUUGUAAAUUCAUACAAUGUCCCCUAAGCCUUCAUGUGAAGUUUCGUGGUAAGACGACCUGAUUUCUAUUUUUCAUGAUUUUUGAAACUUUUUACGGUUCGAGAUUUUUUAAAAUUUUUUUGGAAAGAGUUUUGUCCCAAAUUUGGUAGAGGUGAUCCUUUUAUUUUUGUUGGCAUGCACAAAAAAAUCCAGCUAAAAACUUGAAGUAGAAAAGAUUUUGUGACCAUUUGAAAAAGGUGUCCCCAUUUCAGAUACUUUAAUAGCUACUGGCAGCAAACCUAUAAAAUCUCAAAUGCUCUUUAAGGGGGCGUGAGUUCUCGUGGUUUGAUGAGGGAUAGGGGGCCAAUAUAAGGGCCAAGUACCAGCACCCAUCGCACAUCAUGUGCGCACACCCCCCGACCCCUCCAAUCACCGGAACCCCCAAUACCGCCGGUUAGGCUCUCCAAUGAUGCUGCCCCGAGGAAAAAAAAUAUGGCACCAGCACAUGCCCGAGUCUAGCAUGUGCACCGUGGCUUAAACUCUUAGACUGGGAAUGAACUCCGUAUGCGUAGACGUGGAAAGAACUCUGUAUGCUUGAGCUAACCCACGAAACGACCGUGCGGGCGCUCGGUAAAUCGAAGAGACAGAUGCGUAAGCCGGGGAUGGCCCAGUCCCCCCUACGUGCUGUCGAUCCUGCUACCUCAACCGUCUGUCUGAUCUGAUAUUAGACUGGGAAUGAACUCGUAUGCAUAAGUCAACCCACGAAAUGAGCGUGCGGGCGCUGAGCCGGUCGAAGAGGCAUAAUGCGCAAACUGAGGAUCAACUCGGUCCCCCUCUGUGUUUUACCGGUCCCGCUGCCAUAACCCUCGAUCCGGCUGGGGCUUAGACAUGGAAUGAACUCCCUAUGCCUAAGCCAACCCAUGAAACGGGCGUGCGGUCGCUCCGUCGGUCGGAGAGGCAGAAUGCAAAACUCAGGAUCGACUCGGUCCCCCUGCGUGCUACCAAUCUUGCUGCCACAACCCUCGGUCCGGUCUGAUCCUAGACGACCCGUUUUCUAUUUUUCAUGAUUUUUGAAGCAUUUUGCAUUUCAGGAUUUUUUUAAAUUUUUUUAGAAAGAAUUUCGUCCCCAAAUUUGGUAGAGGUGAUCCUUGUACUUUUGUUGGCAUGCACAAAAAAAUUCAGCUAAAAACUCGAAGUGGAGAAGAUUUUGUGACUAUUUGAAAAAAGUGUCCCCAUUUCAGACACUUUAAUGUCUACUGGCAGCAAACCUAUAAAAUCUCAAAUGCUCUUUAAGGGGGUGUGAGUUCUCAAGGUUUGAUGAAGGAUAGGGGGCCAAUAUAAAGGAAAAGUGCCAGCACCCAUCGCACAUCAUGUGCGCACACCCCCGGCCCCCCCAAUCGUCGGAAACCCCAAUGCCUAAGUCAAAUUGGGAAACACCGAUCUUAGACUGGGAAUGAACUCUGUUUGCUUAGACUGGGGAUGAACUCCGUAUGCCUAAGUCAACCCACGAAACGAGUGUGUGGGCCCUUAGUCGGUCGGAGAGGCAUAAUGCGCAAGCCGGGGAUUAGCCCGAUCCCCCGCUACGCGCUGCCAGUCCCGCUGCCACAACCCUCGGUCCGACUGGGGCUUAGACAUGGAAUGAACUCCCUAUGCCUAAGCCAACCCAUGAAACAGGCGUGCGGGCGCUCAGUUGGUCGGAGAACUAGAAUGCGUAGGCCGAGGAUAGGCCCGGUCUCCCCUGCGUGCUGCCAGUCCUGCUGUUGUAACCCUCGGUCUGGUUCAAUCUUAGACUGGGAAUGAACUCUGGAUGCUUAGACUGGGGAUGAACUCCGUAUGCCUAAGUCAACCCAUGAAACGAGCGUGUGGGCGCUCAGUCGACCGGAGAGGCAUAAUGCGUAAGCCGAGGAUCAGCCUGAUCCCCCACUGCAUGUUGCCAGUCCCGCUAUCAUAACCCUCGGUCCGGGUAGGGCUUAGACGU